RNAcentral lists this long non-coding RNA (95896 nucleotides) under Citrus x clementina. RNAcentral's name for it is "Citrus clementina (C. clementina) long non-coding RNA (CCLE_LNC003471)". The record is from RNAcentral. Lineage: Eukaryota; Viridiplantae; Streptophyta; Magnoliopsida; Sapindales; Rutaceae.
GGGGGGGGGGGUGGUCCCGAGGAUGAGGUUAAAUCAAUAUGUUCUACAACAAAAGAUUUGAAUAUCAAUCUCGUCAAUAUCACCGAUCUCAUAAGUAUCAAACCAAAUCCCAUUAAAUGAAUCACUUUUUUCUAAAAAUACGAGACAUCUAAGUCAUACAAAUAAAAAGAUCUAUUCAUUGAUAAGAAAAUGAAAAAAAAAGGGAACGGUGAUUAGAUUGAUGAUAAGAUAAAAUCUUGGGUUACGAAUAGUGAUUUAAUAGAUAAUAAUGAAAGAGAAUUCUUGGUUCAAUUCUCCACCUCAACCUUAAUGACGGAAAACAAAAUUUGAUAAAAUUCUAUCAAGUCUGACUGAUAGUGAUCAUUCAUCAAAGAAUGACUCUGGUUAUCAAAUGAUUGAACAAUCGAGCAAUCUACUUAUGAUACUUAACUAACAUUCAUAAAAAGCAUUUCAUGAAUUAUAAGUUCAGUAUUUACUGUUUAGCAGAAUGACAGAUACUCCUUGUUCAUUUCCAAACAAUCACUUAUUCACAAACUUCGUGUGGGGCUAAUAGUUUUCAUUUUCCAAACAAUCACUUAUUCACAAACUUCGUGUGGGGCUAAUAGUUUUCAUUUUCCAUCUCAUGCAAAACCCUUUUUUGCUCCGCCUAGCCCUAUAUAUAUAUAUAUAUAUAUAUAUAUAUAUAUAUAUAUAUAUAUAUAUAUAUAUACCUAGCGGCAAACUUCUAUGUCCCUUUCUUUACGGUAUUUCUGAACAAGUUUCUGGAUAACAAGCCUAAAAGUUUUUUUAUUAAUGAUAUCGAUGAUGAUAGUGACAAUAUUGAUGCUAGUGAAGAUAUUGAUCAUGUCUUUGAUACGGAGCUAGAGCUUCUAAUUAUGAUGAAUGCACUAAAUAUCAAUAUGAUGUUAUAAGUAGGCCUAUUUUAUAUCACCCUUUCAUUCGAAUUAGCAAAAGCAAUAUCUCCUUGCAAAAUAUGGAUUCCAAACAUUCAUGAUACGAUGUGAAUUAGUUGAAUUAUUUAUCCCUCGGUCUAUCAAUAAACUAUCUCUCAAAGGAUUAUGAAAGAUAUUCCACUAGAAAUAUUCUUAUUAUUGCUUCGGGUCAUAUUCCCAAAAAAGUGGAUCCCGCUCUAAUCCAAAUAAAUUAAAUACAUGCAUUAAGAUGCCAAGGUUUAUUAUUCCACAAUCACGAAAGCACUUUUUGACUCUUUCAUAUAUUAGGGUAUUUCACUUGGAAAAGAAAAUGUUCCAUACUGAUUGACACUAAAAAGUGUACAUUUAAUAAGGAUAAAAUUCUUAGUUUUUCACUUAUUGUGUCGAUUAAUGCGUUCAUUAUUUCUAAAUUAUUUUAAUACUCUCCAAAUAUAUUUUAUGUUAAAUUAAUUCGCAAUUUGUUAAUUUUUAUCUUGUAAAUAUUUUUCAGGAAUAAAGAUGGAAUUGGAAUUGAAAGUGGGAACAAAGAAGAACUACUGGAACACAAAUUGAAGAGAUGUAAUAAUAAAUAAAAAACAAAAAAAGAACAAAAGCAUGUUGGUGAUGGUCAGCACAAUUCAAUAUGUAUAUAUAAUAUAAAAAUAAAAAAAUAUUAAUAUUAAUAAAAUUAAAUUAAAAAAAAAAAAAGAUGAUUCCCUUACCUAUAAAAGGCAAGGGGAUGCAAGCAAUGAGGGGGCGGGAGCCGAGAGCCAGAAGCUAGUAAAGCUAUUUUUUAGAAGUGUACGCCGAGAGAGAAUAGAGUGCAGCUGAAGAAUUUCUUUCUUUUUUUGUUUCUUUUCUUUUCUUGUUUCCGUUUGUAAUCAACUUUCUUGUAACGUAUUUCAAAAGUUUAUCAAAUAAAUAGAGUGUUGUGUUUUCUUUCAAUAUGAGUGGCUAAUUGUAGAAACUGAAGGGCACUUAAUUGCUUAACACCUCAGUUUCUGCCCAAGAUCUAAGAUCAGAUUCCUAGAUGCUUUUAUAGAUGACUCGAAAAAACUUAACCAAGAACCCAAAGUAACAAAUCAAGAAUGGUUUAAGAAUCACAAAAGAUUAAAGAACUAACGAAUCAAUAAAAUAGAAAGAAUAAAGAACAGGAGUGAGUUAACGUGGUUCAGCUAACUCUCGUUAGCUUACAUCCACGGAGGAACAAGACAACAGGCCUUUAUUGAAUGAACUCAAAGUUACAGAGAUUUCAGAGUGUAUGUUAUGGAACUACAUCCCCUCUCUCAAGCGACUAACUCCCUUUAUAUACUCAUUUGUUCGUCACCAGCUAGCUGCACCAAAAUCAGCUCCUUUCAAUUGCUGAUAACCACUUGGAAACUAAUUCCAGAUGCUCACGUGAGAUGCAUGCUUCAUCAACGACUAUUAACAAUCUUGUUAUUAGGAUCUCACGCACGUGCAUCUCAUGUGCUUCAUUAAUCCUGAAACGACACUCUCUCAAGUCAUUUUAAAGUCCUUUAAUUGAUUUCACUGGUUACUUUACAAAUCUCCACCUUGAAACAAUUCAUCCCUGUGCAUCUUUCUCCUCAAAUCCAUGCAAGUUACAAACUGCAUAUUUCAGCUAUGUCCAAACAGGUCUUUAACUUAGCUGUAGGUACCACCUUUGUGAGCAUAUCUGCAGGAUUGUUGCUGGUAUGUAUUUUUACCAUCUUCCCAACUCCUUUAGAUAUUACAUUCCUUAUGAAAUGCAACUUAAUGUUGAUAUGCUUGGUUUUCUCAUGAUGAGCUGGAUUUUUACUCAAAUAAAUGGCACUUGAGCUAUCACAGUGGAUAUCAACAACCUUCUGAGAUAUUCCUAACUCGCUGAUUAAGCCUUUAAGCCAUAGAGCCUCCUUGACAGCUGCUAAGGCUACAGUAUACUCAGCCUCUGUUAUUGAUAAGGCCACUACAUGUUGCAAACUUGCUUUCCAGCUUAUCAGGCAUCCAUUCAACAUGAACAUGUAUCCAGUUUGUGACCUCCUUCUGUCCAGAUCUCCAGCAUAAUCAGAGUCAACAUAGCCCCAUAAACCAGCUUCAUUUGUCUCUCGAUCCUUUCCAUACAGCAACCCAUAAUCCAAGGUUCCAUUUAGAUACCUCAGCACCCAUUUAGCUGCCUUCCAAUGCUCUUUUCCAAGUGAUGCAUAUACCUGCUUAUCAAGCUUAGAGCAUGUGAAAUAUCUGGUCUUGUGAGGACCAUUGCAUACAUCAUACACCCUACUGCAUUGGCAUAGGGAACUUUGGACAUCUCUUGCUUUUCUUCACUUGUCUUUGGACACUGCUGGUUUGAGAGUUUGAAAUGAGAGGCCAAAGGUGUUAUCACUGGUUUACAGUUGUUCAUUCCAAAGGUGUUAAGUACUUUUUCCAAGUACUUCUUCUGAGACAAGAACAUAGUUCCCUUCCUUCCGUCUCUUGUGAUUUCCAUGCCCAAAAUCUUCUUGGCAUGUCCCAAAUCUUUCAUAUCAAACUUAGAAUUCAGCAUCUGUUUUAAAGCUUCGAUUUCUUCCCUCACUUUACAAGCAAUCAACAUAUCAUCAACAUACAGUAGCAAGUAUAUAUGAUGAUCUGAAUCUAUUUUCUUGUAGUAUACACAACAAUCAAAAUUACACCUCAUGAAUCCAUGAGAUAUCAUGAACUCAUCAAACCUGAGGUACCAUUGCCUUGGGGAUUGCUUUAAGCCAUACAAUGACUUCUUCAGCAAGCAUACAUGGUCAGGGUAUUCAGAGCAUACAAAUCCUUCAGGUUAAGUCAUCAAAAUCUCCUCUUGUAAUCUCCUAUGUAAGAAGGCUGUUUUGACAUCAAGUUGAUCAAGCUCCAUGUCAUAUAUAGCUGUUAGAGCUAAUAAUACCCUUAUUGAAACAUGUCUGACCACUGAUAAGAAGACCUCCUUAAAAUCAACCCUUUCCUUCUGUGUAUACCCUUUUGCUACUAGCCUAGCUUUGAAUCUCUUAGGAUCAUCAACUGUCAACCCUUCUUUGAGCUUCAAAAUCCAUUUGCACCCCACAAUCCUUCUUUUCUCAGGUUUCUUUACCAAUUCCCAGGUGUUAUUCUUGUAUAGUGAGUCUAUUUCAUCAUCCAUAGCCCUCUGCCAUUCUGAUUUAUAUGAACUCUUCAUAGCCUCUCUGUUGCUUGUUGGCUCAUCUUCAUCAAUCUCAUAUGAUGCAGCCAGAGCAUAAGCAAUGAGGUUAGCAUAACCAUAUCUUUGUGGAGGUCUUAUUUGUCUCCUUUCUCUAUCUCUGGCCAGAUGGUAGUCUCUAAGUUGAGUUGGAGUGUGCUGUUGAGAUUGUGCCUCAGUGUUUCUACUACUGUCAUCUUCAUCUCCAUCAGAAUCUGCAGCUUCUUGAGAAGACUUUUUAUUUGGAUGCUCCACCUCAAACUGUAUACUCUCAAGUGUUUUAUCCUGAGGUUCAGCAUCAUUGUUUUGUGGUUUUUUUCUGAGCACAGUUUCUUCAUUAAAGAUCGCAUCCCUGUUGAUGAUGCACCUUGGUAGGGAUAAGUCUGUGCACCAUAACUUGUAACCCUUUACACCAUCUGGAUACCUAAUAAACUUUCUCCUCAGAGCUCUUGGAGAUAAUUUCCCUUGUUAACAUAUGCAUAAGUAUCACAUCCAAAAGCUUUAAGGUCUGCAUAGUUACCAGGUUUUCCAUACCACAUUUCUAAUGGUGUUUUAAAGUCAAUUCCAGCAGAUGGGCUAAGGUUCACUAAAAGAUAGGCUGUCAGCAAGGUUUCUGUCCAUAGCCCCUUAGGAAGUUGGGACUAUAUCAUCAUGCAUCUGACUUUGUCCAUUAAAGUCAUGUUCAUCCUUUCAGCUAGGCCAUUUUGUUGUGGGGUUAACCUUACUGUUCUAUGUCUUGCAAUCCCUUCAUUUGCACAAAAACUGUCAAACUCUUGAUUGCAAUAUUCAAGGCCAUUGUCUGUCCUUAGUUUUUUAACCCUUUUUUCAGUUUGAUUCUCUACCAGAGCUUUCCACUCUUUAAAUUUACCAAACACCUGAUCUUUACUUUUCAGCACAUAUACCCACACUCUCCUAGAGUAGUCAUCUAUCAUGGUCAUAAAGUAUCUAUUUCCACCUAGAGAUGAGAUCUGAAAUGGACCCCAAAGGUCUGAGUGUAUAUAUUGCAAGAUCUCAGUGGUCUUAUGUAUUGAUUUCUUGAACCUAUUCCUAGUAGAUUUACCUAGGAUGCAUUCUUCACAGAAAACUAGCUCCUCAAUUGUAUCACUCCCCAAAACACCUUGCUUUUUAAGUUUUUUCAGACCUUUGAUACUCAUAUGCCCAAGCCUUAAGUGCCAUAGUGUAGUUUUAUCUAUGGCAGUGCUUUCAAUGGCAUUAGAGACCCCUGUUACAGACUCCCCAUCUGAGACAUAAACUCCAUUCUUUCUGGUUCCUUUCAUAACCAGUGUGGAUUUAUUUAGAAUCUUCAACACCCUUGAUUCAAGCUUAAUGCUACAUCCCAUUUGAUCCAUCAUUCCUAAAGAAAUCAAAUUCCUUUUAAGUUCUGGAAUAUGUCUAACCUGUCUAAUUUCUUUUAUAGACCCAUCAUGUAGCUUAAGAUGAAUUUUACCAAUCCCAAUGACUUUACACACUGUGUUAUUACCCAUCAUUACUCUUCCUCCAUCAAGAUCUUGAUAAUCAGAAAAAUAACUCUUAUAUGGACUCAUAUGAAAUGUGCAACCAGAGUCAAGAAUCCACUUACCCUUUUGUAUAUCCUCAGUAGCAACACACACACACCUGCUGACUCUUAGUCAUCAUCUUCUUCAGCUGUAGCUGCAUUCCCAAUUCUCUCCUUAUUCUUGUUCUUUAAAUCUAGACAAUCCUUCUUGAAAUGUCCUUCCUUAUGGCAAUGGAAGCAUUUCAGGUCCUUUGGCUUGGUUUUAGGUUUGGACUGCUUCUGAUUCUUUGCUGCAUUCUUAUUCUUUUCAAACUUCCCCUUUACUGUUAACCCAACUCCACUUUCUAUACUCACAGAUUUUUCUUGCAACCCUCUAGUAUUUAAGGCUGCCUUCACCUUAUUCAAGGACGAUGUCUGCCUCCCAUACAUUAGGGCAUCCACAACAUUAGAGUAUGAUUGUGGAAGUGAACUUACCAAGAGCAGAGCUUUACUUCAUCACUGAGGCUUUCAUCAAUGGUCUCCAAGGUGUCACACACUCUAUUGAAUUCAUCGAUAUGAUCAUCAAGAGAGGAUCCCUCUGCCAUCUUUAGAGUAAACAUCCUUUUCUUGAUAUGAAGUCUGUUGGUAAGAGACUUUGUCAUAUAGAUGGUUUCCAAUUUUAUCCACAAAUCAGCCACUGUUUUCUCCUUGGCAACUUCUCUAAUAACAGAGUCUCCAAGACUCUGGAUUAUUGUGCUUCUUGCCCUUCUGUCUAUAUCAGUAGCCUGUUGUGGUGUUAGUGACGAUGAAGCUUCCAUUCCCUCUUUCUUAGUGACUGGUUCUAAAGCUUCUCCUAGUCCCUGAGUUAUCAGUAGAGCCUCCAUUUUUACUUUCCACAUAUUGAAGUCGUUCUUGGCUGUAAACUUCUCCAAAUCAACUUUAGGAUGAGCCAUACUAGAAUCUGAUUAAAGAAACCCUGCUCUGAUACUAAUUGUAGAAACUGAAGGGCACUUAAUUACUUAACACCUCAGUUUCUGCCCAAGAUCUAAUAUCAGAUUCCUAGAUGCUUCUAUAGAUGACUCGAAGAAACUUAACCAAGAACCCAAAGUAACAAAUCAAGAAUGGUUUAAGAAUCACAAAAGAUUAAAGAACUAAUGAAUCAAUGAAACAAAAAGAAUAAAGAACAGGAGUGAGUUAACGUGGUUCAGCUAACUCUCGUUAGCUUACAUCCACGGAGGAACAAGACAACAGGCCUUUAUUGAAUGAACUCAAAGUUACAGAGAUUUCAGAGUGUAUGUUAUGGAACUACACCCCCUCUCUCAAGAGACUAACUCCCUUUAUAUACUCAUUUGUUCAUCACCAGCUAGCUGCACCAGAAUCAGCUCCUUUCAGUUGCUGAUAACCACCUGGAAACUAAUUCCAGAUGCUCACGUGAGAUGCAUGCUUCAUCAACGACUUUUAACAGUCUUGUUAUUAGGAUCUCACGCACGUGCAUCUCAUGUGCUUCAUUAAUCCUGAAACGGCACUCUCUCAAGUCGUUUCGAAGUCCUUUAAUUGAUUUCACUAGUUACUUUACACUAAUUCUAUUAAGCUGAGGUGAAGGGUGAAGCUCAAUGUUUCAAACUAUUAAAUUUAUUAUUUUCUCAAAUGAGUUUAAAGUUUAUUUUAUUCUUUUCUAAUUAUUUUUAUGUCAUAUUAAUUUAUAAAUUUCUUUGGAUCUGUAUGGUAUUUUGACAUAAUGUCGACACAUUAAUAUAGUGUGGCACAUUAGGUACUUUAUUUCAUAUUUAUCCACACACAUAAAAUUAAAUGAUAUAAUAAUUAACUGGUAAAAGUGAGGUAAAAUAUAAAUGAGAGAGUAUUAAAAUUAUAGUUUGAAUACAGAGAGUGGAUCCCGAACCUUAGCAUAUUUUAAGAUUGAUUUCAAAUAAUUUCUUUUCCCCACAAUUAAUUUUCUUAGUUUUAAAUUGACUACUAGAUUUAAAAUUUCCUAUGGUUCAACCCCGGUCUCACUGGGUUAUAUUAUAACUAGACACUCUUAUACUUGGGAGCAUUACACUUUUUAGUCAUGUCAAGUUUUUGGUGUCGUUACCGAAGAGUUUUUUAAUUUGAUGUUAGUUUGUCUUUACUUUAAUUUUUUAUUUUUUUUUAUUGUUACUAUCUUUCCCUUGAUUCUAUUUUACUCUCUUUUUGCAAACUUCAGUUAGCACCCCUCUUCUUCUUAAACUUUAACAUUACCUACAAAAUUUGUGAGAAACUUCAAUUUAGCCCAGAAACCUUUGCAAAUCAGUCCCCAAAUCAAAUUUAUUUCUUUAAAUUUCUGCAAUUUACUUUCUGCAUUUAUUUUAAAUGGUCGGUUCUACUGCCUAACUGUUAUUUAAAUUUUGUUAAUUUAUGUAUUUCUGUUUAUAUGGUCGGUUCUACCGCCUAGCAUUUUAAUUUCAGUUUAUUUAUUUUUGUGCAUUAAUUUAUUUAAUUUUAUGCUUUAUUAUACAGCUGGUUUUAAAAUACCACCUAAACUGUUUCUUUUAAUGGCUGGUUUCACCACCUAAUUUAUUUAUUUAUUUUUCAGUUUGUUUAUUUUAUUUCGCAUUUUUGCUUAUUUAAUUUCCAAUUUAUUUUUAUUUCUGCAAUUUUCAUUUAGCGUUUUUUGCAUAAUUAGUUAAGCACACAUCAUUAGCAUUACAUGCGUCGUUGGUCUCGUACAAAUAAUGGCAGAUUAAUUAAAAGAUCACCUUCACUGCCCUUAGAUAUGGCUGACACAUGAGCUGAAAAUUUUUCGGAGCACGAAAAUGACCAAGCCUUGCAAAAUAUUCAUGAAUAGCAUAGAACCCUUAGAGAUUUCAUGCAUCCUACUAGAACAGGGUCACCAUCAUGCAUAGUUUUCCCUUCUGAUGCAUCAUGUUUUAAUUUUAACCUGGUAUCAUUCAACUUCUUUAUACUUUUCAUGGUUUUGAGUCUGAAAAUCCAUAUUUACAUUUAAGGGAAUUUGAGGAAGUCUGUAACACAUGUACUGAUCAAAAUUGUAGCAUAAAUAUAAUCAGGCUUAAGUUUUUUCCUUUCUCACUAAAGGAUAAAGCUAAAAUUUGGCUACAAAAUCUUAGGUCAGAAUCCAUCAGAACUUGGGAUGAAAUGCAAGCACAAUUUUUGAAAAAAUUCUUCCCACCCCACAAAACAAAUUCUUUUAAAAGACAAAUCACCACUUUCACUCAAAAACCAGGAGAAACUUUCUACCAAUGUUAAGAUAGGUUUAAAGAACUACUUAACAUUUGCCCACAUCACGGUUUUGAAACAUGGAGAUUAGUGUCUUAUUUCUACGAGGAAUUAACAUCCCAAGGUAGACAAGUCAUUUAAAUGAUGUGUAAUGGUGAGUUUAGGGAUAAAAGUCCUGAAGAUGCAUUAGAUUAUCUUAACUAUAUAGCAGAGAAUGCACAACACUGGGAUACAGUUGGGCCUUAUGAGUCAUCAAGUAAACCCCAGUCAUCUCCACUGGUGGAGGCAUGCAUAACCUUAGGGAAGACCAUGAAUUUCAAGUCAAAUUUGCAUCAUUAACUAGAAAAGUCGAAGCAUUAAAGUUGAAAAAGAAUGAUCAUGUAAAGUCUGUUAAAAAUAUUUCAUGUUAUAUUUGCGAUUCUACUGACCAUUCUACGUAGGACUGUCCAACUUUACCAGCUCUGAGAGAAAGUUUGCAUGAACAAGUAAAUGUCGUUGACAAUUUCAAAAGGCCAAAUCCAAAUCCAUACUCCCAAACUUACAACUCUGGUUGGAGAAACCACCCAAAUUUCAGUUAGAGAAAUGACAAUCACGUACAACUUCACAACCAGUUCCUCCACGUCAAAAUUUUCAAAACUCCCAGAGUUACCCACCAUAUGUCCCACCACAAAAAAAAAAAAAACUCUGGAAGACAUAUUGCAUUCAUUUAUUGAAAAACAAGAGUCGAAACCAAACAAUGCAAACCUUAACCAAUUUGACAGAAACUAUCUCCAAACUUACAUCUGCUCUGACCAUACAUGAAAAAUGAAAAUUUCCUGCUCAACCUGAACCAAACCCUAAGAGUCAACAACAUCCUCAAAUGGGAAAUUCAGGAAACCAAAAUAUGAGUCAAGUCAAAUCGGUUAUAACCCUUCAUAGUGGUAAAGUAGUCGAAAAAUACAUUAUGGACCCUCGUGAAACUAGUAAAGAUUCAAUUUCAGAAAAUAGGGAAGAGUCUGUCGAACUUUUAACCCAUGAAGAAAUAACCAACUCUCCUCAUGUACCCUCAUUUCCUCAAGCACUAAUCAAGCCAAAGAAAUCAAAUCACAGUCCAGAAAUUUAUGAAGUUUUUAAACAAGUAAAGGUCAACAUUCCUCUGCUGGAUGUCAUUAAACAAGUGCCGUCCUAUGCUAAAUUUCUGAAAGGUCUGUGCACGGUGAAAAGGCAACAUAAGAUGCAAAAGAGAGCUUUUCUAGCAGAACAGGUAAGUUCCAUUCUCUCAACCAAUAGUACUUUGAAAUACAAGGAUCCUGGUUGUCCAACUAUUUCUUGCACUAUUGGGGAUCAUAAAAUUGGACAUGCUCUACUUGAUCUUGGUGUCAGUGUUAAUUUGCUUCCUUACUCAGUGUACCAACAACUCAAUCUCGGUGAGUUAAAACCAACUUCUACCACUCUUUUACUUGCUGAUAGAUCGAUUAAAGUUCCAAGAGGAAUAAUGGAAGGUGUGUUAGUCCAAGUCGAUAAAUUCAUAUAUCCUGUGGAUUUUAUUGUUUUGGAAACGGGACCAAUUGCUAAUGAAUGCAAACAAAUUCCUGUUAUAUUGGGUCGACCAUUUUUAGCUACUGCUAAUACUUUGAUAAAUUGCAGGAAUGGAUUAAUGAAUUUAUCUUUUGGCAACAUGACACUGGAACUCAAUGUGUUCAACAUGUGUAAACAACCUCACCACCAAGAAUAUGAUGAUAAUGAGAAUGAGGAGAUUGAUCUCAUCGAGCCAAUCAUUGAGGAACAUAUUCAGGAUGAGAAUUUUACAAACUCUGUAGAAAUUUAUUUUACCGGUUCUUUUGAAUCAAGUAAGGAAUUAGAUUGUGAUACUACUAACAUAUGCCCUACACUUGAUUCUAUGCAGGUACCUACAGGUGAUGAUGACCAAUCGAACUUUGAAGAUGUGGUACAACCUGAAGAACCAAACGAAGAGGAAGCACCAGAGCUCGAAUUAAAGCCCUUACUAGAAGAAUUGAAGUAUGCCUAUCUUGGAAAGCAGCAGACAUAUCCGGUGGUAAUUUCUUCCCAGCUCACGAAUGAUCAAGAAGGUAAGUUGUUGUCUGUACUAAAAAGGCAUAAAACUGCAUUUGGUUGGACCUUAAAAGACAUAAAAGACAUUAAUCAUUUAAUUUGCACACACUGAAUACACUUAGAGCAAAAUACCAAAACAACCCGUCAACCACAAAGAAUACUAAACCCUCGUAUGAAAGAAGUGGUAAAGAAUGAAGUCCUUAAACUACUAGAUGUAGGAAUUAUCUACCCUAUCUCUGAUAGUAAAUGGGUAAGUCCAACACAAGUAGUACUAAAGAAAUGUGGAAUAACUGUUGUAAAAAAUGAAAAAGGUGAACCAAUCCCAACACGAACUCCAUCUAGUUGGCGCAUGUGCAUUGAUUACAGAAAAUUAAAUGAUGCCACUAGAAAAGAUCAUUUUCCCCUUCCAUUUCUAGACCAAAUUCUCGAAAGAGUAGCUGGACAUCCCUACUACUGCUUUCUUGAUGGCUACUCUGGCUAUUAUCAAAUCCCUAUAGCCUUAGAAGACCAGGAAAAGACCACAUUCACAUGCCCAUUUGGAACAUUUGCAUUUAAGAGAAUGCCCUUUGGACUUUGUAAUGCUCCUGCAACAUUUCAAAGGUGCAUGCUAAGCAUUUUUAGUGACAUGGUUGAAAAUUGUCUAGAGGUUUUUAUGGAUGAUUUAACUGUAUUUGGUAAUUCUUUUGAUACAUGUCUUGAUAAUCUAGAAAAAUUUUUGUAAAUGUGCAAAGAAAAAUGACUAGUUUUAAAUUGGGAAAAAUGUCAUUUCAUGACCACUUCUGGAAUUGUCUUGGGCCAUGUUGUGUCUUCAAAAGGAAUCAAAGUUGAUAAAGCCAAAGUUGAAGUCAUUUCAAAAUUACCCUCACCAAAGACAAUUAGAGAAGUCCGUUCUUUUUUAGGACAUGCAAGAUUUUAUAGGAGGUUUAUAAAAGACUUUAGUGUCUUAUCUAGACCAAUUUGUAACCUUCUAAUAAAAGACACACAAUUUGAAUGGACUAAAGAUUGUCAACAAGCUUUUGAAAAAAUAACUACUCUUUUGACAUCAGCCCCAAUAAUGCAACCCCCUGAUUGGUCUUUACCUUUUGAGCUAAUGUGUGAUGCUAGUGAUUAUGUCGUUGGCGCUGUUCUGGGUCAAAGAAAGGAAUGUAAGUCCUUUGUCAUCUAUUAUGCAAGUAGAACUUUGAAUAGUGCUCAAAUGAAUUACACUACAACUGAGAAAGAACUAAUUGCUGUAAUAUUUGCAUUGGAUAAAUUUCGUUCGUAUUUAAUUGGUUCAUCCACUAUUGUUUAUUCUGAUCAUGCUGCUGUGAGAUAUUUAAUGUCAAAAUAGGAUGCCAAACCAAGGUUGAUACGAUGGAUUUUACUACUUCAAGAAUUUAACUUGACAAUCAAGGACAAAAAGGGCGCUGAAAAUGUUGUUGCAGAUCAUCUUUCGAGACUUACGAAUGAGUCUUCAAUUGAAACAAUACCCAUCAAUGAUUCUUUCAUUGAUGAAUUUUUAUUUUCUAGAAAAAAAAUGGUUUGGUAUGCUAAUAUUGUUAAUUAUCUUGCAACAGGUGAAAUGCCAUGUGGCUGGAGUUCCCAAGACAAGAGGAAAUUCUUUACAGAAGUGAGAAACGUUUACUGGGAUGAUCCAUACCUGUUCAAAUACUGCUUCAAUCAAAAUUUUUGAAGAUGCAUACCAGACGACGAGGUAAGUAGGGUCAUUCAAUUUUGUCAUUCUGAAGCAUGCGGUGGCCAUUUUUCUUCAAAAAAGACAGCUGCAAAAAUAUUGCAGUGUGGAUUUUAUUGGCCUACAUUAUUAAAAGAUUCACAUACAUUCUAUAAAAUGUGUAAGAAUUGUCAAAUGGUAGGGUCUAAUUCAAAGCGAAACAUGAUGCCUUUAAACCCCAUCCUUGUCAUUGAAAUAUUUGAUUGUUGGGGAAUUGAUUUUAUGGGCCUUUUUCCAUCAUCAUUUGGAUUUGUAUACAUUUUGGUUGCUGUUGAUUAUAUUUUAAAAUGGAUCGAGGCGAUUCCUUGUCGGUACAAUGAUCACAAGAUUGUGAUCCACUUUUUAAAAGAAAAUAUUUUAAGCAGAUUUGGAAUACCUCGAGCCAUUAUUAGUGAUGGAGGUAAGCAUUUUUGUAAUAAGCCAUUUGAGUCCUUAAUGAAGAAAUAUGGAAUUACACAUAAGGUUGCUACCCCUUAUCACCCUCAAACAAGUGGUCAAGUUGAAUUAGCAAAUAGGAGAUAAAACAAAUUUUAGAAAAGACAGUUAAUCCAAACCGUAAAGAUUGAUCUCUUCGACUAAUUGAUGCACUUUGGGCAUAUUGUAUUGCUUUUAAAACAUCUUUAGGAAUGUCACCCUAUUGGCUUGUUUAUGGAAAAUCUUGCCAUUUACCAGUAGAACUUGAACAUAAAUCAUUUUGGGCCAUUAAAGCUUUUAAUUCAAAUCUUGAUGAUGCUGGCAAUGUGCGUAAAUUGCAAAUAAAUGAACUUGAGGAAUUAAGGAAUGAUGCAUAUGAGAAUUCCAGAAUUAGUAGGGCAAGAACCAAAUUUUUUCAUGACAAAAGAAUUUUUCGAAAAACAUUUGAAAUUAGUCAAAAAGUGUUGCUUUAUAAUUCUCGUCUUCAUUUAUUUCCAGGGAAGUUAAAGUCAAAGUGGAAUGGUCCAUUUGUUGUAAAAAAUGUGUAUCUAUAUGGAGCCGUAGAAAUUGAGAAUUCAAAUGAUGGUGUCACAUUUAAAGUUAAUGGCCAAAUAUUGAAACCAUAUCUAGAAUACCAACCAUGUGAAGUAGAUACCAAAAUCAAUUUGAGUGACCCACCAAAAUUUUGAUUAAGCCUUUUCAUUUUAACGUUUUGUGAAUUUGAUUUACUGUUACUUUAUCGUUUGAAUUGUUUGAUUUUUUUUCUUUUUUCUUUUCCCUAUGUCUUGAAUGGAGUGCAUUGCAUUGUCUUUAAUUGUGUGUUGUUUGAACAUUGUGAUUUAGCUCACCAAACUUUUAUACUUGUCAUGAGUACCUCCAUGAGGAAUUUCCUUUUCGAUCAUCUUAAAACGCUUUUACAUGUAAAAUUUCACUUGAGGAAAUUACUCCGAUUUUGUAAAUCACAUCCCAUUUGGGAUCUACAACCACCGAGUUAGUAUCUCACGUGAAAGAUCUAGAAAGACAACUCAAGGAAAUAGAGGAUGGUAUUUAUAAUCUGCAAUUGGAACUGGAGGUAAAUUCAAUAAAACGACGAAUGUGAGUUAUAUUCCUUGUGUAUUUUUGUUUUAUUUUGUUGUUUUUCUUCACUUUUGAUUUGAUUUUGCAGAUUUGAUUCGUUUUGUUUUUAUUCACUCUCCCGUAUAAAUGGCGGAUAACGGUACUCCGUGACUUUUUAAGUCGGUAUUCUCAGUUUCCCACAAUAACUGAAACCUCAAUGUCAAGCAUGGAAGAAAUACAACGAAAAUUACAUCAACAUUUUCCUUCUCUCCCUCAAAAUGCUCUUAAAAAGAUUUACAAAGCUCGUUUUGAACGAUUGCAUUUGUUAAUGAUCAAUGGGAUUCCUGCUGACAUUCACUGGUUAAUUGAAGCAAAGGUCCGAUUGGCAGGUGAGUUUUCUGAUCCAUUCAUUUCCUACAUGCCUGGUUUUGGUAAAAGUACAUUUGCUAAGAAAAGAAGAGCUAAGCGACUUGGCUCUGAAUGUUCUCACUGUGUAAGACUUGCUUGCAAAAAGCCACGUUGUAAAGAUUUAGGAAUGGUUUCUGUAAAUUAUGAAGAUAAAAUCAAAUUCGUUAAGGAUGGCAUGAGUAAAGAAUCAUUGGAUGAUAUCUUACGAUCUCUUGAGACGCAUCCGAGCGGAUAUGUUCAAUGUGAAAUUCAAAAUUUGUGAAAGUUGUUCCAAAAGGAAAGUGCACAGUUUAGUCUUGGGAAUCUGACUCUAAAAGACCAUGUUUGCCAGUUUAUAAGAAAACUUGUUGGGAAGCCUAUCCUCGACCCAUAGAGGGCGUUCAAGCCAUUACUGGACGUAAAACCAAAGGAAGAUGUUAGCCACAAUCACAAUUAUCAGCAAAUAUCCUUUUAUUUUACUGUUCUUUUAUUUUUUACAUUAUUAUUAUUAUUGUGUUUUUUUAAUCUAAUUAUUGUUUGCUUUUUCUUUUCACUGUUUGCUUUUGAAUUAUUAAGCUAAAAGCUUCACGCGUCAGUUGACAAACACCCCACCCUAUUUACAGAUGUAUAUCAUUAUGUCCGUCACCAAGAUCUUUAAAUAGGAACUUCUUUUCAAGCACUCACAAAUUGUUUCUUUUUAGAAUUUUUGUAAUGGCAGCAACUUCAAGCAGACAACUAAAGAACAUUUGUGUGCUUUCUGGGUUUCGCUAUGGAAAGUAUAAGGAGUUCGUUCAGGCAGUCAUAGAUCUUGGUCGUGCUAUAGUAAAGAGGAAACUACAUCUUGUAUAUGGAGGAGGUGACCGAGGGUUAUCAAAGCUUGUCUCUGAAGCUACUUUCGUUCGAGGAAGCCAAGUGCUAGGCAUCAUUCCAAAAGCCUUAAAACCUUUAGGAUGCCUACCAGACUCACCAACUGGAGAAGAGUUAGUUGUCUUAGGUAUGCAAGAAAUAAUAUCCGAAAUGUUAAAUCAUGCUGACGCUUUCAUUUUCUUGCCAGGAGAUCUUGCAACUUUAGAGACGCUAAUUAUAUUUGCUUCUUGGGCCCAUUUGAAUAUUCAUCAAAAACCCAUCGUUUUGUUAAAUGUUUGAUAACUUUUAUGAUAGCUUAAUAAUAUUUCUUAAUCAUGCAAUAAAAAAUUACUUCAUUCCAUCCUCAACAAAAAAACUCUUUGUUUGUGCUCCUACUGCUAAUGAGUUACUUGAUCUUUUGCAAGCUUACAAACCAGAGCCAGAUCCCAUGACUUUGGCGUUGGAUUGGGCAACUGAUGACGAUGGCAAUAACUCUCGUAAAAAGUGUAAAUUAGAUUUAACUCUCCAUUUGUAAAUAUUUCCAGCAGUGGUCAGGUGAUAUCUUCUAAACUCUACUCAUUUCUUUAGACAUUGAGGACAAUGUCUCUUUCAGGUUGGGGGGAGGGAAUAGUUGAUAAUUGUGGAAUGUCUCAAUCCUAGUGAUGUUUUUACUAAUUUUUAUUAUAAAGACUAACUUUGGAUAAAAAUUUGAGUCGAAGAUGGCAGAAUAUAGAAUGUAGUGUCUCUAGAAACACAUCUUCUUAAGUUUAGUGUUUUGUUUCCAAAAAAAAAAUGUCUUCUAACGUUUUAUUUUCUAUUUUUUUUCUCUUUUUCUCUUAAUCAUCUCCCUUAAGUUUUUGCAAUCAGUCCCAAUUUCUUUUAGUGUUUCUUUAACAAAAAAAAAAAAGAGUUUUCUUUUUCAGUGUGAUCUUUUAACAUUGGAUAACAUGACGAUUUUCAAAUUUUGGUAUUUGUAUUAUCUUUGGCCUUGAGUUAUGAUACACUAUGUUUUCCCUUUUGCAUGUUGAAACGUAAAUUGAGAAAUUGGAUGAGUGAAAUUGAUUAAGCCAUUUGGAGGAAUGUACAUGUUAUGAAAAGACCAAGCGCGUUUUUGAGCCUAUUAUCCUUGGAGAGUAAGCUUGUUUAACUAUACAGCUUCACAAUUUAUUGUACAAGAUCUCAAUAUUUUCUAAAAAAAAGUAAAAAAAAAAAAAAGAAAGUUUGUGCAGCCGCAUCUAAAAGUCCAUUGAACUAGUGGAUAUGAAAUAUUAUAUAGAGCCCUAAAAGAUGACAAAAUGUCAUCUUUGAUUCAUUUGAGCCAUUCUAGCCAACCCUAUUAUAAAGAAUCUAUAGUUAACCCCUUUGACCCUUUGAAAAAAAAAAAAAACUUUUCCUUUGAUAACCUAUUAUCUUAUCUCACUCCAAUGUGGAGUAUCACCUUAUAUUUUAUGUUUUCCACCACCCAAUUAUGUUUGAAAAUAUGGAUGAUUAUGUAUUCCUAAUAAUGGUGCUAUAAAAAAAAAGAUGAUAUGUAUAGAUGAAUAAAUAAAAUAAAAGAAAAGAAAAAAAAAGAGAGUAAAAAAAAAUCCAAAAAAAGGCACCUUGUAAUCUCCAAAAAGACCCCUAUUUUUCAACAUAUAUUUUUGUUUUCCCCAUUACCUUCUUUUGUUAGCCAUAACCCUAACCUAAGUUACAUCCUAAUAAAAGUCCUUCUUGAUUUUAAGAAACUAUAGUGUGAAGUAAAGCUGGUGAUAUGGACUAAAAGAUGUGGUGAUGCAUAAAAAUAAAAAUAAAUUUUUCCAGUAAUUCCUUGGAUUUGAGAUCAUUUUAUUUCUAAACUGUGGGCAUUAUUUUUUUUUUUAUCUUGGUGAGAGCGUGUGAUAUUGUUUUAUUAUUCUCUCAAAUUUACCAUAUUUUUUAGAGUGACAAUUUAAUUUGGGGUAUAUCUUCUUUUGAGACAGGUACUCGUAAUCGUGAGAUUUUGGGGUUUGAUGUAUCAUUCUUAAAAGUGGCUUGAUUAAUGUAGCUCUGAUGAUUGAUCAUUUUACAGGCUUUUACUGAAUUAUUUUGUGUGGGUGUGAUUUUCUUUAGGCUGAAGAUAAUGCUUAUAUUUUUAUUUGAUUAUUUUCAUUGAUCCGAUGAAAGAAGUGAACACAAUUUUCAAAAAAAAAAUCAAUUUGGUUUUGAAAUUUCUCUAAAUUUUUAUCGCUUAAAUUGCUAGGGCCUAGCAAUAAGUUGAUUGGGGGGUGUGAUUGACACUAAAAAGUGUACAUUUAAUAAGGAUAAAAUUCUUAGUUUUUCAUUUAUUGUGUCGAUUAAUGCGUUCAUUAUUUUUAAAUUAUUUUAAUACUCCCCAAAUAUAUUUUAAGUUAAAUUAAUUCGCAAUUUGUUAAUUUUUAUCUUGUAAAUAUUUUUCAUGAAUAAAGAUGAAAUUAGAAUUGAAAGCGGGAAUAGAGAAGAACUACUGGAACACAAAUUGAAGAGAUGUAAUAAUAAAUAAAAAAUAAAAUAAAAUAAAGAACAAAAGCAUGUUGGUGAUGGUCAGGAGGCCAUCACGCCUCCUGACCAUCACACAAUUCAAUAUGUAUAUAUAAUAUAAAAACAAAAUAAAAUAUUAAUAUUAAUAAAAUAACAAAAGAUGAUUCCCUUGCCUAUAAAAGGCAAGGGGAUGCAAGCGAUGAGGGGGCGGGAGCCGAGAGCCAGAAGCUAGUAGAGCUAUUUUUGAUAAGCGUAAGCCGAGAGAGAAUAAAGUGCAGUCUUUUCUUGUUUCCUUUUGUAAUCAACUUUCUUGUAACGUUUUCAAAAGUUUAUCAAAUAAAUAGAGUGUUGUGUUUUCUUUCAAUAUGAGUGGCUAAUUUUAUAAAGCUGAGGUGAAGGGUGAAGCUCAAUAUUUCAAACUAUUAAAUUUAUUAUUUUCUCAAAUGAGUUUAAAGUUUAUUUUAUUCUUUUCUAGUUAUUUUUAUGUCAUAUUAAUUUAUAAAUUUCUUUGGAUCUGUAUGGUAUUUUGACAUAAUGUCAACACAUUAAUAUAGUAUGACACAUUAGGUAUUUUAUUUCAUAUUUAUCCAUACACAUAAAAUUAAAUGAUAUAAUAAUUAACUGGUAAAAGUGAGACAAAAUAUAAAUGAGAGAGUAUUAAAAUUAUAGUUUGAAUACAGAGAGUGGAUCCCGAACCUUAGCGUAUUUUUAAAUUGAUUUCAAAUAAUUUCUUUUCCCCACAAUUAAUUUUCUUAGUUUUAAAUUGACUACUAGAUUUAAAAUUCCCUGUGGUUCGACCCCGGUCUCACCGGGUUAUAUUAUAACUAGACACUCUUAUACUUGGGAGUAAUACACUUUUGAGUCGUGUCAUAUACUAAUGGAUUUGGUCCAUAACAAUGGGUUCCAAUGGAUGGAUCUUGUAGCACUUGCCAAUGAAGCCCUAUUGAUUAGUAAUACAUAAAAAAAAUCAAUUAUAGACACUAAUACAUUUAAAUUUGCUCUUCAUAGACAAACUUGGGAUUUGUAAUCCUAAGUAAGAUCGGUACAAGAUCAUGGGAUCAUUUUCUAUCGGAUAGGGAGGGCUAUUGUACAAAAUGUACUUCUAAGUAAUUUCCCCAUAGAUCCUAUAUCUAUCUAUAUAAAGAAGAAAUCAUGUAAUGAAGGGGAUUCUUAUUUGUACAAAUGGUACUUUGAAUUUAGAACGAGCAUGAAGAAAUUAACGGUACUUCUUUAUAUUUUGAGUUGCUCUACUAGAUCAGUCGCUCAAGACCUUUGGUAUUUACCUAAACCCAAUGAAAAAAUGAGAUCACUUCUUCUAAUGUUGCUAAGAAUGAUUUUCAUCUAGUCUAUGACCUAUUAGAAGUAGAAGGUGCCCUAAUGAGAUCCUCACAGAUAGAAAAAGAUUGCAGUCGAUUUGAGAAUAAUCAUGUGACAUUGCAAAUCGGAAUUUGAAGAGGAGGAAGGAGAAAGAGUCCUCGACUCACAACAUACAAAGGAGGAUUUAUUUAAUCACAUAGUCUAGGCUCCUAGAAUAUGGCGCCCUUAGGGCAUUCUAUUUGAUCGUGUCGAAAGGCCCAAUGAACUAGGAUUUCCCUAUCAUGCCAAGUCAUUUUGGGGCAAGCAGAUCAUUUAUGAUGAAAAUGAUAAACUUCAAGAGAAUGAUUUGGAGUUCUUACAGAGUAAAAACAUGAGUAUCAUACAAGAGAUAGAUCUUCCAACGAAUAAGGCUUUUUUCAAAUAAGCCAAUUCAUUUAGGAACCUACAGAUCCACUCUUUUUCCUAUUCAAAGAUCAGCCCCUUGUCUUUGUGUUUUCACACCAAAGAUUCUUUGCAGAUGAAAAAAAUGUAAAAGAGGCUUCUCACUUCCCAACUAGAUCCUUCUACAUCUAUUGAUAAGCACUAGUUUAUCAAGAAUACACAAGAAAAGUAAUUCGAAUUGUUGAUUCAUCGCCAAAGAUCGCUUAAAACCAAUAGUUCAUUAUCUAAUGGAAUUUUUAUUGUAAUACUCCAUCUAAGAGUUAUUAAUAUUUAUCAAAUCUUCUCAGCUGGUGAGUAUGACGGUUACAGCAACUGGUGGUGAUGUUGGCUAGACUGUAAAGAAAGUGGUGGUGGGCAAUGGCGACUAGGGUUUUAAAUUUGGGUUUUUCUUUUUUGUUUUUUUCCCUCAGUGAUGGAUUUGGUGGCAAUGGAUAUGGAUAGCUAAGAAAGUUGUCAAUUGGUACAGAACUACUCCGAUGCCGACUAACAUAGUGGGGUGGGGGAGGUAGAACUGAUAAGAUAAAUAAUAUUAGAUAUCAUUCUAAUACUACUCCAAACCAAUGCAAUUAGGUUACAUUCUAAUCGAAAUGAUUAAAUGUUGCUUUAAUCCAAACUAGGCAAUGAGAUUUUUUAAUAAGGGAGAGUAGACGACGCUCUAAUCCAAACAACUUUAUAAUACAAAUUUUUAUAGAUAAUCUCAAAAGAAAUUAUAAAAGAGGGGUUUUUACUAAUUGAUCAAAGGUUUAAAUUAUAAUAAUAAGACCUUUCUAUUAAUAAUAUAGUAGAUUUAUUUUUCUAAGUUAAUUUAAAGAGGAAACUAAAUCACAAUUAUAAUAAAAAUGAAAGAAUAAGACAAAUAUUAACUCUAAUUAAAAUAAAAAAUCAUAAAAUUAUUAAAAUUCUAAAAUCCUAACAUAACGUCCUACAUCAACCUCUCCUCGUGAUUUAAAUUAUUUUCACCCAUUGAUCUACACAUGCGUUAAGUGUCUAUAUUUAUUUUAUAAACAUUUUGUCCUUCAAAGAUAUCACUCUAUAUUUUCUAAAUGUAAUUUUAUCACUUUUUUCUAUAUCUAUAAAUUUAUCCAAAAAUUCAUCGACAACGCAUUAUACAGUGAUCUUUUGUACUUCAUGUCCACAUUUGUUUAUAUAAAUAUUAAGAUAAGUUGAAGUGAUACGCACUAUUAUCAAAAAAUCAACUCAUCAAUCAUGUAUAGCUUUUUUUUUCUCCUUUAUGAUGGGAAGAUUAUUUCAUCAAUUUUAUAAAAAUAUAUCAUAAAAUAUUUACGCAUAAAUAAUUGUGAAUUAUAACAAAUAAUAAAUUAUUUUUGUAAAUUUAUCUUUCCUUGAUUCAAAUAAAAAUCAAAAUAUUUAACUCCUUGAUUGAAAUUUGUAUGAAUUUUUUAGUUUGAUACGUAAUCAUUAACCUCAUUAUCAAACUCUUCAUGGCAACGCAUAUAUAUAAGAAGUUUGGAUAUUUUUUAGUUCAAUAUACUCCACAUAAGAUUAUUUCAGUAAUUUUGUUAGUCUCAUUGUCAUAAAAUUUUAGAUUUUCUGCCUGCAUUUAUUAGUGUGUGGACUAAAUAGUCAAACAAACAAAAGUAAUAAACAAUUAUACAUCAGGUGGGACUUUCAUAUAUUUUAAAAUUUUAGAUUUUCUACCCGCAUUUAUUUGUGUGUCGACUAAUAGUCAAACAAACAAAAGUAAUAACAAUUAUACAUAAUUAAGAAAUAGAACCGCACUUUGCGCGGUUUUGAAAAAAAAUUAGUAUUAUCCUUUUUUAUUAUUAUAUUUUUAAUGAUUUAUUCUAUUCAAUUAAAAGGCAAGACUUUAAAAAAAAUGAAAAAAAUAAAGUAAAGCUAAAACCAAAUUUUUUUUUAAUUAUUUAAAAUUGCAUUAGUUAAAUUAACACCACGGAAAUAAAAGUGCCAUAGAUGCACCUUGUCUAAGCCAAAAUCUUGGAAACUUGAGGAUGAUAUAUCACCAUGAGGCCACCUGGAGAAGGAGCAGAAGAUGCAUCACAAUAGCCUCUCAGUAUGUUCCCUUCUUCGGCAGUGAAUCCAAGAGAGGUGAGCAUUGCAGGCCAGCAAUUACGGGUGAUGAUAUCAAUAGCGCGGCAACAAUCAGGGUCAAUAUCAGCCUGAUUAUUAAAGAAGAAUAUAACAAUAUCAUUUGAACAUGAUUUCAACUCCAUUAAUGCGUUCCAGCAGUCCGCUACCUUCAAGUUUUAUUGCAAGAUCGUAGCCUGGUUUCAUGUUGUUGUUGAGGUGAUCAUUCCUGCUGGUUGCAUUUGCAAUAUUUGUCAUGAUUAGGCAAGUGAGGACCAAAAUGAAAAACACAUAUUUUAGAGCCAUCGCUAUUUUAUGUUCGUUUAUGUUGUGUUUAUGUUUACGUGGGAUAUCAUGUUUUUUGUUGCUAUUUGUAAAUUAAGGUGAGGCAGAGGAGAAGAGUGAUUAAAAGUGUUUAUAAAUUAUUGUUUAAUGCUUAAUUUAUGAUCAAUAAGGUUUCAAUUAGAAAAGAUAGUGGGUCUUUUGAUGAAUUGUUACAUAUUAAUUGUGUAAUAACAGUCAAAUUAAUUAUGAUAAGAUGAAAAGCCAAAUUUAAAAAAAAAUUUCUAUAUUUAUUAGAUAAUAAAGAAUAUAUAAAGAUGAGAAAUGGUGAUGUCACAUCAUCUCUUGUAGUCCUAAUUUUAUAUAAAUAUAUUUUCAGGGGAGAUUUUCAUAUAUUUUAAAACUCUUUAAGGGAAAAAAAUUACUUUUGUCAAACAAACAAGAGGGUACUGCUCGCUUUCCCGUCAAAAAAUUAUCGUAACAUUUCAGUUACCGCUUAUUAGUUUCUUUGAUUAAUAGUUAAUAAUCUCAUCUGCCGUACCUAGAAUAGAUCUUGAUGAAGCAAGAUCUAAUUUAACAAUCUGAAAAUGUUAAUGAAAAUUCAAAAUUUCAAAAACCAGUUAAUCCAGUUGGGAGAACGAUGACGUGGUAAGUCUGGUUACCACAGAACCUCUACUGCUUUACACACGUUUUCCUCUUUUAUUGAGGGAGAUUUAGGAAACCUCGUAAGGGAGUGAUUUGCUGAUUGCAACAAAAUCGACAAGUUUCUAUCUGAUUCUUAGUUGCUCAUAUUCUGGUUCUUUUGUUAGUUUUAGUCGAUUUCUUCCCAAGACUGCAGCCGAAUGACUACCAUUCUGUAAGGGCUUUCUAAGAUAAAGAAGUUCAUUCUGCGGUGAUGAGUUAGGACUUAGGUACAUGGAGACAGAAGAGAGAAAGCAACCGUCCCAGAAAAAAUGAAAACGAGAAAAUAUAAAUGCAGUCAAAGGUCAAUAAUAAUAAUAUUAGAAAAUUUAGCAAAGAAACCACGCUUCAUGUAAAACCAAUAGUAAUAAGAUUACAUGCAACACCUUUGAAAUUAAACUGAAGUAAUUUGAAUCAGCAAUUAGUAACUGAUCCAUUCUCAGAUUUAGUAAAAACACACGCCAUAAUAUAUUAUAUUAAACAAAUUAAAGUACACACCGAGGAAGAUAAAAGACAUCAAAGAAGGGGAAGUUUAUGGAGGAAGAAAAGCAAAGAACACUACUGAGAAGGGAAAGCAUCAGACAGGAACUCCUCAUCCUCCAUGAAAAUCUGCAGAUUCUUGGACUUCAUCAGGAUCUCAACCACUUCUUCAUUGAAUUCCACAAAGAAAGCCAACUUAAUCAGCUCAGAGAGUGAAUUGAUGUGAUCUUCUUUGUCCCACAACACUCCCUUCGAUAUGGUUUCAGCAAAUGGAAUUGCAUAUUCAAUGCGGUUUUUGUGCCCACCAGACCUGUUAACCUUAUGCGUGAAAAGCUUUCCGCUAUUUCUGUCCCAGCGUAUCAAUUGGCACGCUCUCGCAUCAACAAUUUCCCCUGAUGACAAUGAUAAACUGUACCUUACAGUUAUUGGCUCUGCAGUCUCCAAAAUGGUGAGAUUCAGGAGACACUUGACAGCAUCAUGCUUUUUUGCCGGUUCCAUUUGAAUUGAAGGAUCAGCCAAAAACCCCAGAAUGAGUUUCACCAGCCCUUUGCCAAUAUAGUAGUCCUUCUGAUUCACCUGCUUAUGUUCCACGCCUUCUCCUACAGACAAUUCUUCCUUCUGUACACAAUCUGAGAUUGUGCGAACCCCGAUUUUCCUAUAUAAGUCCAGCAACGUUGUCUGAGGUAAAGCAGGCAAGCUAGGCAGUGGAUACCAGACAAAUAGUGAAUGAGGAGAGGAUUUUUCGAUUACAUCCUUUAGCUGAAGGUCGUCAGCUAUGAAAACAUCACGCUUGUCAAACAACAAAAUACCAUCCAAGCCUGAAUUAACAGGCAGCUUCACCAAGCUGUCAGCCAUAAGUUUCUUUGAACUGCAUUGCUUCAAAACACAACCCCAAAAUGCACAACACUCAGCAUUUGACAGUUUGUAUUCUGAACUUUCCCAAACCUUCCAGAGCUUACAAUAAUCCUCAACCAAAGGAUUGGAUUUAACACCAAAAGCACUUGAGAAGAAGCUCAGUAACUUCCAGUCAUAGUGUUUAUCCAAUACUUUCAUCUGUGUGCUGAACAGACCAUCUUUGUCAUGUAAAACACAUUCUACCGGGCUUACCCACUGUCCACUUUGACUUUCCUCCGGAAUCCAAAUCCUUCUGGCAGCUUCACCAAGAGGCUGCCACUUCAACUGUGCCAAGACAUUGUAGAUUCGAACUAUGGUUGCAAAGUCAGUGCGGAAAUCGAGGUGGCUGGCAAGCAAUGGACAUCCCUUUUCUAAAUCAACGGUGACUCCAAUUGUAUUGAGCUCCUCCCGGUAGUAUUUGAUUUCUGAACCAUAAAAAUCUUCGUCAAGGAAAGGUCCAUCUGUCUGCUUCAAAAGAUUCAAUUCACACGUAGAAUCGAACAACAAGCACUGCUUCGGGCUACUAUAAACUUCACUGCCAUGUGUCCUAAACCACUUUUGUGAAACUUUCUCGUUGAAAGACCUGGUGAAGGUGUAAUUCUUCUCUCGCAAUAUCCUGAUGCAUUUGAGAAGAGAAAUUACAUUUGCACGAGUGACGUUGCAGGGAUUAAUAAAAAGACCAUCAGCGAUAAACUUCACACCAUCUUCAAAUGGUACGACAGUUCCCAUGUCCUCCAGCUCCUCCUCGAAUUCAUGAAUGGCCAUGCUGUAGAAGCGGUCACUGUCAUCAAUGAAGGGAAGCAGAGUAAUAGAAGCGAUAGACUUCCAAUCUGGACCAAAAAGAAUGAAAUCUCUUGGUGAUCUAUAAUCACCAAGGCGAGUCCGCAACCAUUUUGUCUCACGGAUACAGUUAAUAAAUUCAGCAGGAAACUUAAGAGAUGCUCCAUUCAGUUGUCUGUAACAUGAUAGAAACUUCAGGACAUGAUCUUUUGAAAUUGAAGAUGAGGAGGCUUGUUGCUUAAAAAGGCAAACAAAUGCUUUGACAGCCUUCUCAAAUUCAACAGCAACUCCUAACUGCUGCAACUCCCUUUUCGAGCAGACAAUGUUGCUUCCAUAGAAAUUUUGAUCGAUGAUUGGGAAACCCUUAAAAACCUCUAACAGGCAGCCCCAUUCAGGAUCGAACAAAAAACAUUCACCCGGAGACUUGUAACCCUCAUCUGUCUUCAAGCAUUUCGCAUUACCAAGUGCUUUAACAAGUCUGUCAGAAGAUUUGGAAUGGCGCAUGCAUGCCAGUACCAAAUGAACAGCUUCAGCUGUGAGACAAGCUGACGAUGAAGGCAGUUUCAAGUUGUCAAUUACAAGCUGAUAAUUUUGAUUGAAUUCCACCAUAACACCGAGCAGCUGUAAUUCCACUUUGUAACAAAGUAUUUCUUCACCAUAGUAAUUUUGAUCAAUGAAGGGAAUGCCACUUAUUUGAGAUGCAAUUCUCCACUCCUGAUCAUGUAGAACAGAUGUAACAGGUGACCUAUAACCGUGGGAUGUCUUCAGCCAACUUCCUUCUUUGAUGCUCUCAAUAAAGCUAUCUGGUGAAAGAAACUUUUCUCUUAGAAAUCUGAUAAAAUUAACUAUUGAAAACACAUUGUCUUUGGUAACACGGGAUGAUGCUGCCCGAGACAUAAGAUAUUUCCCAAUGAAUUCACAUGCUUCUCGAUAUUCAAACAUCACUCCAAUUGUCUUCAGCUCCUCCUUGUAAUUAAUUAUGCUUUCACCAUAAAAAUUCUGGUCAACCAGGGGAAUAUCAACAAGCAUUGAUCCAUUUUUCAAAAUGUUGCCCAACGAUGAAGUGAGGAAAAAAGAUUGCGAUGGCGGUCUAUAACCUGCAGGGGAUCCAUUCAUAGUGAUUUUCAGCCAGCUGGCUUCCUUUAUGCAUGCCAGAAACUUCGUAGGGAUGCCAAAUCCCCUGAACUUCAGGUUUUUAACCCAAUCCAAGAGAAAAAAUGUGUUUUGCUUGGUGAGUGGGGCAGACACAGCUGGAAUCUAGGCAUUAGGAGGGGAUAAAUGAGGAAUAUCAGAUGCUCCAACAUGAGACUUCAGGAACUCGAUGAUCUGCUCUCCUGUUGUCCUUUGCCCUGCAAAAUUUCCAGGACGCAAGUAGUCUUCCCCUAACUCUAUAUAGCCUUCUUGUCUCCAUGGGUUUGAAACAAUCAAUUCUGCCCAUUUGCUUCCAUUUGCUGGCACAAGGACACCAUUCCCAUUCGUGCUCACAGCCCCAUAAUUAUCCACAAGUGGCAUAAGCCCACACAAAAUUUCAACCUCCCGAGAUGACAAAUACCUCUUUGACAAUGAGUGAUAUAAGAAGUAAGCAAAGACUACAGCAAGCUUUCUGUCAUUUUGCAGAUGCUUAAUGAGAACAGCUGCAUAAUCAUACACAGUCACAGUAGCAACCUUCACCCAGUUUUUCAGCCAUUGCAAUACCACUUCCGUCUGAUAGCACAACAGAAGAGCAACAUAUGUGCUUUCUGGCAUAAAAGAACGAUUGGCAGCACAUCUGAAUUCCUUAUUACAAGCAGUCAACCAGGACAGCUGAGGUGACAAACAUACCAUGUCAUACUGGCGAUGCAUUAAUACUACACAAAGCCACAUUCCCAUCUACGUCAACAUAUUUGAUCAAGGGUAUACUGCCAAUGUUGGUAUUGCUGAAUUUGGAAGACCAAUUUUCAGCAAGGAAAACGAGUAGCUCACAAUAGACUUCUUCGGACACUCCCAAUACAAGAUUAGAACUCUGGAUGCAUUUUGCAUACCAUUCACUGUUGACUGGCGCCACACCCAAGAAAUUAAGUACCGGAUCAUACUCUUCUCUGUCAAAUGAGGAAUUCAGUACAUGUAGUCCAUGGUGGGACAGAUUUCUCAAGCUCACCCCUUCAACUUUUGCUUUCUUCAAAAUAUUCCAAAACCGCGGCAUUAGCUUUCCCACGUCACGGGGUUUGUGGAAGAAUUUCUACACCAUACAUGACUCACUAGGUACAAUAUCUUCUUCAAUAAGCUUUGCUCUAAUUGGUUCUCUUACAUCCUUAUUCAGCUGUGAAUAGGAAGAGCUGUCAAAACGAAACAUUGGCGGCAAACUAGAUACUGGAGCACCUUCUGUCAUCUUCACCAGUGAGAUUAAAGCAUUAACAAAAGCAGAGGAAACACAGCUGAGAAUUCCUUGGUUCCAUUUGUUAUCUAGCACUAUAUUCUCCCUGGAUGAUGCAAGGAGAAAAUCUGCUUGAAUUAUAAAUGGAAAAUUCGUAACCAUCUCCGUUGGAAGAAAUGCAUAGAUUCCAGGAGAGGUUGCUCCUCUCCGGAGACGCUCACCAUUUGGAAACGCCAAUAUGAUCACCCACUCCUCAACAUCCAUUCUCCUCUCCACUUUAUUUUCUUGUUUGACAGGAAAUCUCUGCCUCCACAUAUAGUAGUUGCAUUCUUUAUUAUUCCGGUCGCCAUUUACGGCAAGAUGGAGUGUGUAGGACUCAGCAUCAAUAUUCUUCCUUGUCACAAAAUUGGUCUCGCUGUUUAUAGCUAUUGCACUCACAGUAUUUCGAAGAGGAUCCUUGUUAUCUUCCCUGACUGAAAGGCGCUUUAUCUUUGAAAGGAAUAGCAGUACUUCAGGAUGGUUGAAAGCUGCUGCUUGACAGGUUUGACUUUAUCAGGUUUCAGAGGCAAAACAAAUGUUGUGGUUGGAAGAUCUUUAGAUCCUGAACCGCAUAAUUUCUGUAUGUCUGAGAGAGAUGGCUUCUCAUUGACCCAGUCAGGAACUAUGUAUCCGAGGUUGCAAUGUGGGCAGGGCUCUUCAGUAAACUUUAUCUGAUAGCCAUUGCUGAAUAUGCAAGGCUGAGCACUGAUCAGAAAUACACUUUUGAACCCGAUUCCUGUACGUAACAAGUAUAAUACAAAUAUUUGAGUUACCCAUAAACUAAAAGGCUAGCUAAUUACAUUUUGUUGUUUUGUGUAACUGAAAACUGAAAAUAUAAAAUCUGUUUCAAAUUGCAAAGCAACAAUCCUCUGAGUAAUACUGGCAACAUGAUUGCUUGAAAAUCAAUUGAUUAAGCAUUUGCAGGUUCGAAACAGAACAUACAAUAACAUAAGAAAGCAAACACAUAAAUAUGCAUGAGUAAAUGAAAAGAGAAAAAGGAGUGAUGUAAGGGACCUUUCUCGCCAAUAUAGCCACUUUUACGAUUGCCCUUCUUAGUAGAAUUGCCAACAUCGCAAAUGGACUCAAUAUUCUUGGCAGAAAAACCCUUCUCAUUGUUGAAUAUGAGCAAUGUGGCUGGGGCUCCUGUGCCUGUUAUAUCACGAGAUGUUAUUACAAACUCGAGUGAUGGAUCCACACCCUCCAGGUACUCAUUGUCUUCAGCAUUCUGUCAUGGAAAAAUAAACCACUUUGUUAACUUUCUAAAUCAUCAAUCGUUCAUGACCAAAAACAUUGUAGGAGUCAAUUUCAUGGGAAAAAUACCAGAUGGACCUAGAUUUGCUAAUCCAAAGCAUAUGAAAAAGAUGGAAACUUUAAUGAAGAGACACAUAAAGAUAAACACAAACACAAGAAUACAUCAUGACAGUGGCUCACAAACUUUAAUGAAGAGACACAUAAAGAUAAACUCAAACACAAGAAUACACUAUGACAGUGGCUCACAAACUCUAGGAUCAGUGGCUGCGAUGAUUCACACAAGAAUACAAAGCAUUUUAACAAACUGUUGGUAUAGUUUUUCUUAAUGUUCUAUGAGUCAUCGUGGAUAUCUCCAAUGAUCCGAGACUAUUCUUGCCAAUCAGGUAAACCAACACUACAUUAUGAUUUACAGCUUGAUGAUCACAACUGAUACUUCUAAAACAUUAAGGAAAUCAAAUUGUUCACUUCCCGCCAAAAAUCCUUCAUUGAGGCAUUUUGUCGAACACGAUUCCAGAACUAUCAAACACCUUUGCCAUUUAACUAGCUCCCUAUACAAAGAAGCAUAUUCAACUGAAUUUUACCUCUGUUUAAAUAUUAUGAUCAGUCUUAUCUGCGGAUAGCCAGGGGUCAAGGUUUGCACUUUUGAAACCCCAACCUUGAUUUUGGGUAAAAUUAACUCAGAAUCAGUAUUAUGCUGAAGUGUAUAAUUGUUCUAACAUGGAUUUUCUUUUUUCUUUUAUAUUGCUUUUCAUGAUUUGUAGGAUCAGUUGUAAAAUAAUAUUUUUUAUUUAUCUCGUAUUAAUUAAACUGGUUUGAUUAUUUUUAAAUUAAGUUUGUGAUCUCUUUCAAAUUGUAGUAAAGACAAUGUUUCCAACAACUUAUUUUAUUCAGCUCAUCCGAGUUUGAAUCCUAAGGAGACAGGUCAAAAAAUUGAUUUAAGUCUUGCCCACCUCUCAAUCUUUAAAAAAAAAAAAAAUCUAACUGCUUAAAAAUAAUGAUAAAAACAUUUUUUUACAAAAACUUAUUUUGAUACAAAAAAAAAGACACUAGAAUAAAUGGAAAAUAAAAUCUUACCAUCCAAUAAAACAAUAAAUAUGAAAAUUUCAAGCACCCUACGAUUUCUCAGAGAUGUAAAUAAAAACACUAAUAAUUAUGUGAUAAUAAAUCUAUUCAUAGACUACAAGAAAAAAUUAUUUUGUUGACGUUACAUAAACAUAACAUCAGUUUUGAUCGUAACACUAAAACUCAUCAUUUGUAUUUUAUAAUAAUAUUUUUAAAGGUUCCUUUCACCAAAAAAUAAUAAUAAUAAUAAUGGCUAUAUUCGAAUAAUAAAGAAAGUCACGACUAAAAAGCAUCUAACAAAUUUUGGUCGAGCAUGUUUUAAUAACAUGAAAGCAAAACGAGAUAACAUUUCGAACCCAUAUUUAUUAUAAAAGCUAGUUUUCACUCAAAAAGCGAUCGCUGUUAUUACUCAUAUGAAUGAUAGAUUCGAAAACAACAUUUUUGUUUGGGUUCGAAAACAACAUUUUUGUUUGGGGUGGAUAAAUUUUUAAUUAACUUUUUAACUCCGCCCUCCCUCAGAAUUUUAACUGGAGAGAUCAAUUAAUUAAAAAAUACUUAAAAACCGCUCGACUGGACCCUAGGGCAGACACAGAAUCAUACUAUCCAUGCAUGCACUUAUAUAUAAUAAACAUAUACAUGCAAUUAAAUGAGAACGAAAAUAAAUAAAGAUUAAUCGAAGAAGUACAUACCUGAAUGAGUUCCAUGAGAAAAUGGACAUCCUUAGUGUAAAGUUCAGCAGAAAGAAGCUCAACAGCUCGAUGAACCAUCUUUGUUAGAGGAUUUAUCACCUCACUCCCUAUAAAGAACAUCUUCCUUCUUAUCUCCUCAAUGUGUUCUUUUGGUGUCGCCAUAGCGUAUGCCAUGUUUUUUUUCAAAAGAGCAGCAGCUUGAUCAACAAAACACAGAAUGUAUGUUCUUGUUCUUGAUCUUGUGUGAAGAAAUGAACCUAGCUAGUGGUUUUAAAUACUGCACCAAUAUUUAUAUGCUAAGUAAUGAAACGAUCGUUAAUUUCAAAAUCCCAGCAAAGAAAAGAGAGAGCUACUUCUUAAUUCAAUUUGCGUGCAAUUCAACAAAAACAAGUGAAAGUAAGUAAAUGAGGCUGGUGCCAGCGGAGUGGAAGUUUACUCAUAAAAAGAAGCAAGGUUAACUUCUUGGAGAAGUAGAAAAAUUAACUGUUGAUAAAUAUGUUUUUAUUGAUUUUGUAAUUAUAGACCCAAAACUAAAGUCUUUCUUUGUACGGAAACAGAUGCCUUUGAACCCUGAUUCGACCACCAUUUUACAUUUAGUCGAGUCUUCGUCAAUGCUUUAUUCGGCUUUUGGCUUUUGUUUUUUAUUUAGCUUUUCUUUUUCCAAAGUGGUCUGGAAUUACAAUGGAAAAGCAAAGACUAGCUAGCUGUUGGGCUUGGGUUUUUGUUUUUAGGCUUUUACCUAAUCAUGCAUUUGGAAUUUAAAUAUAUAAAUUUGUUCGCAAAGCUCAAUUAUUUAGGAUCAAUUUGGGAUUGUUAUGCUGUAAUGAUGAAAUAGGUUGUAAAAUUAAAAAAAAAAUUAGGUUAAAAUUUUAAAAAAAUAUAUUAGGUGUUUGGCAGGUUGUAUUGUUAUGACAAACUGGGAAUUUCAAAAUAAGAGGAUAUGCGUCUAAUUAAUUUUGAUUAUUAGAGUAAUGUUUCACUAUACUUUUAAAUAGUUGUAUUUAGUUGGUAACUCAAGCUCAAAUCAUGGAGGAAAUAGAGGACUAAAAAAUUAAUUUGGGCUUUGCCAAGCACUCUACGCUUUGAAAAAAAAAAUGAAAGCUAAAAAAAUAGAAUAUUUUUCAUUUUUUUCUUUAUUUUUUUUUGUCUAAACCACGAGGUGGUCCUGAGUGGGCCCCAACUGUGGGAGGCACCUUUAAGCCUGUACCACAACUCAUACUAAUCCCCGCUCGCACUGAGUCAGCCCGUAAGGGAUAAAGUGCUGGCCAAAGUGGUGACUCCAUACAAGAGCGAGACUUGAACCCCUGACCUCUCUUAAGGAGUGAGAGUGCCGAACCACUCACACCAACCAACUUUGGUUAAUUUUUUCCAUUAUAAAUUGAUAUACUUCAGUUUGUCUCCUGACAUAUUUAAAAUCUCAACCCACCCUUCCUGACAAUUAAGAAAACAAAUAAUUGGAUGAACAAUUUCAUCUCUGCCGUCCUAAUUUACCAUCAUGUUUUGAACGGUGGAUGAAUUUGACAUUUUCAAUAAUUUGUGAAUAAAUUGAUGUCAAUUUAUGGGGAUAAACAAAAUUAACAUAAAGGAACUUAAAAAUCUUUAAUAUUAGAGAUGACCAAUGGGACGUGCCGUGUCGCCGGGCCUAUCAAAGUAACACCCAUGUGUGCUCGUGCCUGUGCUGUGCCGUGACCACUAUGUGUUUCAUGCCGUGCUUAAAUUUUUUUUGCUUAGGCCCAGCCCGGCACACAUGUCGUGCCCAUUCAUGUCGUGCCCACAUGUGUCGUGCCUAAAAAAAAAACCUACUAAGUUUUUUUUCUUUUCUUUUUAAUUUUUUAAGAGUGCAUACUAAGUUUUUAGUAUACUUUUUUUAAAUCUAUAUACUUUUCUUAGAUCUAUGCCUUUAUUCAAAUUUAAUAGAAUUGAAAAUUUAAAACUCAAGUCGACAUUUAAUAAUAAUAAAUUAAUAAUAGUAAGAAAAUGUAAUAUUAAUUACUAAGUUUGACCUUAUAGUAUUAGAAUUUUUUAAUAAUAAUAAUAAUAAUAAAAUAAAUUUUUCUUAAGGAUUAACUUAAUUGUUAACUUGAACUUACAUAGAGUCAUAAAUCGUUCACAAUAAUAUUAAUGUAUAUUUAUAAAAUUAUCAUAUUUAUAAUUUUAUUCAUUAAAAUCAUUAUAUCAAUUAUUUAUUUAAUAAAUAUAUAAAUUAAUUAUAGUUUUUUUCAACUAAGAAUUAAAUUAAUUUAAAAAAUUCAACUUCAAGUUAUUUAUAAAAUCAUAAAAUUUUAAGUUUACUUUCAUUAAAAAAAUAAAACGUGCUUAUCGCAGGCUUUUUCAUCGUGUCGUGCUUAGCCCAUCUCUAAUUGUGCCGUGCUUUUAAGGUCUAUGUGUCUAAAAUUCUAAGCUCAACUCGGCCCACGUGCAUGUCGUGCUGUGACUCGUGCCCCAUCGAAAUGUGCUCGUAUCGUGCCGUGUUGUACGGACACUUACCGUGCCCGUGCCACGUGCCAUUCGACCCAUUGCCCAUCUCUAUUCAAUAUAUAAUUUUUAUCAAUGAUCGUUUUGAUUUUUACUUUUUUCCUCAUCAACUCAGUUGUUUGGAAUAUUUUUAAGGGACGCAGUCAAUAUUAUUGACAUAAUCAAAUUUUAAGUUGUAGUUAGUUCACACGAUGUCUCUCAGCAUUAUGUUACUCUUACUUAGGGAAGAAGAAAACUUUACAUUAUUGGAGGAGACAGAGAAAAAGGAGCUAGUGUUUUAACUACUUUGUGAAUAGUGAAACAUUUGCAUUAUUGUACGAAAAUUCCAAAGGUAGAUUCCAAUUCCAACGCCGAUUGUAUGGCUAACAUAAGUAUUAAUAACAUCAAGGAUUAUAAAAUUUGAGUUACCAUAAAUAUGAUAGUUUUUUAAGCAUUAAUAAUUUAAUAUCGUUAAUAAGUAAUAUGUUGUGAUAGUUCAUCAAGUUCCUGCUUAAAUAUAAGAUUUUGUUAAUAAUAAAAUCCACAAGCCCCUAUAAGAAGUUGAGACGUGUACUAAAGUGUGCAAAAUGUUGAUGCUGAAAUCUGGUCACCCUUUGACCGACCAGAUUGGUUCACCAACGCUUGUGUUGACAAAGGAAUAUAGGCUGCAAUCCACCAGCUUCAGCAAUUUCCCGAGCUCCUGGGACCCAAAUCACCCUUCUUCUUCCUUCCAGGCUUGCGUUCACAUAAACAAAUCAGAGACGCCAGUGGUUUUUCUAGCGUAAACCCUCCGAUGCUUAAGUUAGUACAAGGUGUUUACGGGAAAACUGUAUGAUUUGUGUUGUACAGAUUAGUUGCAAUAUUCUCAAUACAAAAUGUAUCAAGGAUUCGGAUAUAAGAAUUUCUGAUAUUAAUUUGGCAGAGUUUCCCAUUUUCUCUCAAUUUUCGUCUCCCUUUUUUCAUCAAUUUCUUGGCCUUUUAUAGGCAUUCAUCCCAUGUUUUCUCAGUAUUCUUUAUGCCCCUCAUUUUCGGGUGAUGACGGACCUUCAUGGGUCUCCAACCACUGAAUCGUGGGUAAACGUGAGGCGUCAUGUUCUCUCCAGCGGUUUGGGGCAUGGUGAAACUGUCGUGAGUUCGUGAGAUCGUGCCUUCUUUCUCUGAGUGAUGAAUACCGGGUCGGUAUGUACCUCUGGUCGAUACUCGUUUCUAGUCGGCAUGUUCAUACAAGAUGUAUUAUUAGGAAUCUACUCGUGUCAGUCAGCUGGGGAGAUUCGCCCUAGGGUGAGGGAUGAGGAGAUAGCUGAGCUGGUACUUUUCAUUACUCAACACCAGUCCCCCAGUUUCUGGUCUUGCGAGUGAAACGAGUUGAGACUAGAGACUAAGAAUUGAAUCUGGCCACCCUCGGGUAGCAUCCUCCUAGUCUUUGUUUUAUUGUGAUGGACUCGAGGUGAUGUUUUAUGCUUAGAGAGUUUUUGGCCUGGGUAUGGGCAUUCGUGAGCGUAUCCAUUACGCAGCCGGGCUGACAUCCCAUCAUGUCGUCUUAAUGGCCAAUGACGUGGCACUUUCUGCCUUCUAUAUUUGAAAUUUGAAACGGCGACUUAUCUGUCCUUGAUAUGCGGUGAUUAAACUGACACCCGCGUAACUUAAACGUCUCUAUUCCCUAUUUCGUCUUAAAUCCCUAAUUUGAGAGUUUUAUUACGUUUCGUUUUCUAUAAUUUUUCCAUAAGCCUAUUCCUUCUCUUGACUCAAAACGUGUUUUCUACGCGACUUCCUUUUGCCUGGCCCUUUCUCCAUCACAGUAACGCCACUAGUGCCGAUCUAUUCCAGGUAUCGCCUUUAAUUCCUUCUCUGGUUGUUGUUUGGGUUCUGUAUUGUUCUUUUGUACCAAUAUACUUGGAUUUACUGUACUUUUCCUUUUAAGAUUUCACACUGUCAAGACGAAGGGGAAAAUUAAUUGUAGAUGAGAGUGAUGAAGAGAUAGAUUCAUACCCCAACUUGUUAAGACCUACUGACCCCCAACACCCUUGUAGCAGCGUAGGUCCCUCCUAUAAUAGGGAUACCCUUGAGUACCCCCGUCCAGAGACAAUUUUGCCUUCUUCUGAUUAUGAACCUACGGGGAACCAUGGUGGACAGGCAUCAGGUUCUGGUGAGAAUCACGGUUCUGAGAGGGUUAGGGUCCCUGAGCAAGAAGGUGAUGACGAGGAGAGUAGUUCUGAGCCGAGCCAACCUUCUAAGAAAAGAAACCUUGGUCAUAAGAUGGAGGCGGAUUCUUACCCCAUCGACUACCUCAAGUGUGCCACCACCCAUACCGACCUGCUCAAGCUGAGAAGUCUUUAUAAUAUCAUUGAGGAUGUCCUCCUCGCCAUCCUCGGGAAAGGUGAUGUUCAUAGUCGGCCUCCUAAGGGUUAUGUGACUCUGCAUCUGGAUAGCUUCAACCUAGGGGCUCGGUUGCCUCUUCAACCUUAUUUUGCCAGGAUACUUGGUGGCAUGCAUCUGGCUCCUGGUCAGCUACACCCAAACGGGUGGAGGGUUCUUUCGACCCUAUUUAUAUUGUGCGAAAGGUGCGAGCUCAGGGAGCCUUCCCUCGUGGAAGUAAACUAUUUGUAUCAGUUGAGGAGCAGUCCUAAAGAAGUAGGCUGGUAUUACUUCAUGUCGAGCUCUGCAAAGAGGAAACCAUUCGUCGGCUGUCAUUUCUCAUGUAAAAAUUAGAAAAACAAGUUCUUCUUUGCUGGGGGGAAUUGGUGCCCAGCGAUCCAUUCGCUUGGUGGUGAUAUUCACCUUCCAACGUGAUUUGUCACCCCAGGUCGUUUAUUUUUCUUUAUGCUUCACGUCCCUGGUCGUCACUUAAUUGUUUCUUUAACCUUGCCUAUGUUUUCAGACUCGUGGGGCCUUAUCAAACAACUCGAAGACGUCCCGCUACUCAAGGUCGAAACCGCUCUAGUGAACGCCUCCCACUGUCAAGAUCUCUUGUCACCAACAAAUCUCCUCGGAUCCGGUCUUGUGGACGUUGUUGCCGGGAUGCACAACAAGAUCCUUAGUGCCAUGUCAAGGAAGUGUGCUCGAGGGUCAGGUGAUUCCAGAAACGCCCCUACUCCUCAGAAGAAAAAUAGUGUUGGCCCUUCCAAAACUCUUGUUCCUGCUCUGCCCCCUCCUCCACCUCAAAAGAAUGACGGAGAGAAGUUUUGUGACAAGAGCCCUGAGGUCAGCACUCAAUCCAGAGAUCGGGCUUUGCCGCUUCCACCUCGGGACUAGAGCGAUUAUUUAUCCCUGUACCAGAGGGAUUAUGUCAAAUCAGUGGGGCCCAAAAUGGUUAAAGACAUUAAGAGCAUGAGUCUUGGCGAGCUGGGGGGCUCUGUCCAGAGGGUCUCUUUUAAGCUUACCAUUUUGGUUUCCUACUACAAGAACAGGUCUAUGCACCAUGAGAGGAAGCUUCAAGCGGAGAAUCAGGACCUGAAGAAAGAGGCUGAAUCCGCUGAUCGGUCGAAGGAAACGAUGCUCGAUCUGCAUAUGCAGGUUCUGGACCUGGAGGAGAAGGUUUCUAUUGCUGAGUCCAAGUCUUCUAAGCUCGAGACCGAGUUUGGUAACUUGAAGUCUGAUCUCGAGGCUACACAAAACGAGCGAGACACUUUGAGGACGGCCUACGAGGAGCAAGUCAAGCCCUUAAACGAGCAGAUAGUUGAGCUGAAAGGUAAAUCUGCCGAUGUGGACGACCGACUAGAUGCAGAGUAUGAUUGUGGGCUCGCCUUUUGCUAUAAGUGCAUCAUGUUCGUGCUCAAGAAAGAAUAGCCAGAGCUAAAUAUGAGCAAGCUGGAGGCAGGAGUGCAAGAGUACAUGGCAGAGUAAGGCCAGGGGAGUAAGGACCAGAGGGACUAGGAUCAGGUCAAGGCUCCUUCCAGUGGGGAGCAGGAGAAUGAGGCAGGAGACUCAUCUUUGGGUGCAGGUCAGGAGUCAGCACCUGCUCCUCCAGAAGUUGCUGGUCCCUCUCUGUCUGAGAUUGCAGAUCCUUCUUCCGCUGAAGCUGCCGAGCCUCAUAAUCCAUGAAUUUUGCUCUUCAUGUAAAUCAUAAAUUUUCUUUUUUAUUUAUGACUAUCAGAACUUUUAUAAACUUGUAGCAUUUUUCUCAUUGUUUUUUGUUAAAUUUUUCUUUGUGGAUUACCUUGGAAAGCAAUUUUGGAAACUGGGUUUGCUUGUCCUUAGGCUAUUCUGUGCUUUAGAAAACGUGGUAGAUAUUGUCUGCUCGUCCCUAAGCGACGAAGUUGGGAUAGGCACAUAUUUGCCUUAACAAAUUUUAUAUGAUUUGCCUGCUGGUCCUUCAGACGACCGAGCAGGAAUAUGCAUAUAUUUUGCCUUAGCUAAUUUUAUAAAAUAUGCCUGCUGGUCUUUUAUGUGACCGAGCAGGAAUAGACACUCUUAUGCCUUAGCGAAUUUUGUAAAAUAUGCCUGCUGGUCCUUUAGGCGGCUGAGCAGGAGUAGGCACUCUUUUGCCUUAGCGAAUUUUAUAAAAUAUACUUGUUGGUCCUUUAGGCGGCUGAGCAGGAGUAGGCACUCUUUUGCCUUAGCGAAUUUUGUAAAAUAUGCCUGCUGGUCCUUUAGGUGAUCGAGCAGAAGCAGACACUCUUUUGCUUUAGCAAAUUUUAUAAAAUAUGCAUGCUGGUCCUUUAGGCGACUGAGCAGGAGUAGGCACAUGUUUGCCUUUACGAAUUUUGUAGAAUUUGCCUGCUGGUCCUUUAUUCAACCAAGCAGGAAUAAGCACAUGGUUGCCUUAGUAAAAUUUUGUAGAGUUUGUCUGCUGGUCCAUUAGACGAUCGAGCAGGAAUAGACACAUGGUUGCCUUAGUAAAUUUUUUCUAACAAGAGAGUUAUGAGCUGAAUUCAUCUCUAUUGAAUUUUUUGUGGAUUACAACAGGCAAAAUACAUGCGCGUGCCAUAAUUCCAUAAUACAUUUAGCAGAAAUAACUUAGCAAAAGGAAACUUGAUAAAGUACUUUGCUUACUAGAAAUAUUUCUUCAAGUGCUCAGCGUUCCAUGACUUCUUUAUAUCUCGUCCAUCUGGAUAAGCCAGCUUAUAGGCUCCUGGGCCAGUUGUUCGUACCACUUUGUAUGGGCCUUCCCAGUUCGGGCCAAGGACGUCUUGGUUAGGAUCUCUGGUGUUCUGGUUUACCUUUCUAAGCACCCAAUCCCCAGCUCGAAAUUGCCUUACGCGUGCAUUUUGGUUGUAGUAGCGCAUGACCCUUUGCUGACACUGAGCUACCUUCUGCGAGGCUUCCUCUCUUUUCUCCUCUAGCAGAUCUGGGCUUAUACACAUCUGCUCGGCAUUCUGUUCCUCGUUGAAAUACUCUGUCCGAUGCAUUCCCACCCCAAUUUCCGCUGGGAUUAUUGCCAUAUGACCGAAAGUUAAGGCAAACGGGGUUUCCCCCAUGGCGGUUUUGUGGGUUGUCCGGUAGGCCCAUAAUACUCCUGGUAAUUCGUCAACCCAAGCUCCCUUCUUCUCUCCCAGCUUGGUUUUCAGGAGCUUCCUUAUAACUUUGUUGGCUGCCUCUACCUGCCCAUUUACCUGGGGAUGUGCCGGGGUACAAAACUUCAAAUCUACGCCCAAGUUUUGGCAAAACUCUCUAAAAUUGUGGUUGUCAAAUUGCCUCACAUUAUCUAUUAUGAUGGCAUAGGGAAUUUUGUAUCUGCAAAUGAUGUUCUUCCAAACAAAACCAGUUGUCUUCUUCUCCGUGAUUUGACUAAGGGCUUCCACUUCCACCCAUUUUGUGAAAUAAUCUAUAGCCACAAUUGUAUGUGUCGCAGCUCCUCGGCAUUUAGGCAAUGGACCAAUCAGGUCAAUCCCCCACUAGGCAAAAGGCCAAGGGGAUGACAUAGCAGUUAAUUUCUCUAGGGGCUGAGCAGGGAUAUCUAAGAAACUUUGGCAGGCUUUACAACUUUUGGUCAUCUCCUUCGCAUCCUGGUGCAUAGUCGGCCAAAAAUAUCCCUGUCGUAGCACUUUGAACGCUAAAGUCCUUACUCCCGAAUAAUUGCCGCAUAUUCCCUCAUGUAUUUCUCUUAACACAUAAUCAGCUUCCUCGACGUCUAAGCAUCUCAACAGGGGCAAGGUGAACCCUCGGCGGUAAAGCACCCCAUCAAGCAUCGUAUACCUUGCUGCUCGACAUUUCAAUUUCCUUGCUUGCUUUCUAUCCUCUGGUAAAAUGCCGUCACGGAUGUACAAGAGAAUUGGAUCCAUCCAGGACCUUUCGGUGUCCACCUUAAUUACUUCUAUUUCCUUCCCUAUGCUUGGCGAAGUCCUUACUUAUAAUGGGACUGUCUUGGGCAACUUCGGAUUGGCAGUCGCUGCCAUUCUGGCCUACAUAUCUGCUCGGUAAUUUUCUGUCCUAACUAUCUGCUUUACUUCUACCUCUCGGAAGAGCUCAAUCAUCUGCUUUGCCUUCUUCAAAUAAAUCUCUAUCUUCUCUCCCCUUGCUUGAAAUUGCUGAUUGAGCUGAUUGCAGACCAGCUGGGAAUCUGCUUGGAUUUGCACCCUUUCCUCUUGUAGUGCGUGUGUCAACCCGAGCCCUGUGACGAAGGCUUCGUAUUCUGCCUGAUUAUUCGUGAGCUGAAAUUCAAACUUCACUGCGUAUGACACCUCGGCCCCUUCUGGGCUUCAUAUUACCCAUCUUUGUCGGCGUAAUGAUCUUUCUGUUGAAGAUUAUAUCAUUCAUUUCCGCACUCAGUGUCUUUGUCUCCAAACUCGCAUUUUGCUCCGUUUUAUUCAAUCCACUGUUCUUCCUAGAUCAGGACAUUUGGAUGAGGUUUCCCACAUGGACGUUGCUUUGAUUGAUUGUAUUCUUAGACGUCGUCCGGUUAACUUGGGCUAUACCAUCAUCCAAACCAUGUUGACCAUACCUGCCUUGAUUACCCGCUCCCUUCCAUAUGGUCACUUCAUUACCCGAAUCCUUAAAUAUUUUGAUGUACCGAUCCAAGAACCGUCAUGUAGACCGUCUAAGGGUAUCGGGGAUGACACUAUAUUUGGCUUAGGCUUUGAGUGGAAAAAUGACACUUGGGUCAAAUUUACUGAAAACAAUUUUACCUUUCUUGCUCCAAGUGAUGAUCGGCCACUUAAUGCUGUGGUUCCAGCCGAUCAGCUACCCGUUUUCUCACACUCAUUUCGGGGGCAACAUAGACGCCGAGAUCCUCCGGUGAUUGCUUCAACUCCUGGUGCCUCUGCAUCCGCUUCAUCACUUCCACAGCCUCCUACCUCUGAAGAGGUUACUCUUCAGCAGCUUAUGGAUGAGGUGAGGACACUCUCUAUGCGGCAGAUUGAGUUUCAGCGGCAGCAGCAUCAGUUCAUUCAUGGACAGCGCCUCAUCUUUGAGCACUUCAGCAUUCCAUAUCCUUAUCCUCCUCCAUCACCACCAUCCUCACCACCUCAGUAGUCUCUUAUGCUUUUAUUUGAACACACCUACAUAUCAUUUACUGCUUUAUGUCCUUUUAUUUUUGACUAUAUGGAUGGUUAUUAUGCUUUUGGAUUAUGUAUUUUUUUUUUUGAUGAUAUGGAUUUGUUUUGAUUGUUAGUUAUGGAUUAUAUGGAUUUCCUUAUGAUUAUGGAUAUUUUUGAACUAAUGUGCUUGUAUUGAGACUUUGAUGAUUAAUAGGGGGAGCUUUUAUUCUUUUUUAUGAUGAAGGGGGAGAAUAAUCUAAUAUGUGUUAUAAAAAUAUGCAUGUAUACAGGGGGAGUAUGCAUGUAUACAGGGGGAGUCUUUUAAAUAAUUUUUAAAUCAGUUUUUUAACCUUGCAUUGAUUAAGGGGGAGCUUUUCAUAAUUAGAUUAAAUUUUUAUAAUGUGUUUUGCCAUCAUAAAAAAUGGAGAGAUUGUUAGCCUAUAUGGCUAUAGAUAUUGAUUUUAAUGAUAACAAACCACAUGUGUUGAUUAAAUAAAGAUUUAUGAAUUGUGCUUUUAUAAUAAGAAAAUGAUGUUAUGGAAUUAAAGUAUUUUGGACUAAAAUGAAAGUAUUUUAAAACCUUUGAUAUUGUUUUAAAAUUUCAGAUUUGGACCUAUUUAAAAAUAUUUAAAUAUUUUGGGUCAUUCUAUAAUUUCACAUAGUUUGGGUGAAAUUAUAAUUUUAGAAAGUUUUGGGAUUGACAAAGCAUUAUUUAGAAAUUCUGAAAUUGGACCUAUUUGAAAGCUUUCAUAAUGUUUUGGGUCAUAAAUACAGUUUUAUAAAGUUUUGGGGUCAAACUAUAAUUUUGGAAAAUAUUUCACUGUAGCAGUUACUGUAUCAAGUGGCUAACUAGAUAAGGUAAGCGGCAAUCCAGAUUUUGGGCAGUAAGCUUUUGGAGCAUAAACGGCUAUUCGGAUAUCGUAAGCGGCAUGCCGGAUGUUUUGAAAUUUAAAUUUUUGUUGUAACGGUAACAUAAAAGCAGCUAAUCGGAUUCCGAAAGCGGCAAGCCGGUUAUCAUUAAAAAACACAUAACGGCUAGUUUUUGGGCUCAAACUAUAUAAACUCAAAUCCAAUUCACUUUCAUUCUCUCUAGCAAGCAGAAUAAAAAGCACACAACAUAUCUUGAGCUCUCAAUUCGCAAGUCAUUAUUCAUUGAAUCAUUGUUGUUCUUCAAUUUGUACAUCUACUCUUCAAGAGAGUUUUUGUUGUAACUUUCGUUUCUUCAUCUUAAUUGUGAGUGUUUGAGUGUGUGAGACACUUGAGUGAAGAGAUUGAGAGAUAAUCUCUUUGUUGUAAAGGUUCAUUGACACCUUGAAGUCAAUUGUAAACAUUUAAAGCCUUGAAAGGCUUGGAUAGUGAAAUCCUCAAGCUUGAAUCGCUUAGAGGCGUGGACGUAGGCGGGGAUUGCCGAACCACGUAAAAAUUUGUGUGUUUGUUUCUUUUCUCUCUUACUCAUUUGUUAUUGUGCUUUUAUUGAACUUAUUGCUUUCGGAUUUAUUAAGGCGUUAGAUUGGAUUGUUGUGUGGCUUUGUUAGGAUAAUUUUUAAAAUACCAAUUCACCCCCUCUCAGGUUGCACACUUGUAUUUCACAAUUUACCUAGCAACAUAGAGGACCCAAGAAGCGAAGGUAAAGAGGACCGCAAAAUGAUUAACUUAAGAUCUUGAAAGAAUAUUCAUAGUCCAGUUGGUGUACCAAAAAGAAGAGUUGAGUCCACUUUAAUCUGGAAAGAAACUCAAAUUAAAGAAGAACCACAAUCCUCCACUUCACAACAAAACAACCAAGCUACAACAUCUGUAGAAAAUGAUGAUCCAACACCAGUGGAUAGUAUUGCUACAGCACCAACCUAGAACAUGGUAAAAGAAAAGUAGUCUGCACAGACUGCUGUAGCAUAACAAUUUAGGCACCCACCACCAUUUCCUCAAAGGUUCCAGAGACAGUAACAAGAGAAGAAUUAUAGUAAAAUCUUGGGAAUAUUGAAACAACUACAUAUAGAUAUCCCUUUUAUGGAAGCUCUAGAGCAAAUGCCAAAUUAUGUGAAAUUUUUUAAGGACAUUUUGACAAAUAAAAGAAAACUUGGAGAAUUUGAAACAGUUGCUCUAACACAAGAGUGCAGUCGUAUGCUUCAGAAUAAGAUACCGCAGAAGAUGAAAGAUCCAGGAAGCUUCACAAUCUCAUCUUCCAUUGGCACUAAAUACAGUGGCAAAGCACUCUAUAAUCUGGGGCUAGCAUCAGUCUCAUGCCUUUAUAAGUUUUUAAGUAAUUGAGAGUUGGUGAAUGUAGAUCAACAACAGUGGCUUUACAACUUGCUGACAGAUCUCAUGCCUAUUUAGAAGGGAAGAUUGAAGAUGUAUUGGUAAAGGUGGAUAAAUUUAUUUUCCCAGUGGAUUUCAUAAUGUUAGACUUUGAGGCAGAUAAGGAAGUACCAAUCAUUUUACAUAGACCUUUUUUAGCCACGAGAAAGACUCUAAUUGAUGUUCAAAAAGGAGAAUUAACCAUAAGGGUGAAUGACCAACAAGUUACAUUCAAUGUGUUAGACGCUAUAAGGAAUCCUGAUGAGGUUGUAGAUUGUAAUUUUGUCAGUGCUGUGGAUUUUGUUGUAGUAGAGAGAUUAAACAGUUACUGCAGCAAAGAAGAAAUCAAGGGUGAAGCAUUUGAAAAACUUGAAUAUGAAUAUCAAGACCUUGAAACAGCUGACAUAGAAUUCAAGGUGAAAAGCUAGGUGAAAAGCAACCCUUUAUAAUUGACGAGCAAAUCCAACAAAAGGAAUUCCCUCCAGGCCAACAAGAAUUCAAGGUUAAUGGGCCGAGAGUGAAGCACUAUAUGGGACCUAAUAUGAACAGCCUAAAGAAGGAUAAGUUUUUUAAGAAUCUAUGUUGAGUAAGUAAGAAAGGUCAGGUUGAAUAACCUAAAAUCAAGCGCUAAUUGGGAGGCAACCCAAUAAGGGAAGUUGUUUCAAGUUUUUAAAGCAUUAAAUUUAGUUUUAAAAUUAUUUAUUUUUUCUUUUUGGUAUUUUAAGUGUGCAUCUAAUUUUUUUAUGUCUUUGUGUUAAAUUGCAGCAAAGUAGAUAUGUGUGUGUGUGUGUGUCUGUUUGUGUGUGUGGGGGGGGGGGGGGGGUAAAAAGAGCAGAAUGAAAUUGUUGUAGCAUCACUUAUAGCAUGACAUAUAACAGAAGAUUCUCAAAUAACAGAGGCAUUUAUUGCUUUUGUAGUAGGAACAGAUUGAUCAGAUUUUAUGAUAAAGAGCGUUUGAAAAGUGGAUCAAAGAGGAAGUGACCCUUUACAGCUUGUGCUACAGCAUUGCUUCCAACAACAAGAGAGUAACCCCUAGUAGCCAGUUUAUUUUAUUUAUUUUUCAUUUAGUUUUAUUUUAUUAUUCAUUCUUCAUUUCUUUUUAUUAUGCAUGUAUGAUUUGUUUUGUUUUGUUUUUGUGUGGUGAUUUGUUUUGUUUUGUUUUUGUGUGGUGAUUUGUUUUGUUUUGUUUUUGUGUGGUGAUUUGUUUUGUUUUGUUUUUGUGUGGUUGUGAGGAUACAACACCUCUCAAGUUUGGAGGAGGGGGGGCUGUGUUAUGGUGUAUUAUGUUUGUGAAUGCAUGUGUUCUUGUUGUGUAUUAUGUGAAUCUCUGUUAUCUAGUAUUUGUGCAUGGAUUGGAAAACCUAAUGAAGAUAAAUUGAGUGUUAUUCAAUAAUUAUAAUUGCCAAGUAAUGAUAGUUUAUAGAUGGAAGUUGAAAUUCUAUCCCAACACUUAAGCUUUGGUUGAGUUUUAUGAGAAUGUUGUAACAGAGCCAGGAAAACCAAAAAAGGGUAGAAAAUGCCUCAAGUUUGGGUGAAAUUUUUUUGUUGAACUGUGCUUGUUAUGAAAUAAAUUCUGCUCCAAUGACUUAAGUUGCUGAGUAACAAGGGCUGAGUACGCACCCUAUAUGCAGACUUGAAUCCAAAGGCAACAAGAGCUAUGAGCAUUGCUGUAACAACAAGAAAAAAAAGGGGUCAUCUAUCUAGGAUAUUGAAUAGCUAGGUUUAUUCAUGAGCCCCAUGUUCAGCCUUGAGUUAAAGAUGUUUAUAGACAAGACCAUGUUGUGAGCAUUGCUGCAGCAACUCUGAUAUGUGCAUUGGUUGAGUAAUUGGGUGUCAUCACCACAAGUGAUAGAUAUUUACAUUAAAAAUAAAUGAUACAUUGAAGAGAAUUCAAUUGAUUGACUGACAAAAAAUUUUUUUUGCUAUAACACAGUUUGAACUUGUUUAUGAUUUCAGCCCCCCACAUGUGAAUGUACUUAUGCUUUACCUUUGAGUUAUAUAAUGUUUGUGCAAUGCUGCAAUGCCUCUGAAAUUCAAUCAGGGUGACAAAUACACACUUUGGACAGAAUGAGGCCUAAGUCUAGAACUGAUCUGCUAUGAAAAUUUUGCAUGAGUAAGAGUAUGAUUUGAGAGUUUAAGAAUCCUUGCAAAUUUGAUGACAGAGCUAAGUAAGUUAGUUGUUGUAUGAUUUUCAGAUUGAAAUGUUAGUGUUGUUGUCAUUACUUGAGGAACAAGCAAUGGUUUAAGUUUAGGGGUGUAAUAACUCUAUGGAAUGAGAGUUAUCAUGGUACUUUUAGACUUGAAUCAACAAUACUUAGAGGGUAAAUGAUAUGUUUUUAUUGCAUUUUAGUUAUAUUUUGCAUAAAUAUCCAUUUUAGUUUAGUCUCAAUAAAUUUUGUUUGAUUUAGAAUUUUUUUUUUUGCUUAGAUCGUAUGCAUAAUUGUAUGUAACCGGAAGCUCAAAUUUCAAGGAAGGAAUGCUAAGCAAUAGGCUUACAAAAAUAAGGAAAGAACUUGGCUACAGAAGAAUUGAAACAAGUCUAGAAUAGUGCAGGUGCUGAAGCCAUUGUUGUAGCACUGUUGUUGUCGCAUCGUUACUAUAAUAAUUUUGGAGCAUUGAGAGAGAAGAUUUUACGUGAGAUACUUAGAAGAUUGCGAUCUGGAGUUUCCUAAAAUGAAAUAUGCGUGCCCUACACUUCUGGUUGCCCUAAUUAUAAGCUAUAAAAGAAGCACACACGCAAAUAAAAGAGGAGGGCCAUCACCCAAGGAGAAAAAUAGUAAAGAAACAAAAGAAAAACAAAAUUCAAGAGAGAGAUCAAGGGCUGCACCAGAGGAAAAAACGCAGAGAUCCAUUGAAAAUCAGUCAUUCUUGUUCUUUUCUUGUUUUCUAUUUAUUCAUGAGGAUUUAUCUGAUGGGUAAAACUCUUUUAAAUACUUUUCUUUUACAAAUCAUGAACUGAAUUUGAUUGUGGCUGAAUGAUAAACGAUCUUAAUGAAUGUUUGACUGAUACAUGCGUGUUGCUCAGUGUUUGCUACAACAGUUUGUCUUAAUUGUAUUUAUUUUAGUUCUCUAUUUCCACUUAUCACCCAUUUAGUGGAUACUAACUAAGAAGGAUCCUAAAAAAGGUCUGACUUAGUGGAACAAAUUAAGCAAUACUUGGUUUUAGAUUGGGUUUCUCAAGUUAAGUUAAUCUUAAUUUGAAUAGGGCCAUACUUGAUCUAAGAUUAAUGAAAAAACUAGAUAUAGAGAUUCACCUUAUAGGGUAAUUAAAACCUAAAACGCAUAAUGUUAUAUCUAAUGUUAGCAUAACAACUUAUCACUGUUAAUUUGCAUAUAGAUAUAAGAUAUCCAAUAGGCGAUAGUUGAGGAUGCAUGGGGGAUUUUGCCUAGUGUUGUAGUAAAUGUUGUAUCAACAAGUUCUUAAUUAGAAAAAUAGUCAAAACCACUAAGUGAGUUUAAUCACUCAAAUAGAGCAGUCGGCCCAGCAACAAUAGUUAUUUUAGAAAUAUGGCCACGUGAUGGUGUUCGGAGUUGUAGAUAUUUUUGUUAGGAUAUUUUAGAUUGUAUAAUUUUGUUAUAAUUUGUGAUUAAGUAUAACCUAUUCUAUUUUGACAUUCGAAUGCUCGGAUCAUAACUGGUAUUUUGAUUAGGGAAGUUGAAUGUGGAGGUUGGUUGUGUAUUGAACUAUUUUAAGAGUGUUUGUUUUAUAAAUUGUAGGUUGGAAAUAUUACAUCCAUAGGGCAGAGAUACAGCAUAAUACUUAUUAAAUGGAAUAUUGUCAAUUAUGUUAUAAAAUAUCAAGUACAUUUGGCUCGUGUGGUUUGGGGCGAGUUGUUUCAUAAUUAAUAUCAAUAUCACUUUACAUUAAUAGAUAUUGCAUGAUUUUGACAUUAUUAAUUUAUAAAGGCUUUCUAAUUCCUACACAUCCAUUUUAGUUCAAAUUAAGAUGUUUAGAAUUUAAUUAAGAAAUUGAAAAAAUGUCAAAGAGCUCAGUUUCAUCAAGCUUGUAAUGGCAAACACUAAAUGCAUGCUACCUCAGAUGCUUCAUUUUCUCUUUCCCUAGGCUUACAAGAGAAAAUUGUUUGAUCGAGAAGUUACUAUACCUACACAUGCCCUGGAGGGAAUGUUAAUGAUUUUGAUCAUCAGUUGUUUCUUUUAUCUUUUAUCAAUGCUUUUGUGAUAAUGAUUAAUUGUAGUGAAAUUGAAACUGUGUUUUAAUAAAAGAAGAAAUUAAUCUACUAUGAGUACCUAAUGCUUUGUCAUGUGUUUUUACUGUGCUUUGUUUUAUACGGAUCGUUGAAUCAAUCUAUGAGAGAAAUUUAUUGAAACGCUAAUAAUGAUCAAGCGAUCAUAAUUAAUAUUUGUAACAUAUGUAAUAUUUAAAUUUUAAGUCUAUUUUCUUUUAGGCUGAGGCUAUUUGGAUCCUUUUUUAUUGUAAUCUAAUUUUUUUUAAAUCUUAUAUUCCUAAACUACCUGAUUCAAUUUAUGGGUAAAUUCAAUUUAUGCCCCGAGAAUCUUCAAUUUACCACAAAAAAUGUGAAAAAAUCAAUUCACCCCCAUUUACUACUACGAAAAUAAAUAAAAGAUCAUCAACUUGCCCCCCAUUUAAGUUAUCUUUUGAACAAAAAUUAGUGUAGAUUGAGGUUCUCAUGCUCUUAUAGGGUAGACUAAAGAUUGUUAUUAGGAGGGGGAUGAAUUAAAGUUUACUUCAGUUAAUAUAAGAAAACUUCUCAUAUUAUUUCUAACACAAAUUUGCCAUGUUUAUAUGCCCACAUCAAUUCAAUUGGUAACUCAUGUUGAACGAAUGGAUUGAUUAGAUAAAUAAUCAUAGGAUCUUAGCUAAUCCUGUAUUCUGCAUACCUUACUAAAUUAUUUCGUAAGAAAUUUUGUAAUUGUAUUUUUUUGUAAUUUGAAAUAGCUAAUUACAAGAACUAACUCAAUACUUCAAUCUUUAAUAAAUCAAGAUCGAUUUGGAAUCAAGAUUGAUGAAAAACCGAGUAAAGAACAGAAAAAGAAUUGGAUUACAAAGAACAAGUUACUAGAUUUAAAGAAAAAAUGAACACUUUUUCAUUAAUCAAAACUGAGUACAAACAGAUCACAUCUGAAGAGUUACAAGAAUCACGUGUAAAGAAGAAUUAUUCUAAUUGAAGAAAAAAUCAGUGAGAGAAGGCUUAUAUAUCAUAUGCUACAAGCCAUCAUCUCGUUUCUGGAACAUUUGUAGAAACCACGUAACAAAGUUUAACAACCCAGGCCAUGUCAGUAGAAAUUUUCAAAAGCACCCUUCAACUGAGUGCAAUAUACACAAUGACCCAUAAAACUCUCAUUCGAUUUCACUUUAGUCCCCAAAAUCAGUUAACCACAUCUCCACACUCUCCACCUUGCAAAUCUAAUUCAAUUGAUUGCACAUCAUGAAAGGUGCUUCAAAAAACCUUCAAAUACUGUGGUCCACUCAUGAAUUCAGUUUGGUUUAGGCAGGAUGCCCACCACGUUCACACAGAACUCAAACUUAGUUGUUGGAAGAACUUUAGUAAGCAUGUUCGCUGGGUUUACAUCUAUAUGAAUCUUAAAUAUCACCAUAGUCCCUUUUGCAACUUCAUCUCUAAUGAAUUGUAGCUUCACAUCUAUAUGCUUAGUCCUCUCAUGAUACAUUUGAUUCUUAACCUACUGUUAGCACUUUGAAUAUCACAGAAAAUUUGAACUGAUUUUUUAUUUAACCAAAGCUCAUUGAGGAUACUUUUAAGCCACAUGGACUCUUUGGUUACUUAUGUGGCUGCUACAAACUUAGCUUAUAUAGAAGAUAGAGCUACUACAGACUUUAAAGAUGAUUUCCAACUAAUCAUACAGUUGUUCAGCAUGAACAAAUAUCUAGUGGUUGACUUCUUUCUGUCGAAGUGUCUACCAAAGUCAGAGCCUACAUACCCCACCAUUUCACUCACAGCUUAACUUGAUCUUCCAAACAGUAAGACAUGGUUUGAGGUACCCCUGAGAUACCUCAAUAUCCAUUUGACAACAUCUCAAUGGAUCUUACUUGGAAAGCUUAAGAUUUACUGACUAUACCCACUAAAUAAGUUAUAUCAGGUCUGGUACACACAAUUGCAUAUAUAAGGCUCCCCAUAGCCGGUGUAUAUGGUAUUUCUUCCAUCCAAAACUUAUCUUUGACAACAUCUGAUGCUUGAGACACAGACAACUUGAACUGAGAGCCAAGAGAAGUCAGAACAGGUUUGCACUAUUGCAUAUUAAACCUAUCUAACACCUUUAUUAACAUACAUCUCUUAACUCAAGAAAAGAACACUAGCAGCUUUAUUCCUUGUGAUCUCCAUCCCAAGAAUCGUUUUGGCAUUGGCAAUAUCAUUCAUCUCAAAUUUAUGGUUCAUCAGUUUCUUAAGCUUUUCAAUCUUAGUUUGGUGUCUGCUUGCAAUCAAUAUAUCGUCUAUAUAAAAAAGCAAAUAUAUCACUCUGCCUUAAUCUGAGCCACCAUAGUAAACAAAGCUAACAUACUUGCUCUUGUGGUAACCAUUAGUUACUAUGAACUCAUCAAAUCUCUUGUACCACUCUCUAGAAAAUUGUUUUAGUCCAUAUAGUGAUUUAUGUAGCAAGUAAACAUGAUUUUCUUUCCCUAUCUUUGCAAAACCUUCAGGCUGAGUCAUCAAAAUCUGCUCUUUAAGCUUCCCAUUUAGGAAAGCAGUUUUAACAUCCAUUUGCUUAAGCUCUAUACAAGAAAUGUUGCCAUAGUUAAAAGAAUUAUGAUAGAGCUAUGUUUUACAAUAGGGGAGAAGAUUUCCUUGAAAUCUACACUCUUUCUCUAAGUCUUACCUUGAAUUUUGAAGGUUCAACUCUAAGGAUGCCAUUCUUUUUCUUAAAGAUCCACUUACAGUUAACCAGCUUCUUGUCACUUGGAUUUGGAACAAGUGUCCACAUCUGAUUUCUCUAUAAAGAAUCCAUCUCUUUUCUCAUUGCCUUAAUCCAUUUGUCACAGUUCUCACUUUCAAUGGCCUUAGAAUAGCUAAAAGGCUCCUCAAUUGACAUAUCUUCUGCACUCAUCAGUGCAUAGGCAAUCAAAUCUGUAGAACCAUACCUCACAGGUGCCCUGGUUUGCCUUCUACUUAUGUCCCUAGCUAGUUGAUAGCUCUGUAGGUUAAUUUGUUGUGUUUCUUGUGUUUCAACAGCUUUAGUUUCAUCAAAUGGACCAGUUUCAGCAUUUGAUGUAUCCAUUUUCUUAUCCUUAGCUCCAAGAAACUCCACCUUAAACUUAGAGGACUUAGUUGGUUUAUUCGCAUCUCCUUCAACAUGCAUAUCAUCUUCUAUUAUUUCCUUUCUAGCCUUAACCAUAGCUGCUUAAUUGAAAAUAACAUUUCUACUGAUAAUGCAUUUUCCAUGUUGUUCACACCAUAUUCUAUAUCCUUUGACACCAUCAGCAUAGCCAACAAAAAAUCCUUUCAAGGCUAUUGGUUCAAGCUUGCCUUGAUUUACAUGUGCAUAAGCAGGACAACCAAAGAUUCUGAAUUGUCAUAUUUUACAGACCUCCCUGACCACAUUUCCUCAGGUGUUUUGAAACCAAUGGCUGAUGAAGGACUCUUGUGUGACUAGAUAACAAGCUGUACUCAUAGCCUCUGCCUAGAAACUUCUUGGAAUUUUGGAAUUAAUCAACAUAUACCUGGUUAUAUCAACAAGGGUCUUAUUCAAUCUUUCUGCUAAACCAAUUUAUUGAGGAGUUAAUCUAAUAGUUUUAUGCCUUAAAAUUCUAUGCUUCUUAUGGUAGUCUUCAAACUCAUUGUUGCAGAACUCUAGGCCAUUAUCAAUUCUUUAGGCCUUCAAUUUCCUUCCACUUUUAUUUUCCACCAAUGUUUUUCAAACCUUAAAUUUCUUUAAGGCUUGAUCUUUGGAUUUCAGAAUAUAAAGCCACACCUUUCUUGAGCAAUCAUCAAUAAGGUCAUAAAAUAUCUACCCUUGAUAAAGAUGGCACUUGAGCUAUGCCCACAAAUCAGAUUGAAUAAAUUUUAAGACACACUUAGAUCUAUAUGCCCCUUUUGGAAACUUGGCUCUGUGUGCCUUCCCAAAGACACAAUUCUCACAAAACUCAAGACUACUUAUCUUGUCAGACUCUACUGUCAUUACAGCACUUGCAAGAAUGAAAAAACCAACUAACACACACAACCUGUUCCUCUUUUCACCUUUCAUCAUAAUAGAAUCCCUUUUAGUCGCUCUAUGCCACCAUUAUCAGACUUAAAUGAAUAUUCAAAGCUAUCUAACAUGCCUAAAGAGAUUAAAUUUCUCUUUAAUCCACGGGCAUGUCUUACACCAUGUAAAGUUUUAAAGACCCCAUCCAACAUCUUUAUCUUAAUAGAUCUUAUUUCAAUAAUUUUGCACUUAUUAUUGUUUACUAUAAGAACUCUACCACCAUCAAUAGACACUUAUUGGGCAAAUGUAAAAUGAACAGCCAGAAUUUAAUACCCACUGAUCUUCUAAGUUUGCCUUUUGAUGAUAUUAACAUAUCAACACUGUGAUAGCCAUAAUCUGAAGAGUCAUUUAAAGCCACAACUGCAUCUCUUGAUUUUUCUUGAUGCUCCCUUUUCUUUUACUCUGCAUAGUCUCUGAUAUAAUGACCUUCUUUGUGAUAGCAAAAACACUUCUUUUUCUUUUUUCUUCUUACCGGCUUCUUGGCUCUUUCCUUUGCCCUUUUCUUGAUUCUUAUUCUUAUGUUCUUUUUUCUUUCUAGUUCUGGCAAUCAGCCCUUCUCCAUUACUGAUUUAAUGCCCAUUAUUUCUCUGAAUCUCCUUUGAGCUCAAUGAUGCCUUAACAUCUUCUAAAGUUAAUGUUGCUCUUUUAUCUAACAUUGUAUCUACAAAACCUUCAUAGGAUUGUAGCAGUGAACUGAGCAAGAAAAAUGCUUUAUUUUCAUCUCUAAUUUUCACAUUUUCAAACCCUUUAAGAUUAAGGAUGAUCUUAUUGAAAAUAUCAAUGUGUUCUUGGAUUAACACACCUUCUUUUAUUGAAAAAUAUAAAGUUUUUUCUUCAAUAAAAGCUUGUAAACCAAAGACUUCUUCAUGCAUAGUGCCUCCACCUUAUUCCAUAUCCUUAGAUCAAUUUUUCUUCAAAGAUUUCCCUUAAGAUUGAGCCACUAAGACUCAAAAUCAAGGAAAUAUGAGCUAUGUUCUGGAUGUGCUACUUCUUUUCAUCAGGCAUGGAACUUGUAGCUCUAUUAAGAUCUUUGUUACCCAGAGUAGACUCAAGGCCCUGAUAAAUGAGCAGAGGCCUUAUCUUUGUCUUCCAGAUCUUUGGCUUUAGAAGUGACAUACCCAAGAAUUACCAAAGCAUUCAUACCACUUGUUGUAAUUUCUAGUGGCUAAUUACAAGAACUAAUUCAAUACUUCAAUCUUUAAUCAAUCAAGAUCGAUUUGAAAUCAAGAUUGAUAAAGAAUAGAGUAAAGAAAAGAAAAUAGAAUUAGAUUGCCAAGAAUAAACUACCAGAUGAGAAGGAAAAAUUCACAUUGUUUCAUUAAUCAAAACUAAGUACAAACAAAUCACAUCUGAAGAGGAGAUUACAAUAAUCACGUGUAAAGAAGAAUUAUACUAAUUGGAGAAUAAAUGAAUUAUAUAUCAGUUGACUUGUUAUCCACUUGCCACUAAUUUUCUAUUCAAUCCACACAGUAGCCAGAAUCCCCCAACUUGCUCAAAAGACUUAAUUCAUUACCUCAAGUCCUUUUGGCCACCUAGAUUGAGAAUUUUUUUAUUCUUUUUUUGAUACUUCCUAUCUAAUAAGAGCAUGUCAUUACGAACUUGUAUUUGUUUGAUUCAUAACAUCUCAAGAGCAUUACAAUAGAAAAAAAAAAAGAGUAACUAGAACUAACAACAUUGAUUAAACUUCCUACUUGUUAUUCUUAGUGGUAACUACAUCUAGAUCUUGAAUGUACAAAAGCCAACAUCAUGGAGCCCAUAUUUUGCAUCAUUAAAUGAUUAGUCUAAUUGUCACCUCUGCUUUCACUAUUGUCAUUAAAAAUUUAUCUUAUCAUACUAGCUGCAUAAAAAUUAACAAAUUAACAUAUUAUCAUUUUUAAGUCAUCAAUCAAGUAUAAAUAUUAUAUUAUUUAGUUAUAUAACAAAAAUAAAGAAAGAACUAAAUUUCAAAUAUAUAUAUUGAAUUAAAGCCAAACUAGCCAUCCAAAUAAAUAAAAGAAUACAUAUUUGCAUUUAGAAACAACUACUUUAAACCAAUAUCUUUAUUUUCAUGUGAUGAAAUUAAAAUUCUAGUUACAAUUACAUGUGACUUCUGUGAAGUUGUCUAGCCAAUAAAUUGUCCAUUUGCUUAUAUAAAAAAAAUUUUCAUCUUGAAUGCAAUUUGUGAAUCAACAAUGACAACAUGGCAACUAAUUCAAGAAAGACUUCCGUAUGUUUAAUAGGUGAGGCAAAUAUGGGCCCAAAUAAUAGCAAAAAUUUUGUUAUAUGAAUUGGGGCAAACUUCAAUUCAUCCCCUUGCCAAUAAAAAUCUUCAAUUUACCUUUCAAAAACAUGAAAAUCUCGACUUACCUCAAAUUUUGUUUAGAAGAUGAACGUAAUAAUGAUCGUUAUUAGUAUUUCAAUAGAUUACUCUGUCGUAGAUUAAGUCAACGAUAAAUAUACAACAAAAUAGCAUCAAAUGCAUGCAUAAAANNNNNNNNNNNNNNNNNNNNNNNNNNNNNNNNNNNNNNNNNNNNNNNNNNNNNNNNNNNNNNNNNNNNNNNNNNNNNNNNNNNNNNNNNNNNNNNNNNNNNNNNNNNNNNNNNNNNNNNNNNNNNNNNNNNNNNNNNNNNNNNNNNNNNNNNNNNNNNNNNNNNNNNNNNNNNNNNNNNNNNNNNNNNNNNNNNNNNNNNNNNNNNNNNNNNNNNNNNNNNNNNNNNNNNNNNNNNNNNNNNNNNNNNNNNNNNNNNNNNNNNNNNNNNNNNNNNNNNNNNNNNNNNNNNNNNNNNNNNNNNNNNNNNNNNNNNNNNNNNNNNNNNNNNNNNNNNNNNNNNNNNNNNNNNUCGUCAGACCGUGGAAUAUUAAAGUACUGAACCGAUGGUUACGAUGAAUCUAUUAUUAUUUGUUUUUCUUCAAAUCCAAACAUAGUGGGGUCUCAUAUUUGAUAUUACUUAUUCUUGCUGAAUUCACAACUACAGGAUUCUAUUUUUUUUUUGUUAAUUGUAAUCUAUAUUUAGGGGAUUAAUUAACUUUGAAUUGCCUAGAUUGGUAAAAUACUAUGAAUUAUCUAGUUGAUUAAAUAUAUGUUCACUGAAUUGUAUAUGCACUCUAUGAAUUAAUAGAUUAUUAACUAAUAGAUUAAUUUAUAUUAGUAUCCCUUUAUAUUAAUAGAUAUUAUAUGAUUCUAACAUUAUUAAUUUAUAGAGGCUUUAUUGUAUAUCCAUGCAAAUAUCUAGCAAUGUAUUGCGCCAUUUGCCUACCUAAAAUAUAGGUUGUGGUUAAUUUCAUUCGAGGACGUCAUUUCUAGAAAUAUUUUUACAUAUUAAAAAUAAUAGCCUAAUGAUUGAUAUAAAGAGAAAAUAAUUAAUAAUAAACUAAACAAAAUGAUAAGAAAAAAAUGAUAAAAUUAAUUAAAUAUAUGUUGAAAUCACCUUCAUAAUGCAACAAGAAAUUAAAAUCAACAGUUUAUUAAAACCAACGCAGCAUAAGUUAUUUAAGCUUCAUUUUAAAUAUCUCUUUAUAUUAAUAGAUAUUGCAUGAUUUUGACAUUAUUAAUUUAUAAAGGCUUUAUUAUAUAUCCACAGAAAUAUCUAGCAUUACAUUGCGCCAACUGCUUGUCUAAAAUAUAGGAUGUGGAUAAAUUCAUUGGAGGAUGUCAUUUAUAGAAAUAUUUUUAUCAAUUAAAAAGAGCAGCCUGACGAUUGAUAUAAAGAGAAAAAAAUCUAAUAAUAAACUAAACAAAAUAAUAAGACAAAAAAUGAUAAAAUUAAUUAAAUACAUGUUGAAAUUACCUUCAUAAUGCAUCAAGAUAUUAAAAUCAAUAGUUUAUUCAAACAAAAGUAGUGUAAUUUAUUAAAGCUUCAUUUUGGAUUCUUUUCAAUUACAUUAAGGUCACUACAACACAUUUCUCAAUAUUCCUUUAUAUAAAUAGAGACUCAUGCCUUUCUAAUUAUGACACAUCCAUUUUAAUUCAAAUUAAGCUGUUUAGAAUUCAAUUAAGAAAUUGAAAAAAUGUCAAAGAGCUCAGUUUCAUCAUGCUUGUAAUGGCAAACACUAAAUGCAUGCUAGCCUAGGUGCUUCAUUUUCUAUUUCCCUAGGCUUACAAGCGAAAAUUAUUUGUUCGAGAAGUUACUAUACCUACACACGCCCCGAGGGGAAUGUAAAUGAUUUUGAUAAUCAGUUGUUUCUUUUAUCUUUUAUUAGUGCUUUUACGAUAAUGAUUAAUCGUAGUGAAAUUAAAACUAUGUUUUAAUAAAAGAAGAAAUUAAUCCGUUAUGAGUGCUUAAUGUUUUGUCAUGUGCUUUUUUUGUGUGUGUUUUUGGUUUGCUUUGUUUUAUACGUAUCAUUGAAUCAAUCUAGGAGAGAAAAAUUAGUUGAAACACUAAUAUUGAUCAAGCGAUCAUAAUUACAAUGUUAGUACCGUACGUAAUAUUCAAAUUUUAAAUCUAUUUUCUUUUAGGGUGAGGCUAUAUAGAUCCUAUUUUUAUCAAAAUUUAAUUUUUUCUAAAUCUUAUAUUACUAACCUAUCUGAUUUAACUUAUGUGUAAAUUCAACUUAUGUAUAGAGAACCUUCAAUUUACCACAAAAAAUGAGAAAAAACCAAUUCACCCCCAUUUACUACUACGAAAAUAAAUAAAAGAUCAUCAACUUGCCCCCUAUUUAAGCUCAUUUUUUGAAAAAAAAAAUUAGUGUAAAUUGAGGUUUUCAUGCUCUUAGAGGGUAAAUUGAAGAUUGUUAUUAGGAGGGGGAUGAAUUAAAGUUUACCUCAAUCAAUAUAAGAAAACUUUUCAUAUUAUUUCUGACACAUUUGUCGUGUUGAUAUGCCCACAUCAAUUCAAUUGGUAACUCAUGUUGAAUGAACGUCUUGAUUAGAUAAAUUAUCAUCGGAUGUUAGGCAAUCUUGUAUUCUACAUGCCUUACUAACUUAUUUCUUAAGAAUUUUUGUAAUUGUGUUUGUUGUAAUUUGUAAUGGGUAAUUACAAGAACUAACUCAAUACUUCAACCUUUAAUCAAUCAAGAUCGAUUUGGAAUCAAAAUUGAUAAAGAACAGAGAAAAGAAUAGAAAACUUAUGCUGUGUUUACUAAAUUGGAAUCGGAAUCAGCUGGAAUCAGAAUGGGCAGGAAUGAGAAUAAGCUGAAAUGGGAAUAUGGAAUGAGAAUCAGAAUAAGUUGUUUACUUAAACUGUAGGAAUCGAAAUCGGAGUGAGCUGGAUUGCCAUAAAUGUGUUAACUUUGUCUUGGAAUCGAAAUCGAAAUGAGUUAGAUUGUAACAAAUUACUAAAAAAUACUUAAUGAAUUAUUGUCAUAAUUAUUAUUUUAUAUUUGAAUUAUAGUGAUUAUUUAUUCAAAAAAUAUUAUUAUUAUUAAUUAUUGUCAAUAAUAUAUUGAUAUAUUAAUUAAUUAUAAAAAUUAUUAAUUAUAUUAAUAAUUAUUAUAAAAUAUAUUAAUUAAUAAUAUUAAUAUUACUUAUUUAAUUAUAAUAAUAUAUUAAUUAUUGUGAUUAUUUAUUCAAAAACUAUAAUUAUGUUAAUAAUGUAUUAAUAUAUUAAUUAAUAGUAAUAAAUAUAUAAAUUAAUUAAUAAUAUAAUAAUAUAUGAAUCAAUUAUAAUAAUUAUAUUUAUUAUAUUAUUAUUAAUUAUAGUUUUUAUAUUAAUUAAUAGUAAUAAUUAUUUCAAUUAAUUAAUGAUAAUAUAUGAAUUAAUUAUAAUAACUAUAUUAAUAAUUAUUAUAAUAGUAUAGUAAUUAAUUAUUUAUAAUAAUAAUAUAUUAAUUAUUGUGAUUAUUUAUUAAAAAAUUCAAUUAUUAAUAAUUCUUGUUAAUAAUGUAUCAAUAUACUAAUUAACUGUAAUAUACUAAUUAAUUAAUUAUAAUAAUAUAUUAAUUAAUUAUAUAUUUGGCUUUUUUAUUUUUUAUAUUUAUAUUUUUUAUUUAAAGGAGGGGCAUUUUAGGAAAAUUUGAAUGUCAAUGAAGGCAAAAUGGGAACUCUGAGGAAUAAGAGAUUGAUUCUCACCUCCCCCCCAUAGGAAUCAAUCUCCCAUUCCCAAAUAGUAGUGGGCCUGUUGUGCAAAUUUUAUUGAAAUCGCAAGUGCACGAAUUUAUUGUAGAAUAGAUUAAUAGUGACGAGUGUCGAUCCCACGAGGAGGUGGAUUUUAAUUAUAUGUAGAAUUAAUUUUGUAUGAGGGUGGUUGAAUUUGUGGUGAAAGUGACUUAGAUUAUCCUAAAAUUGAAAUUGAAAUUACGAGAAUAAAUUGAAGAGAAAUCUAUUGAAAUGACGUACUUGGGUAUCUGGAUUCGUAUCAACAUGCACCAUGGGCUAAAUAUUCAUUAUUAAUGUCAAUUAAAUCAUGAGAUGGAAAUCCACACCUCAUGAACCACACUCUAAUCAAUAUGGUGCUAAGGGCUUAUCGUGCCAAAUAAUAAUAACCUUGUACUAGGGAGCCGGUGAAACCAGGGCGGUAUCUAGACAAGAUUAUUAUUAUUUGUCGACGAGAAGUCAAAACAUCCACAAAAACUAAAGGGGAAUAGAAAAUAAAUUUACCAAAUAAAGCCCAUGACACAUGUUGAGACUUCACCUUCAACCCAAGCUUGAAAGAAAAUUAGCUACUCAUAAUUGAACUAGGGGCAAAAUGGAAAUUUAUUAAAAUACGUAGAAAAUACAAGAUAGAGAAGGAAUUACAGAAAAUGGAGUCCAAAAAUGGAUUUAGAGAUAUCAAAUUAGGGGGGAGAACCCCCUUUUUAUAGAUACAUUGAGUAAAUCAUGGCCAUCGGAUCAAAAACAUUUUGGACGCUCAGGAUUGUGCCACGUCAUCAGUCAACAAUAUGCAGUUUGAACAGUAACACGGUUUGACUCGGCUUGAACAGUGACACGGUUUGGUUGAAAAUAAUACUGUGUAAUGCAUGUACCGUACACGAGAUUUUUGGUCCACUGAUAUGCUGCCACGUCAUCGAUCAACAGUACAUAAGAAUUUUAGUCCAAUAGGAUCGUGACACCUCAUCAGUCAAUGCCACAUCAUUGGUUAAUGCCACAUCAUCGGUCAAUGCCACGUCAUCGUUCCGUCUAUGUGAACAGUGUCAUGAACAGUAACGUAGACAGAACCGUACAUGUAAAUAGUACCGUACAUAUGAACAAUGUCAUUUUUCCUUUUAUGCUCCUCCUAAGGUUUUCGCCCGUCCUAAGUUCAGAAGUGAUGUCCUUUUUGCCGUCUGAUCUCUCGUUUAUUGUGAAAUGACUAUGAUGCCCCUAAAAUACAUAAAAUACUUAAUUAAAAUAAAACACACAUAAUUAAAUUACAAGAAGCUUAAAUACAUAAAAGUAAGGGUUGUUAGUAAGACUUGAAAUGUAAAAUGAUGAUUUUCUCCUUUAUAAAAAUACAUUUUCUAACACUCAACACACCCCCCAACUAGCUUAUUGGUAGUCCCUAGCAAAUAAAGCGAAAACAAAAUUCAAACCCAAAAAAUAUAUUUAUAUAUAUAUAUAUAUAUUUUUAAACAACUUUGUUUAUUCAAUCAGACUAAUGAUAACAAUCAAAUAAAAGUAUAAGCAUUAUCUCCAGUCUACAGAAACAUCACACCCACAUCAACCAUCCACAUGAAUCAGCCCAGUAGACUUUGUCACAGCUACUUUCAAGAAUGACAUGUUAAACCCCAAAAUCUCACUGGAAAUAGUGACACUCUCACAAAGAAAUUAAACCCAAUAAAAAUAGUCACUCCAAUGAAUGGUAAUUGAGAGAAAAUAAUAAAGAAAUGAUAUCACAUGCUCUCACCAAGAUGAAAGAAAUAUGCCCCCAGCUUAGAAAUAAUACGAUCUCAAGUCAAAUAAAAAUUCUAGUCAACCCAAUUUAUUUAUUUAUUUUUUUAUGCACCACUACAUCUUUUUAGCCCAUAUAACUAGCUUCUACUUCAAACUAUAGUUCCCUAAAAUCAAAAAGGACUUUUAUUAGGACGUAACGUAGGUUAUGGACAUGGCUAACAAAAGAGGGAAAAAUAAGGAAAACAAAGUGUAUGUUUGAGAAAAAUGUAGAGAAUUUUUUUUUUUGGAAGUUGCAAGGUGGAUUUCACCUAUUAUUGUUCUUUUUUUAAACAACAAUUUUUUUUUUGCUUUUUUGCUUUUGUUUGACAUAACUUCACUGAACAAAAUAAUUAUUUACAUUUUUCUCAAACAUAAAUAGAUGAUGAAACUUGUAAGAUAUUGGGUAAUACUCCAAAUCGGAGUAGGUCAAGAUGAUAAGUUUGACAAAGAAAUUUUUUUUUUUUAAAGGCUCAAAAGGGUUAACUAUGAAUAUUUCAUAAAAGGGAUGGCUAGAAAGGCUCAAAUGGAUCAAAGAUGACCUUUCCAUCGUCUUUUAGGGCUCUAAAUAAUCUUCCAUAUCUACUAGUUAGAUGGGCCUCCAAAUGUAGUAACACACAAUUUUUUCUUCUUUUUUUUUAAUUUUACAAUUUUUUUUAAGGGUUGACUCAAAAGAAAUCUAGAGAUCGUGUAUAAAAUAAUAAACUGCUAAGCUGUAUAAAGAAUGGGCAAAAGGGUUACUCUCCAAGAAAAAUGAUAGGCUCAAAAACUCACUUGGUACUUAUUAUGACAUGUUCAUUCCUUCGAGCAACUCAUAUUUAUCUCCGACAUCAACAUGUAGAGUAGCAAACAUAGCGUAACAUCACUUAAGACCAAAGAUAAUACAAAUACUAAAAUUUAAAAUUCAUCAUGUCAUCCAAUGUUAAAACAAAUCACACAAUUUUGUUUUUGUUUUUUUUUUGUUUUUUAAACACAUUCUACCCCCCAACCUAUUCUAAGCAUAAAAGGAAAAUAUGCAUGCAGAAAUGUGAAAAUGAUGUAGAAAAACUAAUUAGAAAAAUUACACUUAAAAUGAUAGAAAAAGAAAAUAAUUUUUUUUUGUUUAAAGAAGAUACGUUUCUAGAGGCACUACACUCUAUAUUCCGCCAUCUUCGACUCAAAAAUUAAAAAAUGUAUAUUUAUAAAGGAGAAAUUAAAAAGAGGAAGAACAAUGAAUAUCAAAGCUUAAUAAAGAAAAAGAAAAUGUCUUGAUUUUUUUUUUUUUUUUAAAAAAAAAAAUUUUUCAAACGAUGAAGAUGCAUUUCUAGAGUCAUUACACUCCAUAUUCAGCCAUCUUUAACACAAAAAGUAAGCAACAGUUAGUUUCUACAACAAAAAAUCAGUAAAAACUUAACCAAGAUUCCACAAUUGUCGACUAUCCCCUCCCCCCAACCAGAACGAAACAGUGUCCUCAAUGUUUGAAAGGAAAGAAGCAGAGUUUAGAAGACAUCACCUGGAUGGUGUAACACAGAAGAAAAUAUUUACAAGCGGAGAGUUAAAUCUAAUUUGUACUUCUUGCUGCGGCUACUAUUACCAUCAUUAUUUGGACGCUCCAACAUAAAGGUCCAGGGGUCAGUCUCCGGUCUAUAAGCUUGUAACAGAUCAAGUAGCUCAUUAGUAGUGUGAGCACAAAUAAAAAGUUUUUUCGCAUUGGAAGGAAUGAAAUAGUUUUUUAUUGCAUGGUUAAGAAAUGCGAUGAAGCCAUCAUAAAAGUUUUUUACAUUUAACAAACCGAUGGGUUUCUGGUGAAUGUGCAGAUGGGCCCAAGAUGCUAGUGUGAUAAGUGCCUCUAGUGUUGCAAGAUCUCCUAGAAGGAAAAUAAAAGCAUCAGCAUGAUUAAGUAUUUUAGUUAUUCUUUCUUGCAUAUAUGAGACGGCUAACUCUUCUCCAGUCGGUGUAUCAGACAAACUGCCCAAAGGUUUUAGGGCUCUUGGGAUGAUUCCUAACACUUGACUUCCUCUAAAAAAAGCAGCUUCUGAGACCAAUUUUGAUAACCCUCGGUUACCUCCUCCAUACACCAAGUGUAGUUUUCUCUCUGCUAUGCUUCAACCAAGAUCUAUUGCUACCUCAACGAACUCUUUAUGUUUGCCAUAGUUAAAUCCAGAAAGCAUACAAAUGUUCUUGAAUUGUCUAUUGGGAGUAGCUGCCAUUGGAAUAUUUCUCAAAAACAAUUUGUGAGUGCUUAACAAAAAGUCAUAUUUAAGAAUCUUGGUGACAGUGGGUCACAACUGUGUAUGAGGUGGCAUGUCAGUGUCAAAUAACGCGUAAAGCACAUGGCUCACGAGUCAAAAAGAAAACAGUAAAAAGAAAAAGAAACAAUGAUAAAAUAAAAUUAUUAAAGACAAUAAUGCAAAUGAUAAAACAACAAUGAAAUAAAAUAACAGUGAAGUAAAAGGAUAUUUACAAGUAGUUGCGACUGUGGCUCACAUCUUCCUCUGGUUUUAUGUCCAGAAACGGCUUGAACGCUCUCUAUGGGCCGAGGAUAGGCUUCCCAUCCAGUUUUCUUAUAAACUAGCAAACAGGGUCGUUUAUAGUCAGAUUCCCCAGACUAUAUCGUGCAUGCUCUUUCUGGAAUAAUGGCCAUAACUGGAGAAUCACUCCUUACACAUAUCCACUGGGAUGCGUUUCAAGAGACAAAAGGAUAUCAUCCAAUGACUCCUUAUUCAAGCCAUCCCUAAUGAAUUGAAUCUUAUCUUCCCUGUUAUUAGACACCAUUCCUAAAUAACAUGGGUUUUUAUUGUAUCUCAUUCUGGCACAUUUAUGACAAGCAAUAGAAAUUCUUCGAGCUCUUCGUUUUCUUGCAUAAUUUUCUAUACCACAACCAAGCAUGUAUGCAAUAAAUUUUGGAGGUAACUCACCUGCCAAUCGUACUUUAGCUUCGAUUAACCAGCGGAUAUCAGCAGGUAUGUUAUUCCUCAUGAGCAAUCGCAUGCGUUCGGACCGAGCUUUAUAGAUUGUAAGGAGGGCAUUCUGAGGAAGUCAAGGGAAUCGAUUGUGAAGCUUUGCUAAAAUCUCGUUUCUAUCCAUACCUUCGCCUCAGAAUAUCAGUUAUUAUGGGAAACUGAAGUAACCGACUUGAUUGUCACGGAGUACUGUUAUCCGCCACUUCACCGGGGUAACAAACUAAAGCACACAAAUAGAAAAACAAAUUAAAACACACAAAGAAUAUUAAAAUCGUCCUCUUAUUGAAUUUACCUCAAGCUCCAACUGGAUGUUGUAGACACUUCUCUCAAUGUCUCUGAGUUGGCUUUCUAAAUCCUCAACAUAGGCUACUAACUCUAAUGGUUGCAGGAUCGUGACACCUCAUCAGUCAAUGCCACAUCAUCGGUCAAUGCCACAUCAUCGUUCCAUCUAUGUGAACAAUAUCGUGAACAGUAACGUAGAAAGUAUCGUACAUGUGAACAGUGCCAUUUUUCCUUUUAUGCUCCUCCUAAGGUUUUCGACCGUCCUAAGUUCAAAAGUGAUGCCCUUUUUGCCGUCUAAUCUCUCGUUUAUUGUGAAAUGACUAUGAUGCCCCUAAAAUACAUAAAAUACUUAAUUAAAAUAAAACACACAUAAUUAAAUUACAAGAAGCUUAAAUACAUAAAAGUAUGGGUUGUUAGUAAGACUUGAAAUGUAAAAUGACAAUUUUCUCCUUUAUAAAAAUACAUUUUCUAACACUCAACAGGCCCCACAAUUUCGAUUCCUAUUCCUGCUCCAUUUUUGCGAAGUAAACGCCAUCAAUCAUUCCGAUUCGAUUCCCCAAUCUCGGAAGUAAACACACCAUUAAUUAAUUACCUAAAGCCUUUUUGGUCACUCGGUUUGAGAAUUUAUUUCUUCUUUUUAUGAUGCUUCCUAUGUAAUAAGAGCGUGUGAUUAGGAACUUGUAUUUAUUUAAUUUAUAACAUCUCAAGAGCAUUACAAUAAAAAGACAGAAAAAGAAAAGUUGAAACUAACAACAUUGAUUAAAAUUCCUACUUGUUAUUCUUAGUGGUAACCACAUUUAGGUCUUGAAUUUGCAGGAGCCAACAUCAUGAAGCCCAUAUUUUGCACCAUUAAAUGAUUAAUCUUAUUGUUAUCUCUGCUUUCACUAUUGUCUUAUCAAAAGUUUUUUCUUAUCAUACUAGCUGCAUAAAAAUUAACAUAUUAUCAUUUUUAAGUCGUCAAUCAAGUAUAAAUAUUAUAUUAUUUAGUUAUAUAAUAAAAAUAAAGAAAUGUCUAAAAUUAAAAGACAUAUCUUAAAUUAAAGCUGAACUAUCCAUUGUAAAUAAAUAAAAGAAUACAUAUUUGCAUUUAGAAACUACUGCUUUAAACCAUUUUGUAAUUACCAAAACUUUUUCUUAAAUAAAAUAAAAUAACAUAAAAUAAAAGAAAUUAAAAGUCAAUAUUUUUAUUUUCAAGUGAUAAAAUUAAAAUUUUGGUUAUAAUUACAUAAGGCAAAAGAAAGGUGGUGCAAUGAUAAUUUCAAGUGAUUAAAUUGAAAUUAAUUAUAUUCAAGUGAUGAAUAUGUUAGAACUUUGUGGUGGUUGGAUGAAUAUAAGGCAAAAGAAAGGUGGUGCAAUAAUAAUUUCCCUUUUUCUUUUUAUGGUGCUUCUUAUCUAAUAAGUGCGUGAAUUAGAGCUUGUAUUUACGUAAUCAUAGCAUCCAAAGGCAUUACAGAAGAGAGACAAAGCAAGAAAAGUUGAAUACUAACUAUUUGAUGAAGAUUCCUGGUACUAAUUAAUCCUACAUGUUAUUCUUCGUGAUAACCAUAUAUGGGUCUUGAAUUUAUAGGAGUCAACAACACUAGACACGCGCACAAAAAACACAUCACAAAAUAUUGCAUACUCAUAAUGGAUUAAUUUCUUAUUUUACUAAAACACAGUUUUAAUUCCAUUACAGUUGAUCAUUAUUGUAAAAGCACUCAUAGAAGAUAAAAGAAAUAACUUAUUAUGAAAUUCAUUUGCAUCCCCUGCAGAACAAGGGUAGAUAUAGUCUUUAAGAGCCUUUUUUAACUUCUCGAUCAAAUACUCUUCCCUUGUAAACCCUGAGCAAUAAAUAAGGUCAGGUGUGCUGCAGGAGUGAAGGAAAAUGAAGCAUUUGGAUUAGAUUCUUAGUUAGUGCGACAUGCUGAAAUAGGUGUGCCUUUAGUGUUUCCUACUACAAGCAGAGCUAAGAUGAUGAAACUAAAAAUCUUCGACAUUUUUAAGUUUCAUCAACAUGCUGGCUGGCGACAAGUUUACCUCCAAGUCCCCCAACACGGUGACCAAAUUAAAGGAGCAUUAGUUAUUGGCUCAUUGGACUUGUUAUCUGCUUGCUGCUACUUUUCUAUUCAACCCACAAGUAGGCUUGAAUCCCCCAACUUGCUCAAAAGACUUAAUUCAUUGCCUCAAGUCUUUUUGGCCACCCGGUUUGAGAAUUUGUUUCUUCUAUUAAUGAUGCUUCCUAUCUAAUAAGAGCGUGUGAUUAGGAACUUGUGUUUGUUUAAUUCAUAACAUCUCAAGAGCAUUACAACAGAAAGACAAGAAAAGAAAAGCUGAAAUUGAUUAAAAUUCCUACUUGUUAUUCUUAGUGGUAACCACAUCUAGGUCUUGAAUUUGCAUGAGCCAACAUCAUGAAGCCCAUAUUUUGCAUCAUUAAAUGAUUAAUCUUAUUGUUAUCUCUGCUUUCACUAUUGUCUCAUCAAAAAAAAUUUCUUAUCAUAUUAGCUGCAUAAAAAUUAACAAAUUAACAUAUUAUCAUUUUUAAGCCAUUAAUCAAGUAUAAAUAUUAUAUUAUUUAGUUAUAUAACAAAAAUAAAGAAAUAACUAAAUUUUAAAAACAUUUAUUGAAUUAAAGCCAAAGUAGCCAUCCAAAUAAAUAAAAGAAUACAUAUUUGCAUUUAGAAACAACUACUUUAAAUCAUUUUGUAAUUACCAAAAACUUUUUCUUCAAUGAAAUAAAAUAACAUAAAAUAAAAGAAAUUAAAAAGGCAAUAUCCUUAUUUUCAUAUGAUGAAAUUAAAAUUCUAGUUACAAUUACAUGUGACUUCUGUUGUGUUGCCUAGCCAAUAAAUUGUCCAUUUCCUUAUAUAAAUUUUUUUUCAUCUUGAAUGCAAUUUGCGAAUCAGCAAUGACAACAUGGCAACUAAUUAGAGAAAGAACUCCAUAUGUUUAGUAGAUGAGGCAAAUACGAGCCUGAAUAAUAUGAAAAAUUUUGUUAUAUUAAUUGGGAAAAAUUUCAAUUCAUCCCUUUGCCAAUAGAAAUCUACAAUUUACCCUUCAAAAACACGAAAACCUCAACUUACCUCAAUUUUUGUUCAGAAGGAUGAACGUAAUAAUGAUCGUUAUUAGUAUUUCAACAUAUUACUCUGUUGUAGAUUGAGUCAAUGAUAAGUAUACAACAAAAUAGUGUUGGAUGCAUGCAUAAAAAACACAUGGCAUAAUAGCACAUACUCAUAAUGGAUUAAUUUCUUCUUUUAUUAAGACAGUUUCAAUAUCACUACAAUUGAUCAUUAUUGUAAAAAGCACUCAUAAAUGAUAAAAUAAAUAACUGAUUACACAAUUUUUUUGCAUCCCCCUGGGGGACAAGGGUAGAUAUAAUCUUCGAGAGCUUUCUUUAACUCCGUAAUCAAACAUUCUUCCCUCGUAAGCCCUGAGCAAUCAACAAUGUCGGGUGAUGUUGUAGGAUUAAUGGAAAACGAAGCAUCUAGGUAAGAUCCUUGACCAUUAUGACUUGUUGAAAUAAGUGUGCCUUCAGUGUUUGCCACUACAAGCAAAGCUAAGAUGAUGAAACUAAAACUCUUCGACAUAUUUCUGUUUCUUAGGUCAACUGUAAGCAACUUAAUUAGAAAUAAAAGAGAUCUACAACAAUUAGAAAUGCAUGAGCCUCCAUUUAUAUGAAUGAAUAUUGAGAAAUCAGUUGUAGUGACAUUAAUGGGAUUGAAAGAUUCCAUAACUAAGGAUUAAAUAAAUUAUGUUGUUUGUUUAAAUUAACUAUUGACUUUAAUAUCACGUUCCAUUAUGAAGGCAAUUUUAACGUACAUUAAAAUAAUUUUAUCAUUUUUAGUGUUAUUAUUUUGUUCAGUUUAUUAUUAGAUUCAUUCUCUUCAUAUCAAUCGUCAAGCUAUUUUUUUCAUAUAUAAAGAUAUUUUUAUAAGCCAUGCCCUCCAAUGAAGUUAAAACCACAUCCUAUUUUAAACAAGCCAACGACACAAUACAAUGCUAUAUAUUUACAUGGAUAUACAAUAAAACUUAUAUAAGUUAAUAAUGACGAAAUCAUUUAACAUCUAUCAGUUUAAAAAGAUGUUGGUAUUAAUCAAUCAACAAGUUAUAUAAGAGAUUAUGUUUUACAAUUCUAUGGUCAUAUUCUUAUUAUAAAAUAAUAAUUUCCUAAGCUUACAAACAUAAUUGUUAUAAUAUGUUAUUAAAUAAAAUAUGACCCAACUAUUAUUUAUUUUUUUCUUCAAAUCUAAACAUAGUGGGAUCUUAUCUGUGAUUUUACUUAUUCUUGUUGAAUUCAAAACUAUAAGAAUUUUGAAUUUUUUUUUGUUAACUGUAAUCAAUACUUAGGGGAUUAAUUUAUUUUGAAUUGACUAGAUUGGUAAUGUACUAUUAAUUAUCUAGUUGAUUAAAUAUAGGUUCACUGAAUUGUAUAUACACUCUAUAAAUUAAUAGAUUAUUAACUUAUUGAUUAAUAUGCAACAUAUGCACUUUAAGUUUAUAAUUAAGUGUAUUAUUUUCCCCUUCAAUAUAAAAUUUUUCAAAGUUGUUGGAUUUAAAACAUAUUAUCACUGGUAAAAUUUUUGGGUGAGCCAAAUUUGACACGAUGAAUAAUAGAUGUUGGUUGUGAAAAUUGACACGAUGAAAUUUGGUUGUGAAAUUUUGGUUGUUAAAUGGAUCAUGUUUAGAAUAAUUUAAACGUGUCACGACAUGAAAUCGAGACAAUUCGAAAUGAUAUAAUUAUUUAAAAGAAGUUUAUUUUAAAAAAUUAUAUCCACCCACUAAGCUAAUUGAGUUUUAUACUCACUCUGUUUUUAUUAUAUUUUCCCCCCACAGGAGAAUUGUAGGUACAACAGUCGGCCCAGCAACGAUAGUUAUUUUAUAAAUAUGACCACGUGAUGGUGUUAGGAGUCAGAGAUAUUUUUGUUGGCAUAUUUUAGAUUGUAUAAUUUUGUUAUAAUUUGUGAUUAAGGACAACCUAUUGUAUUUUGACAUUAGAAUGCUCAGAUGAUAUCUAGUAUUUUGAUUGAGGAACUUGAAUGUGGAGGUUGGUUAUGUAUUGAACUAUUUUGGGAGUGUUUAUUUUAUAAAUUGUAGGUUGGAAAUAUUACAUCUAUUGGGGAGAUUCGGCAUAAUACUUAUUAAAUAGAGUAAUAUCAAUUAUGUUAUAGGAUAUCAGGUACAUUUGCCUCGUGUGGUUCAAGUCGGGUCGUUUCAUAAUUAAUAUCAAUGUCUCUUUAUAUUAAUAUAUAUCAUAUGAUAUUGAAAUUACUAAUUUAUAGAGGUUUUAUUGUAUAUCCAUGCAAAAAUCUAGCAUUACAUUGCACCAAUGGCUUGUCUAAAAUAUAGGAUGUUGUUAAUUUCAUUGGAAGACGUCAUUUAUAGAAAUAUCUUUAUCUAUUAAAAAGAAUAGCUUGACGAUGGAUAUAAAGAGAAAACAUCUAAUAAUAAACUAAACAAAAUAAUAAGACAAAAAUGGUAAAAUUAAUUAAAUAUAUAUUGAAAUUAACUUCAUAAUGCAUCACGAUAUUAAAAUCAAUAGUUUAUUCAAACAAACGCAGUGUAAUUUAUGUAAGCUUCAUUUUGGAUUCGUUUAAAUUACAUUAAGGUCACUACAACACAUUUCUUAAUAUCCCUUUAUAUAAAUAGAGGCUCAUGCCUUUCUAAUUCCUACACAUCCAUUUUAAUUCAAAUUAAGCUGUUUAGAAUUCAAUUAAGAAAUUGAAAAAAAUGUCAAAGAGCUUAGUUUCAUCAUGCUUGUAACCGCAAACACUAAAUGCAUGCUAGCCCAGAAGCUUCAUUUUUUGUUUCCCUAGGCUUACAAGCGAAAAUUAUCUUACCAAGAAGUUACUAUACCUACACAUUCCCAUGGGGCAAUGUAAAUGAUUUUGAUAAUCAGUUGUUUCUUUUAUCAGUGCUUUUGUGAUCAUGAUUAAAUAGUGAAAUUGAAACUAUAUUUCAAUCAAAGAAGAAAUCAAUCCACUCUGAGUACCGAAUGCUUUGUCAUGUGUUUUUUGUGUGUUUUUGGUGUGCUUCAUUUUAUGCAGAUCGUUGAAUCAAUCUAUGAGAGAGAAAUUUGUCGAAACGCUAAUAAUGAUUAAGCGAUCAUAAUUAAUGUUAGUAACGUACAUAAUCUUUAAAUUCUAAGUCUAUUUUGUUUUAGGGUGAGGCUAUAUGGAUCUUAUUUUAUCGUAAUCUAAUUUUUUUCCUAAAUCUUAAAUUACUAAACUAUCUUAUUUAAUUUUUGGGUAAAUUCAAUUUAUGCCUCGAGAACCUUCAAUUUACCACAAAAAAUGUGAAAAAAUCAAUUCACCCUCAUUUACUACUACAAAAAUAAAUAAAAGGUCAUCAACUUGCCCCCCAUUUAAGCUCAUUUUCUGAACAAAAAUUAGGGUAGGUUAAGGUUCUCUAUUCUUGGAGGGUAAACUGAAGAUUGUUAUUAAGAGGGGAUGAAUUAAAGUUACCUCAAUUAAUAUAACAAAACUUUUCAUAAUAUUCGUGACAUGUAUUUGUCGUGUUUAUAUGUCCACAUCAAUUCAAUUGGUAACUCAUGUUAAACGAAUGGAUUGAUUAGAUAAAUUAUCAUAGGAUCUUAGGCAAUCCUAUAUAUUCCACAUACCUUACUAACUUAUUUCUUAGGAAUUUGUGUAAUUGUAUUGUUGUUAUUAAAGAUGUUUAGUGAAUUGGCUACCUAAGCACGGCAUGAUACAAUUUGUGGCAGAUCUAAAUUCAAUGUGAAAAAAGCCUAUUUCAAAAUUUCUGACAUAAUCUUAAUUAUGUUACACAGCUAUGUCCUUUGAAAAAUCAAAAUUGAAACAACGUUAAAUCUAAUAGGUAUCAUGCUGAGCUUUAGAGCCUUGCAAGCUUCUUCAAGUUUAUUUAUCAGUCAAUUUGUCACUUAAUCAAUUAAGAAAGAGAAAAAAAAAAUCUGAGGCUCAUGGAUCUUGGCAUAGCAAUACUAUUUCUUACCAAAAAAAAAGUAGCAGCAGUAUUUGAUCCCACCUUCCAAUUAAUCCCAUUUGUUUUUAAAAUUACUCUUAUUUAAGUUUUUUUUCCUUUUCUCUCUCAUUACCUCGAUGACCACUGCCUAUCUUUAUUGCGAUCAAUUCAAUCCACAUUCAACUAGGCAAAUUUACAAGAGCUCCAAUAUAAUGAGAUUCUUCGGCAACGACUCACUCUUUGAAAAAAUAAAUAAAUAAUUGUAACAGAUUGUUACAUUAAUUUUCCUCCAAGUAUAUGCAUUUUAUCUUCUUACUAGCAACAAAUCAAUGAAGCACGUCAAAUGCAAUUACAUUAAUCUCUAUAUCAAUGUCAAAUAUCCAAUAUCAUCAAGUUGACAUUCUAAUAUAAGCAUUAUAUACUAAGUUCGAAUAUUACAAAACCAACUUUUUUUUAACGCGAAAUUUAACAUGAUCAAAAGAAACAAACAACAUUAGCGCUAAAGAUACUAAAUUUGCAGAAACCAUUUAUUAAAAAAGAAAUUGAUUGAUUACCCAUUCUAAAGGAGUAAAUAAGCAAACGUUUAUAUAAUUAUUUAUUAUAGCAUUGAAGAGAGGAUGUGCUGAUAUUGUCUUUGUUGUUCCUGGUCAAUUUCAUGGCCAUUGCUACUAUCAUAGGACUUGCCAAAAACAACAAACUAAGUGCUAGUGAGAGGAAAAUGAUACUUUUGUUAAUAAAUUAAAUUAAUUAAAAAGUGACGGCUGGAAAGAUACUUUGAAGAGGUCCAAUAUCACUACUUGAAAAAUACCACAUGAUCAGCCCUACGCAUUAAUUCAAUAUAAAACGACCAAGUCCAUGCCAACCUCAAUCAGUAUUCAAUCAUUUUCUUGAAUUAUCACAUUCUCUCUUAAUAUCAAUUUACAAGAAUAUUGAAAGAUUUUAGAUUAAGAUUCCUAUAAUAAUGAAAUAUGCAACCAUGGAAAGCAUUAUCUGACGUAAAUGCGGAAACAAAAAUGUUGUAACUCACAGGAGCAUUGAACCAAAUCUAAAAGCAUUAAUCAAAUUAUAAUAAAAGCUCAAGAUAUUAUGAGCAACGACAUUAAUUAAUGAAUGGUUUGACAGUUCUGUAUGUUUAGGGGAAAAACAGGCAAGGUAACAGAUUGCCACGUGUCAACGAACGGAAUAACUCCAGCAUAAUUCGAGGUACCCGACAUAAUUCGAGAUACCUCGCAUAACUCGAGAGUAACUCGAGGUACCCCGCAUAACUCAGGAGUAGCUCGAGGUACCCCACAUAGCUAGAGGUACCCCGUAUAAGUCGAGGUACCCGACAAAUCGGAUGCAGGAGAACCCUUUGAAAAAGUCCGCCAUGACAAAAAUCUCCACCUCUUAAAGUAUAAUAUUCGAUUUUGUCAUAAUUAAGUAUCAAAACGUCGUACCGAAAAGUGGUGACAACCACCUGCUACCUCUGCCAAAAGUGAAGGACAUUGUCCCAAAGACAGUGGUCCUCAGCUACCUAACCUGAUAGCCACUGCAGAGGUACCCUUGACCACUCUCCAGCGCGCGCCACGUUUCCAAAGGGUGAGAUACGCCGCGAACGCCUUCUUGAUUCUCAAGCAUGGACAUAACGGCCCAAAAUUCAUAAAAAGGGAAAAACACGUGAAAGGUCUGAAAAGGGACAACCAGUAGUCAUAAAAGAUACGCCACGUGGCAGCUGAGGUACCCCAUAUAUAAAGGUGUCCUAAUUUUAUUCUCCAUCAUGUUUCAUUCACUCAUGAACACUCACACUCCACAAAAUAAGCUUUCUUCAACCUUAAACCUUGAUUUACAGAGGGCUGAUAUUGAGUGUUAGAAAAUGCAUAUUUAUAAAGGAGAAAACCGUCAUUUGACAUUUCAAGUUUUACUAACAACCCUUACUUUUAUGUAUUUAACCUUCUUUUGAUUUAAUUCCGUGUGUUUUAUUUUAAUUAAGUAUUUUAUGUAUUUUAGGGGCAUUAUAGUCAUUUCACAAUAAAGGAGAGAUCAGACGGCAAAACGGACAUCACUUUUGAACUCAGGACGAUCGAAAACCUUAGGAGGAGCAUAAAAGGAAAAAUGACACUAUUCACAUGUACGGUACUAUUCACGUGUACGGUACUGUCUACGUUACUGUUCACGACACUGUUCACAUAUACGGAUCGAUGACGUGGCAUUGGCCGAUGAUGUGGCAUUGGCUGAUGAGGUGUCACGAUCCUGUUGGGCUAAAAUUCUUAUGUACUGUUGAUGGUGACGUGGCAGCAUAUCAGUGGACGAAAAAUCUCGCGUACGGUACAUGCAUCACACAGGAUUAUUUUCAACCAAACCGCAUUACUGUUCAUCCGGGUCAAACCGUGUUACUGUUCAUCCACGUGGUCAAACAGCGUACUGUUGACUGAUGACGUGGCGCAAUCCUGAGCGUCCAAACUGUUUUUAAUCCGAUGGCCAUGAUUUACUCCAUGUAUCUAUAAAAAGGGGGCCUCCCCCCCCUAAUUUGAUAUCUCUGAAUUCAUUUUUGGGAUCCAUUUUCUGUAAUUCCUUCUCCAUCUUGUAUUUUCUUCGUAUUUUAAUAAAUUCCCAUUUUGCCCCUAGUUCAAUUAUGAGUGGCUAAUUUUCUUUCAAGCUUGGGUUGAAGGUGAAGUCUCAACAUGUGUCAUGGGCUUUAUUUGGUAAAUUUAUUUUCUCUUCCCCUCUAGUUUUUGUGGAUGUUUUGACUUCUCGUCGACAAAUAAUAUUAAUCUUGUCUAGUACCGCCUUGGUUUCACCGGCCCUCUAGUACAAGGUUAUUAUUAUUUGGCACGAUAAGCCCUUAGCACCAUAUUGAUUAGAGUGUGGUUCAUGAGGUGUGGAUUCCCCCCUCAUGAUUUAAUUGGUAUUAAUAAGGAAUAUUUAGCCCAUGGUGCAUGUAGAUACGGAUCCAGAUACCCAAGUGCUUCAUUUCAAUAGAAUUAUCUUUAAUUUAUUCUCGCCAUUUUAAUUUAAGUUUUAGCAUAUUCCAAAUCAUUUCCACCACAAAUCCAACCACCCAUUUACAAAAUUAAUUCUAUACAUAAUUAAAAUCUACCUCCUCGUGGGAUCGACACUCGUCACCAUUAGUCUAUACUAUAAUAGAUUCGUGCGCUUGCGAAUACAUUAAAAUUUGCACAACAAGUUUUUGGCGCCGUUGCCGGGGAGGUAAGUAAUUUUUAGAAUUAAUUUUUGUGAAUAAUUUCUUUUAUUUUUUUCUUAUUUUUUUAUUAUUAAAAAAAGAAAAAAAAAAGUGAAUCUACAUUUAAAGGUUAGUAUUUCUUUCCUUUUUCUCUUCUUUAAAAUUCUGUAAUUUAAUUUUUAAUUUAUUUUUCUUUGUAAUUUUUUUUGUUUAUUUUAUUAAUUUAAUUUUUAGUUAAUUUAUUUCACGUAUUUAUUUCUGUGUAUUUUUAUAGAAAGGUUGUAAUAGCGCAAUAAGGUUAGUAUCGUAAUUUCUCACUCUUCUUUAUUUUUAUUUGUUUUGUUCCCAUUUUUAUUUUUAUUUUAUUUGUUUUGCAUGCAUGGUCGUAGGUCAUUAUUACCUAAUCUUUAACCUAUAGAUCUUGAAUUAGAGAAAACACUUCGCACACACAAACAAAUUAAAAAUAAAAUGGAUUUGCAACCACAGGAGAGGCCAUUUAAGAAUUAUUUCAGUCCCUUAGCUAAUUUGAGCACAUCAUGUAUAAGAUACCCAAAUGUAGCUGCUAGGAGUUUUGAAUUAAAACCUAGUGUGCUAAAUUGUCUCCCAACAUUCUAUGGCCUAGAAAAUGAGGACCCAUAUAAUCAUCUGAAUGAUUUUCAUGCCAUUUGUCAAACUUUUAAAUAUGAAAAUUUUUUAGACGAUGAUGUUAAACUCAGAUUAUUCCCAUUUUCUUUAAAGGAUAGAGCUCGUUCAUAGUUAAAUACUUUACCUGCUAAUAGCAUCUCAUCAUGGGAACAAAUGGUAACGAAAUUUUUGAAUAAAUAUUUCCCAGUGUAUAAAACCAAUGCUAUUCGCAGGGAAAUCUCAGAGUUUACUCAGAAAGAUGACGAGCAGUUUUUCGAAACGUGGGAGUAAUUCAAUGGACUACUCUUGAAGUGUCCACAUCAUGGGUACGAAAAAUGGCACCAAUGCCAAUACGUUUUGGAGGGAUUAUUGCCGAAUGUGUAAGAAUGGCUAAUGGCAACAAGUGGAGGAGAACUAAUGUCAAAAAGUGCAUCAGAGAUUUGGGAAUUCUUCCAGCGACAAGCGGAUAAUUCCCAACAACGGAGUCGGUCACUCAGGAAUACUAGAAGAAUUAAAGGAGUAAAUGAGGUUCACAUUGGCGAGUCAAGUUAAGAAAUCAAAGAAGUCAAGGAGAUAAUUGAAGGUCUCUCUCGACAAAUAACAUCGUUAUCGACUGCUAAAUCAACAGAACCAUAUGACCAUGACUCAUACUCAGAUCAAGCCAAUGCCAUAGGUGUAAUGAGAAAGCCAUCAAAUUACAACCCAUACUCCAACACAUAUAAUCCUGGAUGGAGAGACCACCCCAAUUUUUCUUGGUCUCAAGGAUUCCAACAGAACGGACCAGCAGCUCCAGCUCCACCAAUUCCACAAAAUCCUCAAGCCUCUCAGCCCCCAUUUAGACCAUACAAUCAGAACCAGAACUACUCUCAACCCAGACCAUAGGAGGAUGCAUUCCAGAAUUUCAAGAAUGUUACUCACUCCACAAUUGAGCAACAGAAUCGCACCAUUGAUGGACUACGAAAUGAGUUGAGAGCAGACUUCAAUUCACAAGCCCAAUCAGAGAUGGUGGGACAACUUGCUUCUUCAGUUCAGACCUUGGCAAUGACUGUUGAGAAAUGCAAGUUUCCAAGUCAACCAGUGCCUAACCCUAAAGGAGUACAUGAAGCAAGUACAAGUUCACCACAGCAGCAUGGAGAGGUCAAAGCAGUCAUGACCUUACGAAAAGGAAAAGAAGUCGACAACAAAGUGGAGAUACCGGUGACAAAAGAAAAUCAAAUUGUACCUGUGAAUGUUGAAGACUCACCACCGGAGGAAAAAGAAGAAACCAACCCACGAGAAUACGUUCCGAAAGCUCCAUUUCCUCAGAGGUUAGCGAAAGGAAAGAAGGGAAAAUCCACAGGUGAGAUUCUUGAGAUCUUCAAACAGGUAAGUGUUAACAUUCCUUUGCUUGAUGCUAUUAAACAAGUUUCAUCUUAUGCCAAGUUUCUUAAAGACCUUUGUACUAAAAAGAGAAAUAUGCAUGUUCAAAAGAAGGCAUUUUUAACAGAAAACGUUAGUUCUAUACUCCAACAUAAAAUUCCUCUAAAAUGUAAAGACCCAGGCUCCCCCACUAUCUCAUAUAGCAUAGGGAACCAUACAAUUGAGAAUGCUUUGUUGGAUUUAGGAGCUAGUGUAAAUCUAUUACCUUAUUCAGUGUUUGUGAAACUUGGACUUGGAGAAUUACACCCAACCCCAGUGGUGUUACAACUUGCAAAUCGGUCCACAAAAAUACCUCGUGGUAUUGUGGAGGACGUGCUUAUCCAGGUAGACAAGUUUUAUUUUCCUGUUGAUUUCAUUGUAAUUGACACUCAACCAAUACAGGAUUCAAGGAAGCACAUCCCCAUUAUUUUAGGCCAACCUUUCUUGGCAACUGCGGAUGCUCACAUUCAAUGCAGGACCGGAAAUAUGCAGUUGUCCUUCGGCAACAUGACUAUGAAGCUGAACAUCUUCAACAUUGCCAAACAACCUCAUAAUGCAGAUGAUGGAAUUGUUGAUGUGGAUUUAAUUGAAGCAUUAGUUGAUGACACUUUUAUUUCAAACCUUAGUGAUGAUCCUUUACAAACAUGUUUAACUCACUUUGGUUUGGAUUUUGAUAUUGACAGAUCAGUCGAUGAGGUUAACACCCUACUUGACUCCGCACCAUCCUUGGACACUAAUAAAUGAAAGUCAAGAGUUGAACAACUAGCACCAUCAGAGAAUAAACUCAUCCCCUCAUCAGAAUCACCACCAAAACUUGAACUCAAACCAUUACCCAACACAUUGGAAUAUGCAUUUUUGGGAGAAGAAAGUACUCUACCGGUAAUCAUCUCAUCAUCCCUAAAUGACGAACAAAAAGGUAAGUUGUUGGAUGUUUUAAAAGAGCACAAAGGAGCAUUAGGAUGGACCAUAGAGGACAUAAAAAGUAUAAACCCAGUAGACUGCAUGCAUUACAUUCACCUUGAUGAAAAUGCUAAAUCUACUAGGGAAAUGCAACGUCGGUUAAAUCCUAAUAUGAAAGAAGUUGUUAGAACUGAAGUCCUUAAGCUAUUAGACGCAGGUAUCAUUUACCCAAUUUCUGAUAGUUCAUGGGUCAGUCCUGUGCAAGUUGUCCCCAAAAAGUCAGGAGUCACAGUAGUUACCAAUGCUGAUAAUGAAUUGAUACCAAUUAGGGUAACUACAGGAUGGCGUGUAUGCAUUGAUUAUAGAAAAUUAAAUUCUGUCACACGUAAAGACCAUUUUCCUUUAUCAUUUAUUGAUCAAAUGCUUGAUAGAUUAGCAGGUCAUGAAUUUUAUUGCUUUCUAGAUGGCUACUCAGGAUACAAUCAGAUCCCCAUAGCACCAAAAGAUCAGGAGAAAACUACUUUCACUUGCCCUUUUGGCACAUUUGCAUAUAGGAGAAUGCCAUUUGGAUUAUGCAAUGCACCUGCUACAUUUCAACGAUGCAUGUUGAGCAUUUUUUCUGAUAUGGUUGAACGAUUCCUUGAAAUCUUUAUGGAUGACUUUUCUGUCUUUGGUGACUCGUUUGAUCAAUGUUUACAUCAUCUAACACUAGUUCUGCAGAGAUGUAUCGAGAAGAACUUGGUCUUAAAUUGGGAGAAGUGUUAUUUUAUGGUAAAACAAGGUAUUGUUCUCGGUCACAUCAUUUCGAGCAAAGGUAUUGAGGUUGACAAAGCCAAGGUGGAUCUCAUUUCUAAUCUUCCUCCACCCAAAACAGUCAGAGAACUAAGAUCUUUCCUUGGACAUGCUGGUUUCUAUAGACGUUUCAUUAAAGAUUUUAGCAAAGUUUCUAGACCCUUAUGCAAUUUACUUGCUAAGGAUGUACCUUUUACCUUUAAUGAUCCAUGUCUUGUGGCUUUUGAAAAAUUGAAGCAGUUGUUGACAUCAUCACCCAUCAUUUAAGCCCCAAACUGGAGCUUACCAUUUGAGCUCAUGUGUGAUGCAUCUGAUUAUGCAGUAGGAGCAGUAUUUGGACAAAGAGUUGAUCGAAUUCCCCAUGUUAUUUACUAUGCUAGUAUGACAUUGAAUGAUGCACAAUUGAACUAUUCAACUACUGAAAAAGAAAUGCUAGCAGUAGUGUUUGCAUUAGAGAAAUUUCGAUCUUAUCUCAUUGGUUGUAAAAUAAUUAUAUUCACAGAUCAUGCUGCUCUUAAAUAUCUUCUCACAAAGAAAGAUGCAAAAGCUAGACUAAUUCGUUGGGUGUUACUUUUGCAGGAAUUUGACUUGGAAUUCAAAGAUAAAAAAGGGACAGAAAAUGUUGUGGCAGACCAUCUCUCUCGUCUUCAUUUUGACACAAUUACAGAGCCAUUAAUAUUGAAUGAGUCAUUUCCAGAUGAAAAAUUAAUGAAUGUGGAAGUAUUACCUUGGUAUGCUGAUAUAGUUAAUUAUCUUGUUACAGGUAAACUUCCAGAGCAUUGGACCAAGCAAGACAAGGCCAAAUUCUUUGCAGAGAUAAAGAAUUUCUUUUGGGAUGACCCGUAUUUGUUCAAGUAUUGUGCAGACCAAAUUGUUAGACAAUGUGUCCCAGAAAGUGAAAUUCAGAAUAUCCUUUCAUUCUGCCAUGAACAAGCUUGUGGAGGUCAUUUCAGUGCUAAGAAAACAGCGACUAAAGUUUUACAAUGUGGUUUCUAUUGGCCAUCUAUAUUUCGAGACGCUUACACUUUCUGUUCUUCAUGUGAUAGGUGUCAACGAAUGGGAAGCAUUACAAGAAGGAACAUAAUGCCACUAAAUCCAAUUUUAGUGGUUGAGAUUUUUGACGUAUGGGGUAUCGACUUCAUGGGACCCUUUGCCCCUUCUUUUGGCCAUCAAUACAUAUUGGUUACUGUUGACUACGUAUCCAAAUGGGUAGAAGCAAUUCCAUGCAGAACUAAUGAUCACAAGGUGAUGAUAGGAUUUUUGAAAAGCAACAUUGUCUCACGCUUUGGAUUCCCUCGAGCAAUAAUCAGUGAUGGUGGUGCCCACUUUUGUAACAAAGCAUUCAAGUCUCUUUUGACAAAGUAUUCAAUCACUCACAAAGUGGCAACCCCAUAUCAUCCGCAAACCAGUGGCCAAGUUGAAAUUUCCAAUCGAGAAAUAAAGCACAUAUUAGAAAAAACGGUGAGGCCAGACAGGAAAGAUUGGUCAUUAAGACUUGAUGAUGCAUUAUGGGCAUACAGAACGGCUUUCAAGACCCCGAUUGGGAUGUCACCCUACAGGCUAGUGUAUGGAAAAGCUUGCCACCUACCUGUGGAACUCGAGCAUCGUGCAUAUUGGGCCAUCAAGAAAUUCAACUUUGACAUGCAGCAAGCCAGCUCAGAAAGAAGAUUACAACUGGUAGAACUUGAAGAAAUUCGCAAUGACGCAUACGAAAAUGCCAAGAUUUACAAGCAACGGAUGAAAGUCUUUCAUGACAAGCAAAUUAUGAGAAAAUCGUUCACUCCAGGUCAGAAAGUGCUUUUAUUCAAUUCUCGCUUGCACCUAUUCCCAGGUAAGUUACGCUCUCGAUGGUCUGGUCCCUUUAUUGUUCAUAUUGUUUUUCCACAUGGGGCAAUUGAAAUUAAGGAUCCAAAGAACGGUGUCACGUUUAAAGUUAAUGGUCAAAGAUUAAAGCCAUAUCUAGAGUACCAACCACAUGGAGAAGACACCGAAAUAAAUUUGAAUGACCCACCAGAGUUGAAUUGAUUUUUUUUUCUUUUCGUUGAUUUGAUUUUUUUUUCUUUCUUUAUAUUAUUCUUCUGCUAAUUGAAAUUAUUUUUGCAUAAGUGUGUUUGUUUAACUAUUAAGUUUUCUUUUAUCAUUUUUAAUCAUGAGUACCUUACUAAGACCGUUCCUCCUGAACAUUCUUAAACCACUUCAACGUGUCAAAACUCAUUUCAAAAAGCAGAUUCAAUUUUGUAAAACACAUCGCAUUUGGGCUCUACAACCACCAGAGUUAGUAGCCUAUGUUAAGGGUUUAGAAAGCCAACUCAGAGACAUUGAGAGAAAUGUUUACGACAUCCAGUUGGAGCUUGAGGUAAAUUCAAUAAGAGGACGAUUUUAAUUUUCUUUGUGUGUUUUAAUUUGUUUCUCUGUUUGUGUGCUUUAGUUUGUUACCCCGGUGAAGUGGCGGAUAACGGUACUCCAUGACAAUCAAGUCGGUACUUCAGUUUCCCAUAAUAACUGAUAUUCGGAGGUGAAGGUAUGGACAGAAACGAGAUUCUAGCAAAACUUCACAAGCGAUUCCCUUCACUUCCUCAGAAUGCCCUCCUUACGAUCUAUAAAGCUCGGUCCGAACGCAUGCGAUUUCUCAUGAGGAAUAACAUACCUACUGACAUCCGUUGGUUAAUUGAGGCUAAAGUACGAUCGGCAGGAAUGGUGUCUGAUAACAGGGAAGAUAAGAUUCAAUUCAUUAGGGAUGGCUUGAAUAAGGAGUCAUUGGAUGAUAUCCUUUUGUCUCUUGAAACGCAUCCUAGUGGAUAUGUGCAAGGAGUGAUUCUCCAGUUAUGGCCAUUAUUCCAGAAAGAGCAUGCACGAUACAGUCUCGGGAAUCUGACUAUAAACGACCUUGUUUGCCAAUUUAUAAGAAAACUGGAUAUGAAGCUCAUCCUCGACCCAUAGAGGGCGUUCAAGCCGUUUCUGGACGUAAAACCAGAGGAAGAUGUGAGCCAUAGUCGCAACUACCUGUAAAUAUCCUUUUACUUUACUGUUAUUUUAUUUCACUAUUGUUUUAUUGUGUGCAUUAUUGUCUUUAAUAAUUUUAUUACUGUUUGCUUUUUCCUCAUUACUGUUUUCUUUUUCCUCAUUACUGUUUGCUUUUUCCUCAUUACUGUUUGCUUUUUCAUUUUUACUGUUUCCUUUUUGACUCGCGAGCCAUGUGCUUUACGCGUUAUUUAACACUGACAUGUUACCUCAUACACAACUGUGACCCACUGUCACCAAGACUCUUAAAUGUGAUUUUAUUUGUCAAGCACUCACAAAUUAUUUUUUGAGAAGUAUCCCAAUGGCAGCUACUCCAAAUAGACAAUUCAAGAACAUUUGUGUGCUUUCUGGAUUUACCUAUGGCAAACAUAAAGAGUUCGUUGAGGCAGCCAUCGAUCUUGGUCGAAGCAUAGCAGCGAGACAAUUACACUUAGUGUAUGAAGGAGGUAACCGAGGGUUAUCAAAAAUGGUCUCAGAAGCAGCUUUUAUCAGAGGAAGUCAAGUGUUAGGCAUCAUCCCAAGAGUCUUAAAACCAUUGGGCAGUUCGUCUGACUCAUCAACUGGAGAAGAGUUAGUCGUCUCAGGUAUGCAAGAAAGAAUAACUGAAAUGCUUAAUCAUGCUGAUGCUUUUAUUUUCCUUCCAGGAGAUCUUGCAACACUAGAGACACUUAUCACACUAGCAUCUUGGGCCCAUCUGCACAUCCACCAGAAACUCAUCGGUUUGUUAAAUGUCAAUAACUUUUAUGAUGGCUUUAUCGCAUUUUUUAACCAUGCAAUAAAAAACUAUUUCAUUCCUUCUAAUGUGAAAAAACUUUUUAUUUGUGCUCACACUGCUAAUGAGCUACUUGAUCUGUUACAAGCUUAUAAACCGGAGCUAGACCCCUGGACCUUUGUGUUGGAGCGCCCAAAUAAUGAUGGUAACAGUAGCCGCAGUAAGAAGUACAAAUUAGAUUUAACUCUCCGCUUGUAAAUAUUUUCUUCUGUGUUACACCACCCAGGUGAUGUCUUCUAAACUCUACUUCUUUCCUUUCAAACAUUGCGGACAAUGUUUUGUUCUGGUUGGGGGGAGGGAAUAGUCGACAAUUGUGGAAUUUUGGUUAAGUUUUUACUAAUUUUUUGUUGUAGAAACUAAUUGUUGCUAACUUUUUGUGUUAAAGAUGGCUGAAUAUGGAUUGUAGUGACUCUAGAAACGCAUCUUCAUCGUUUAAAAAAAAAUUUCAGACAUUUUCUUUUUCUUUAUUAUGUUUUUAUAUUUAUUUUUCUUCUUUUUAAUUUCUCCUCUAUAAAUAUACAUUUUCCAACUUGUGAGUCGAAGAUGGCUGAAUAUGGAGUGUAGUGCCUCUAGAAACGCAUCUUCUUAAAAAAAAAAAAACUAUUUUCAUUUUUUAUCAUUUUACGUGUAACUUUUUUAAUUAGUUUUUAUGCAUCAUUUUCACAUUUCUGCAUGCAUAUUUUCCUUUCAUGUUUAGAAUAGGUUGGGGGGUAGAAUAUUGUUUGAAAAAAAAAAUUUGUGUGAUUUGUUUUAACAUUGGAUGACAUGAUUAAUUUCAAAUUUUAGUAUUUGUAUUAUCUUUGGUCUUAAGUGAUGUUACGCUAUGUUUGCUACUUUACAUGUUGAUGUCGGAGACAAAUAUGAGUUGCUUGAAGGAAUGAACAUGUUAUAAAUAAGUGCCAAGUGAGUUGUUGAGCCUAUCAUUUUCUUGGAGAGUAACCCUUUUGCCCAUUCUCUAUACAGCUUAGCAGUUUAUUAUUUUAUACAUGAUCUCUAGAUUUCUUUUGAGUUAACCCUUAAAAAAAAUGGUAAAAUAAAAAAAAAGAAAAAGAAAAUAUGUGUUGCUACAUUGGGAGGCCUGUCUAACUAGUAGAUAUGGAUGAUUAUUUAGAGCCCUAAAAGACGAUGGAAAGGCCAUCUUUGAUCCGUUUGAACCUUUCUAGCCAUCCAUUUUAUUAAAUAUCCAUAGUUAACCCCUUUUGAGCCUUUAAAAAAAACAAAAAAAAUAUUUUCUUUGUCAACUUAUCAUCUUGACCCACUCCGAUUUGGAGUAUUACCCGAUGUCUUAUAAGUUCCAUCACCUAUUUAUGUUUGAGAAAAUGUAAAUAAUUAUGUUGUUCAGUGAAGUUAUGCCAAAUAAAAGCAGCCAAAUAAAAGCAAAAAAAAAAAAACAAAACAAAAGUUGUUGUUUCAAAAGAAUAAAAAUAACAACAAUAGGUGAAAUCCACCUUGCAACUUCAAAAAAAGAAAAAACAAAAAAAAUUCCUCUGCAUUUUUCUCAAACAUACACUUUGUUUUCCUUAUUUCCCUUCAUCAGCAAACUUUUAACGUUGUUAACGGAACGGUAGUAAAUUGAUAAUGGCGCAAAACUUUGGUAGUAAAAUGCACUUUUCGGCAAACCUUGGUACUGACAUGAUAUGUCAGUAAAACUUUAGUAGUAAAAUGAUAAUAUCCCUUUAGGAAACUAUAGUUUGAAGUAGAAGUUAGUUAUAUGGGCUAAAAAGAUGUAGUGAUGCAUAAUAAUAAUAAUAAAAAAUGAUAAAUAAAGUGGGUUGACUAGCAUUUUUAUUUGACUUGAGAUCGUAUUAUUUCUAAGCUGAGGGAAUAUUUAUUUCAUCUUGGUGAGAGCAUGUGAUAUCACUUCUUUAUUAUUUUCUCUCUCAAUUACCAUUCAUUGGAGUGACUAUUUUUAUUAGUUUUAAUUUCUUUGUGAGAGUGUCACUACUUCCAGUGAGAUUUUAGGGGUUUGACAUGUCAUUCUUGAAAGUAGCUAUAACAAAGUCUACUGGGCUGAUUCAUGUGGAUGGUUGAUGUGGGUGUGAUGUUAUUUUAGACUGGAGAUAAUGCUUAUACUUGUAUUUGAUUGCUAUCAUUAAUCUGAUGGAAUAAAUACGAGUGUUUCUAUUUUAAAAAAAUUAUUAUUUUGAAUUUGAAUUUUGUUUUCGCUUUAUUUGCUAGGGACUAGCAAUAAGCUGGUUGGGGGGUGUGUUCAGUGUUAGAAAAUGCAUAUUUAUAAAGGAGAAAACCGUCAUUUGACAUUUCAAGUCUUACUAACAACCUUUACUUUUAUGUAUUUAACCUUCUUUUGAUUUAAUUCCGUGUGUUUUAUUUUAAUUAAGUAUUUUAUGUAUUUUAGGGGUAUUAUAGUCAUUUCACAAUAAAGGAGAGAUCAGACGGCAAAACGGCCAUCACUUUUAAACUCAAGACGGUCGAAAACCUUAGGAGGAGCAUAAAAGGAAAAAUGGCACUAUUCACGUGUACGGUACUGUCUACGUUACUGUUCACGACACUGUUCACAUAGACGGAUCGAUGACGUGGCAUUGACUGAUGAGGUGUCACGAUCCUGUUGGGCUAAAAUUUUUAUGUACUGUUGAUGGUGACGUGGCAGUAUAUCAGUGGACGAAAAAUCUCGCGUACGGUACAUGCAUCACACAGGAUUAUUUUCAACCAAACCGCGUUACUAUUCAUCUGGGUCAAACCGUGUUACUGUUCAUCCGCGUGGUCAAACCGCGUACUGUUGACUGAUGAAGUGGCGCAAUCCUGAGCGUCCAAACUAUUUUUAAUCCGAUGGUCAUGAUUUACUCCAUGUAUAUAUAAAAAGGGGGCCUCCCCCCCCUAAUUUGAUAUCUCUGAAUUCAUUUUUGGGAUCCAUUUUCUGUAAUUCUUUCUCCAUCUUGUAUUUUCUUCGUAUUUUAAUAAAUUUCCAUUUUGCCCCUAGUUCAAUUAUGAGUGGCUAAUUUUCUUUCAAGCUUGGGUUGAAGAUGAAGUCUCAACAUGUGUCAUGGGCUUUAUUUGGUAAAUUUAUUUUCUCUUCCCCUCUAGUUUUUGUGGAUGUUUUGACUUCUCGUCGACAAAUAAUACUAAUCUUGUCUAGUACCGCCUUGGUUUCACCGGCCCUCUAGUACAAUGUUAUUAUUAUUUGGCACGAUAAGCCCUUAGCACCAUAUUGAUUAAAGUGUGGUUCAUGAGGUGUGGAUUCCCCCCUCAUGAUUUAAUUGGUAUUAAUAAGGAAUAUUUAGCCCAUGGUGCAUGUUGACACGGAUCCAGAUACCCAAGUGCUUCAUUUCAAUAGAAUUAUCUUCAAUUUAUUCUCGCCAUUUUAAUUUAAGUUUUAGCAUAUUCCAAAUCAUUUCCACCACAAAUCCAACCACCCAUUUACAAAAUUAAUUCUAUACAUAAUUAAAAUCCACCUCCUCGUGGGAUCGACACUCGUCACCAUUAGUCUAUACUACAAUAGAUUCGUGCGCUUGCGAGUACAUUAAAAUUUGCACAACAGCUGACAAGCUCUCUUUGCCAUAAAAAAGCUUGAGUUACUAACUUGAGCGUCGGAGUGUGAACGCCGGGGUACCCCAGCUUCACUUCGAACCUCUAUUUCACUGUUUUACAAGUGUGAAGCUCAUUUCGAAGGACAUUUUUCUUGGUUCAAACCUUUCACCAUUGUUACCACUUCCCUCUUCCCUUCUCACCACCUCCAAAUUUCAGAAACACCGCACACAAUAAACCAGUGAGGUACCUCGUUUCCCCUAAAAAUACAAAUUCAUUGUUCUAGAUAGGUUUAUCUUUUUCUACCCCUAAAAUUUGUCUAAAACAAUUGGCGCAGUCUGUGGGAACACACACAAAAAGCCUCUACCAUGGUUAUCAAACUAGUUGUUGUUUGUACUCUAAUACAUGGCACCCGACGUACCUUCCGAAGGUUUAAUGGCGGAUUCUACAAGGAUGGGAGACGACAACAGUGGUGAAGGUAGUGAUCCCACAAGGAGAGUAGCCCAUCUCGCCAAGGGCAAGGCUAUCAAACAAUCGACUUGUAUUCGCCAAGAUGAGGAACCCAUCUCUUAUAAGCGUUUCGAGGAUCUUGCCCAUGCAAUACUUAGGGCGGUUGGAUCUCAAGUACCUGAAAGUUCACUUCCACCAGUGACGAUAGAUGCUCCACCACCUUAAACAGACCAACAAGUUAUGGUAAGGACAGAGGUACCCUAGGCCAGCAAUCUAAAACAUGGGCCAUUGGGUACCCAUUCUGUGGGAUCCCGAGACGAAAUUUCCACCGCCUCUUGUAAUUCCCGCAGCAGCCAGGGUACGAGGCGUGUAAAACGUGCCCACGGGGAUCUCUGUGACAAGUUAAACGCCAAAAGGGCUUCUCAAAUGGCGACGACAUCAUCAGGUGCCCCUAGAGCCCACAAACUUGUGGGAAAAAAUGGUGAACCUGGAAGCCUAAGUGAAGCUGCUCUCCGAAAAGAAAAAUAUCACAAGUGCUCCAACACCAAUGACUUACCACUCGCCAUUCACUAUGGAGAUUCGGACGGCAAUUCUGCCCGAAGCGUUCACCAUGCCUCAGAUACCCCAGUACUCGGGUACUAUUGAUCCCUUGGAGCAUGCUGAGCUAUACCGUGACCAAUUGUUUAUCAAGGGUGUUGAUGAGAACGCCAUGUAUAGGAUGUUUAUACACACACUCACGGGUCCCACGAAGUCAUGGUUUUGGUUAUUGAAGGAGGGUAGCAUAUCUUCCCUACACCAGUUGUUAUCCCAAUUUACUAAAGAUUUUUCCUAUGCUUCCACUCAAGAUAAGGCAGCCUCCAAACUUGUUUUAAUCAAGCAAAGGGAAGCUGAACCUUUGGCGGAAUAUGUGAGCAAUUUCCACCAAGAGGUGUUGCGAACCGGAGUAUUUGGAAACCAAUACACAUUGACCCAUUUUGAGAAAAAUUUACGGUUGGACAAGUUAUGGCGUUCUUUUCAAAAAAAGCGCCCACUUUCAUAUGGGGAAGCCCGUUCCCAGGCAUUACAACAAGUAGGGAUGGAUGAGAAAUACCAUUUAAAGCGCCAAGAAGAUAAGGUUGAGGUCAUAAAGAGCAAGAAGAUGCCCAAGAUGGUGGAAGCCCCAAUACCGAGAGUACACCGAACACGGAGCCCUCCACGGGUUGCCCCGCGGGGACGAGGGUUUAACCCUCAGGGUAUUUCACGAGUACCCCAACUUUUAAGAUCGCCACUACCAGAGCAGUGAGAGCCACCACCGAGACCUCAGUACGAAUCGUACCAUCUACUGAAUCGUUCCCCAUAGCAGAUCAUCUACCAGAUUCGGGAUAGUGGCCUAUUCCGUCCGCCCAAGCCAAUGAAGAAGUACCCCAAUAUGAAGCGUAGCCUAAAGCAUUGUGAGUUUCAUGAGGACUUCGGUCACAGCACAGCCGAGUGUUUUAGCUUGCGUGAGGAGAUUGAAUCUUUGAUUAUUAGCGGGUAUCUUAAAGAAUUUGUUGAUGGCAUGAGAGAGGAUCGAAAAUCCAUGGAGCAGGAUAAGGGCAAGUGGGUAACUGAUGGCAGCCCUAAACGAGAGGUGCCCCCGGGACAUAAGAAAGGCGUUUAUGUCGGGAUGAUCACAGGCGGACCGACUCUAGCUGGCCAGUCCAGGAGGGGCAUCAGAAGAUAUGGUAAAUCGUUGUCGUUGACAACCAAUAUUGGCAGAGAAGUCAACUUUAAUGGAUGGGGCACGCCUCAGGUACCCCACCAUCCCCCGCCAAUCCUUUUCACAUAAAAAGAUGCUGAAAGUAUCUCGUACCCCCAUGACGAUGUCUUAGUAAUUACGUUGAAGGUUGCUACUAGUAAAGUAGCAAAGACUCUUGUAGAUAUUGACAGCUCCGUCGAUAUCAUUUUUAAAAAUGCCUUGGAUCAACUAUUGAUUGAGUCGCCAAAGAUCACCCCACACUACGCCUCUUAUUGGGUUCGUCGAAGAUAUGGUUAUCCUAAAAGGCAUCAUUACGCUGCCCGUUACACUUGGUAAGGUACCUCACCGUGUUGUUCAUAUGAUUGAUUUUCUCAUUGUGGAUCAUUGGGUGCCUACAAUAACAUAUUGGGUAGGUCAUUCUUAGUAGCAACUAAAGCGAUGGUAUCCAUGCACUACCUCGCCAUGAAAGUCCCAGCCGCCUAAAAAGUUAUCACCAUUAAAGGGGACCAGCAGUCAGCUCGUGGUUGUUACAGAGGGCUGGCAAGCUUUCUUCAACCUUAAACUUUGAUUUACAGAGGGUUGACAAGCUCUCUUUGCCAUAAAAAAGCUUAAGUUGAUAACUUGAGCGUCGGAGUGCGAACGCCGGGGUACCCUGGCUUCACCUCUAACCUCUAUUUCACUGUUUUGUAGGCGUGAAGCUCAUUUCGAAGGAUAUUUUUCUUGGUUCAAACCUUUCACCAUUGUUACCACUUCCCUCUUCCCUUCUCACCUCCUCCGAAUUUCAGAAACACCGCACACAACAAACCAGUGACGUACCUCGUUUCCCGUAAAAAUACAAAUUCAUUAUCUUUUUCUACCCCCAAAAUCUGUCUAAAACAAUGUAUAUAUUCAAAGUUUAAAUAGUUAAUUGCUCAAGUAUGGAUAAUUUAAGCAUUUAUACUAUGUAAAAUUCUUAUUGAUUUGUUCAAUGCUCUAGAUCAAUUGGCUUUCACAGUGUUGCACACACCAAGCACAUCAGUGACCUUGGUCGUAAUUUCUCAAGUGGGCAAGAAGAGGAAUUCAUUGGCAAGCUAGCAACCAGUUUGCCUCCAACUCCCCUAGCACUAUGACCAAGUUACAGGAGCAUUAGUUGCUGGCUUCAUUGGACUCAUUAUCUCCCUGCUUUUGCUUUUCUAUUCAAUCCACACAAUAGUGUUGAAUCCCCUAUUUGUUCAAAAGGUUGCUUCAUUGUCUCAAGUCUUUUUGGUCACCAACUUUGAGAAUUUAUUUCUUCUUUUUAUGAUGCUUCUUAUCUAAUAAGAAUGUGUGAUUUGGAGCUUGUAUUUUUUUAAUUCUUAAUAUCUCGAAAGUUUUAUAAAAGAGAGACAAAACAAGAAAAGCUUAAUAUUGACUACAUUAAUGCAAGGUUCAUUGUACUAAUUAAUCAUACAUGUUAUUCUUAGUGCUAACCACAUCUAGGUCUUGAAUUUGAAUUUGAAUUUGUAAGAGUCAAUAGCACUAGAUGCACGCACAACAAACAUAUUACAUAAUAUUACGUACUCAUAAUGGAUUAAUUUCUUUUUUAAAAAAAACACAAAUUUAAUUUCAAUGCAAUUGAAUAUUAUUGCAAAAGCACUCAUAAAACAUAAAAGAAAUAAUUGUUUAUCAAAUUCAUUUGCAUCCCCCAGGGAACAAGGAAAUAAUAUAAUCUUCGAGAGCCUUUUUUAACUUCUCAGUCAAACACUCUUCCCAUGUAAGCCUUGAGCAAUCAGCAAUGUCAGGUGAUGUUGCAAGAUUAAUGGAAAAUAAAGCAUUCGACUUAGAUCCUCAGCUAGUACAACAUCCUGAAAUAGGUCUGCAUUUAGUGUUUGCCACUACAAGCAAACUCAAGACGAUGAAACUAAGAAUCUUUGACAAUUUUAUGUUUCAUUAGUAGGCUGACUACAAGUUUACUUCCAAGUCCCCCAAUACUGUGACCAAAUUAAAGGAGCAUUAGCUUUAGGCUUCCUCAUACUUGCCAUCCAUUUACUAUCGCUUCUAUAUUUAAUCCACACAGUAGACCUGAAUCCCCGUACUUGUUCAAAAGACUUAAUUCAUUGCCUCAAGUCUUUUUGGCUACCCAGUUUUAAGAGUGUAUGAUUAAGAACUUGUAUUUGUUUAAUUCAUAACAUCUCAAGAGCAUUACAACAGAAAGGCAAAACGAGAAAAGCUGAAACUGACUACAUUGAUUAAAAUUCCUACUUGUUAUUCUUAGUGGUAACCACAUUUAGGUCUUGAAUUUGUAGAAGCCAACAUCAUGAAGUCCAUAUUUUGCAUCAUGAAAUGAUUAAUCUUAUUGUUAUCUCUACUUUCACUAUUUUCUUAUCAAAAUUUUUUUCUUAUCUUACUAGCUGUAUAAAAAUUUACAAAUUAGUAUAUUAUCAUUUUUAAGUUAUCAAUUAAGUUUAAAUAUUAUUUUAUUUUUUUAUAUAACAAAAAUAAUGAAAUAUCUAAAUUUUGAAAGACAUAUAUUAAAUAAACCCAAACUAGCCAUCUCAAAUAUAUAAAAGAAUACAUGUUUGCAUUUAGAAACAAUUGCUUUAAACCACUUUGUAAUUUCCAAAAAAAAAUCUUAAAUGAAAUAAAAUAAGAUAAAAUAAAAGAAAUUAAAAAACCAAUAUUUUAUUUUCAAGUGAUGCAAUUAAAAUUAUGGUUACUAUUACAGUGUGACAUGUGUUGUGCAGCCUAAUAAUUGUAACUAGCCAACAAAUUGUCCAUUUCCUUAUGUAAAAAAAUUUUCAUCUUGAAUGCAAUUUGCAUUGCGCCAUUACAAAAUCACAUCUAAUUAGAGAGAGACUUUUGUAUGUUUAGUAGAUGAGGCAAAUGCAUGUCAGAAUAAUAAGAAAAAAAUUGUUAUAUUAAUUAGGGCACACUUCCAUUCAUCCAUCCCAGUAAAAAUCUUUAAUUUACCCUUUGAAAACAUGAAUAACUCAAUUUUCUCUAAUUUUUGUUCAAAAGAUAAGCGUAAAUGAAUUUAUUUAUUUAAUAGUAAAAAGGGGUGAGACGAUGUCUACACAUUUUUUGGGGUAAAAUCGAUAUUCUCGGAGUUUAAAUUAAAUUCUACACAUAAAUUAAUUCAAGCAAUUAAAUUGAAGUUUACCCUUAAAUUAAUUCAAACAGUUCAGUAAUAUAACAUUUCAAUUAAAUACAAGGGUUCAAAAAUUUUGUUUUUAAUAAGGAAGCAUCCUCACCCUAAAAGGAAAUGGAUUUAAAAUUCAAAUAUUAGUGGUACUAACAUAGUAAUAAUGAUCAUUAUUAGUAUUUCAACAAUUAUUUUCUCGUAAAUUGAGUCAACAAUUUGUAUACAACAAAAUAGCAUCGCAUGCAUGCACAAAAGACACAUGACAUAACAGUGCAUACUCAUAAUGGAUUAAUUUUCACUUUUAUUAAGACACAGUUUCAAUAACAUUAAAAAUGAUAAAAUUAAUGAAAUGCAUGUUUUAAAAUUAGUUUAUAAUGCAAUGAGGUAUUUAAAUCAAUAGUUAAUACAAACAAAUACAGCGUAAUUUAUUUAAGCCUCAGUAAGGUCGUCUGCAGCUUGUUUCUCAAUAUUCCUUCAUAUAAAUAGAGGCUCAUGCCUUCCUAAUUUUCACACUUCACUUUUAAUUCUAAUUAAGCUAUUUAGAAUUCAAUUAAGAAAUUGAAAAAUGUGGAAGAGUUUAGUUUGUCAUCUUAGCUUUGCUUGUAAUGGAAAACACUAAAAAUAUGCUUACCCAAAUGCUGAUUUUUUAUUGCUUAUGGCUCACAAGUGAAGAGUGGUUCAUCAAGAAGUUUAAGAAAGUUCUCAAAGACUAUCUUAAUCCCUGCCCCUAAGGAGGAUGUAAAUGAUUUUGAUAAUUAGUUAUUUCUUUUGUCUUGCUUGAGUGCUUUUGUAAUAAGGUUCAACUGUAAUGAAAUUGAAACAUUAUUUUAAUAAAAGAAGAAAUUAAACCAUUAUGAGUAUAUAACUUAUGCCUUUUGGUUUUUGUGUAUGUAUCUAGUGUUGCUUUAAUGCAUACAUAUCAUUGAAUCAAUCAAAGAGAGACAAAUCUUCUAAAAUACCAAUAGCGAUCAAGCAAUCAUAAUUACUAUGGUAGUAACAUGCAAUAUUUAAAUUCUAAGUCUAUUUUCUUUUAGGGUGAGGCUAUUUGGAUCCUAUUUUAUCGAUACUAAACUGUCUUAUUUAAUUUUAAGGUAAACUUCAAUUUACGCUCUAAGAAUCUUCAAUUUGCCUAAAAAGUGUGAAAAAAAAUCAAUUUGCCAUCAUUUACACUAAGAAAAUAAAUAAAAAACUCAUCAAUGUGCCCUCAUUAAUGUUCAUCCUGUGAACAAAAAUUAGGGUAAAUGAGAUUUUCAUGCUUUUUAAAGGGUAAAUUAAAGAAUGUUAUUAGAAAGGGGAUGGACUUAAGUUUGCCCAAAUCAAUAUAACUAAACUUUUCAUAUUGUUUUUGACAUGUACCUACCACAUAGCUUUGUCUAUAUCAAAUCAAUCUUUACUUAUCAACUCUAUUAUGUAUACAUGGGAAUAUUGAAAAAAAUAAUAUUUUGAUGAUAUAAUUAAAGAUACAACAAUGAUUUAACCAUAAACACUUGCACAAAGACUAGCAUUCAAAUUAAGUUGGUAACUCACGUUGCACGAAUGGAUUGUGAUGAAAUGAAAACAUUAUUGAGUUUACUAAUGGAAGAAACUAGCUUUCUGAAUAAUGUCUAACAAGUUUAAAUAUCACCAAUUUAUCAAAAUAGGCAAAUUUAAAGUAUAAUAUGAUAAUUAAAUUUUCCUAAUCAAAAUAAGAAAAGUAAAACAAACAACGCUCAAAUUUGAGUUCUAAAAAAAAGAUAAAAAUCCUAGAAGAAUUAAGAAAAAUAGAAAAAAAAAUCUUGAAACUAGAAAACAACCAGGAAAUAUGGGAAUUUUCGACUCGACCACGGGGUAAAACGACUUAGGCGGCCUAGGUUUUGUCCGUCUCAACAUAUGCUUCGAAACGAUACACACACACACACCGAAAACGAACACUUGUAGCCAAGCUUUGGCCUUCGAAAGGUAUCCAGCUCGUGGCAUAUAACACCUUACAUCAGUCCUCUGCACUUGGAAAAGAACUUAUCCUCAAGAUUGGCUCGUACAAUUCCUCAUCAUUUGGAUGAUACUCGAACAGAUCAGCCACAUUAAAGGUGUGAGAGAUGUUCUAGCUGUCUGGCAACUAAAUCACAUAAGCAUUAUUAUUAAUCUUCCAUGCCACUCAAAAUGGUCUGCAUUUGCACUUCUCCAAUUUAGUACGAAUGCCAGGGAAAUGACUCCGGCGUAGAUAUGCCAUCACCGAGUCACCUCUACAAAUAGUUUCUUAUGAUGAUGCUUGUCCACUUCAGCCUUGUAUUUGGCAUAGGCAGUCUCCAAGUGAGUUCAUACCUCAGCAUGAAUACGCAGAGCGCUUUCUGCUACAUUAUUCGUUGUUUUACUUUCUCCAGCUCUCUCUGCUAAUGGAAUCCAAGUCAUAGACAUGGCAUGAGGACAAGUGUAGACAAUCUCAAAAGGGGCCUUGCCAGUAGAUUGAUUCAACUUGUUAUUGUAAGUAAACUCAACCUGAGGCAAGGUAACUUCUCAGUUCAGUUGCUUGUUACCACAAAGAUGGCGCAAUAUGUUACCUAAAGUUUGGUUGACCACAUUUGUCUGUCCAUCUAUCUGUGGAUGGAAAGCACUACUAAACUAUAAUUACAUACCAAACUUAUCCCAGAGAUAACGCGUGAACUUACUAAUGAACUUCAAAUCUCUAUCAGAAAUAAUGGUAUUUAAAAUGCCAUGCAAAUGCACCAUCUCUUGAAAGAACAAAUGUGCUACUAAGGUAAAAUCUUCUGUCUUUUUAUACACAAUUAAAUGCGCCAUCUUUAAAAACCUGUCCAUCACCAAUAUAAAAUCUUGACCCGUCCUUAUAAGAGGCAAUCCAAGCACAAAGUUCAUUGAUAGAUCAAACCAAACUUUUUUUGGAAUACAUACAAGCAUGUAUAAGCCUGUAUUAUGUGCAUGUUCCUUGCCUUCUUGGCAAAGCCAACACCAUUACAAAUUUUUUUGCAUAUCUGCAUUUAACUGUGGCAAAAAAUAACGCUCUUCCAUAAGCGCCUUGGUCUUAUCUCGUCCAAGAUGUCCGCCUAAUCCUCUUCCCUACAACUCACAGAUAAUCUGCUUCCUUAAAAAACUUCGAGGCAUAAGUAGUUGGCCUUGAAUAAAUGCCCAUCUUCAAUGAAGAAAUCCUUUGUAUUCUAAGGAUUCAUGUAAUAAUCCUAAACAUGCACAAAGUCAUCAUCCUCAGCAUAAAACUCUUUUAAGCACUCAAACUAGUAACUUCAUUAACUAGAGUUACCAAUAAAGUUGCUUGCCUAUUUCAUGCUUCUGCCACUUUAGUCUGCUGCCUAGACUUGUGCUUCAUAACAAAAUUGAACUUCUAUAUAUAAUUCACCCUACCUUGUAUACAUCUUGCUCAAGUUUUGCUGGCUAGUAAGGUACUUUAGUGCUUGAUGGUCGCUAUAGAGUACGAACUCUUUUUUAAUCAAGUAUUGCUCCGACAUCUUCAACGCCCUAAGGAUGGCAUAAAAAUCUUGGUCGUUAGCAAACUAGUUCUACCAUGCCUCAUGUAAUUUCUCCCCCAUAUAUUUAAUUGUCUGCCUCUUUGGGAAAGAACAGCCCUAAUUAUCUUGCCAAAAGCAUUACACUCGACCUUAAAUAAUUUGUCAAACUUUGGCAAGGCUAACGUAAAAGUAGGAGAUAACUUCUCCUUAAGUAAAGCAAAGCUCAUCUCUUCGUUUUCUCCCUAUUUGAACUUUCCUUUCUUUAAGAACUUUGUGAUAAGUGCUAUUGUAGUGCCAAAACUGUUAAUAAACCUCCUAUGAAACAUUGUUAGCCCAUGAAAACUCCUAACUUCACUUACUAUCUUAGGCGUAGGCCAUUCUCUAAUGGCUUGCAUCUUUGAUUCAAUUGCUUGAAUCCUACCUGCACCAACUAUAAAAUCCAAAAACUCUACAUUACUCUGCAAAAUCUACACUUUUUCAUAUUAAUGUAAAGCUAAUUCCUCCACAAUACCUUAAUAAUCAUUCUCAAAUGCUCUGAAUAUGUCACCAUAUCAACAUAAUACACCAAAAUAUCAUCAUAAUAUACCACAACAAAUUUGCAAGAAAAAAGGCUUAAGGACCUGGUUCAUUAAGCGCAUAAAAGUACUCGAUGCAUUUAAUAUUUUGAAUGGCAUCACUAACCACUCAUAAAACCCUUCUUUUGUCUCUUUUUCACUCACUCCUUGUCCUAAUCCGAAUUUGAUGAUACCUAAAUUGCAAGUUUAUCUUCAAGAAAGCCAAAGCAUUAUCUAAUUGAGUUAACAAAUCUCGAAGCAUUAGAAUAAGAAAACAAUAUUUCACCAUAAUCUAAUUAAUCCAUAUGCUGCCUAUACACAUACACCAACUCAUAUUCUUCUUUGGCACUAACAAGGCUUGUGCAACACAUGGACUCACGCUCCCAUGAAUGAAUCUCUUUCACAAUAAUUCAUCAACCUGACCUUGUAGAAUCACAUACUCAUGAGGACUCAUACGACAAUUGGCAAGUUAGGUAAGUUUGUACUAGGUACUAGGUCUAUAUGAUGUUGGAUUCCUCACAAAAGUUGUAGUCUAUUUGGCAUUUCUGAUGGUAUAAUGUCAGCGAACUCAGCUAACAAUGGUUGUACCUUUAAUUUACCUCGAACUUAUAUUCUUUCUAUAGCUUCUUUCAAUUGUCAUAAUCUUCUUCCAGAUGUCCCUUCACAAUAGUUAGAAAAUUAUUCCCUUUAGCUUUAAGAUUCUUCUUCUUAUUUGUUAAAGGCACAAAACGAACCAUUUUGCUAUUCCACCGAAACUCUUACACAUUAUUCGCUUCUCUAUGUAUUGUAUCCACAUCAAACUACCAAGGUCUACCCAAUAACAAAUGGCAAGUAUCCAUAUCUACUACAUCACAUACCAUAUCAAUCUUAUAAAUCUUAUUGAUGGAGAAAGAAAAAGGACAUACCUCUGUCACUCGCAUUUCUAUCCUAUCACUUUAACUAAUGCCAUUGAGACUGUGUUCUCACUACUACCACUAUCAAUUAUCACCUUACACACCUUAUCAUUGAUGGUGCCACAUAUUCUGAAAAUCUUAUUACACUGGUUAUCUUCUUCAAACUUUGGUGCCAAUAAAAUCUUCUGCACAAUACGGUUUAGCAACUCUCACCUCAUCUGCUUCUAAUUCCAAAGCCUACUCGUCAACCCUAUUCUCAACAUCAUUCAACUCAACUUCACUGACUUCUACCUCUACCAAAUUCAAAUUUUUAGGAUGAUAUUCAUUAUAUCUAUGCUCUGGUUCUCCACGCUUCAAACACUUAUUCAGUAUAGGAUUUGCGUAAGGAUUAUUCUACUCUCUGGGUGGCUAUGCUAUCUGGGUGGUUGUUGUCUUAACUACUGCACAGUCCAAAACUCUGGCUCAUCUAUAUUCAUCAAACACAUUGCGAUAUCCUUGCCUACAAUUCUAAUAUUUCACAUACAACUGUUGUUAGUAACUCGCUACCAGAAAAUACUCUUUCAACAUCUUUUUCAUUCUAGACCACGAUUUGAUCAAUGGCUUUCUUACAACUCUUUUUAGAUUUUGUACCUUUCGCCAUCAUGCGGAUGUCACGCCCUUCAAUUUAAAUGUCAUAACCUUUACCCACUUAUCUUGCGAAAUCUCCAUAUACUGAAAGAAAUUUUUUAUGUCCUAUAUCUAGUCUAAAAAGUCUUCAACAUGGAUCCCAUAUAAAAAAUCUGCAAUAUCUACAUUCAUCUUGUAUUCUCAACUCUUUCCAUGCCUUCUAUAACAAUCCUUAGCAUUUUUUUUUCUUUCUAAUUGCUUUCUAACUCAUGACGCACACACGGCUGCACUCACGUCACGAGUUCUAGGUUCUGAAGCACUACUUCAAGAUUAAUGCCUUGAGGUGUUGCUUCGCGAUUUAAACCGUGUGUGCGUCAUGAUUUCCUUCAGGAAUGAAUUGAAAAAGAAAUCUUUAUUCGUUCUACCUCCCAUUAUUUGCAAAGAGAAUGAAUUUUUCUAUCAAAGGAUAAAAAAAUGUGUCUGGAACUCCUGCAGGAAUGAUUUUGAAAAUCCAAAACUAAAAAUAGUGGUAUUUGUUAGCAACAAUAUAAUGGAGGCAGUCAAUCAAUCUAGAUUGCUCCGAAAUCGGAUCCAAAUCCAAUAUAGGACCUAUAGGUACAUAAGAAAUGUAUUGAAUUGAUUCUUUUUAAUGAAUAAAUCUAAUCGCAACUUUGAAUAUACAAUUCACAAGGAUCAAAUAAGAAUUAAUACUUUGAAUCAUUGAACUGUAAUGAAAUUUUACAAUCAACCAACAUUUAUCGAAUUUGAAAAAGAGUCGGAAGAAAUGGUUUGUUCCUUUGAUCUAGAUUUUUUUAGCUAAGAGAUUCAUGAAUCGGGAUUCUAAUUCAUAUAGAUACAAAUGUUCUAAUGGGAGCAAGAAUUUCCAAGAGCAUUUGGAAUUUUUUUUUUUUAAGCAGAAGAGCUAUUUUCAAGUAGUGUUCGAUCAAUUACGUAUUAAUUAGUAUUCGAUUGAUUGGUCUAAAGUUAUAGAUAAAAAAGAUUUGUCUAAGCCACUUCUUUUCUUUUGUCCAAGUUUUUUUUCUGUUUGUCUAACUCACUUCCUUUUUUCUUUGUGAGUUUCAAGAAUAUCCCCAUUUAUAGGUCUGAGAUCCAUAUCUAUGAAUUGAAAGGUCCGAAUGAUCAACUAUACAAUCAAUUGUUAGAACUAAUAGAUCUUCAAAUUGAUCAUUUCAAAAAUUUAAAAUUCUUCUUAUUAGAUGAUCAUAAUACUUCCCAAAAGUCAAAAUUCUUAAUCAAUGGAGGAAGGAUAUCACCAUUAUUGUUUAAUAAGAUACCGAAGUGGAUGAUUGACUCAUUCUAUACUAGAAAUAAUAGAAAGAAAUCUUUUAAUAACACGGUACAAUCAAUAUAGUUUUGAGAAAUAUUUACCAGCUGAAAAAAGAAAAGGAAAAAACAGAGUCUAUAUCUAAUGAAAUGUGUUGAGAAAUGACAUAUGUCUAUUUCAACAUGACAAUGCUAUUUCAACUCUCUUAAAAUGGAAUCGAUUCCAAACAUAUAUGUCAUGGUUCCUUACUUCGAGGGUACAAAUAUCUAAAUUUGAUAUUUUUAGACACUUUUUUAGACCUAUUGUUGGUACUAAGUAGCAAUAAAAAAUUUGUAUACAUUUUUCCUGAUACUAUGCAUGGAUCAAAAAGAGCAUGACGAAUUCUUCAGAUCUUCCACAAUAGAAUCUGAUAAGUGAGAUUUUGAGUAAGUGUUCCCAUAAUCUUCUUCUGUCGGAUGAAACGAUUUAUCGAAAUAAUAAGUCACCAUUAUUAUCAACACAUCUUAGAUCGCCAAUUGCUCGAGAGUUUUUGUAUUCAAUCAUUUUCCUUCUUCUUCUUGUUAGAUAUCUCGUUCAUGCACAUCUUCUCUUUGUUUCCCAAGCCUAUAGUAAGUUAGAGAUAAAGUUCAAAAGGGUCAAAUCUUUAAUGAUUCCACCAUACAUGAUUGAGUUACGAAAACUUCUUGAUAGCUAUCAUACAUCUAAAUCAAAUUCUUUCUGGUUACAGAAUCUCUUUUUAGUUGCUCUGGAACAAUUAUGAGAUUCUCUAGAAGAAAUAUAAGGUUUUGCUUUUGGUGGCAACAUCCUAUGGGGGGUGGUCCCGAGGAUGAGGUUAAAUCAAUACGUUCUAAAACAAAAGAUUUGAAUAUCAAUCUCGUCAAUAUCACCAAUCUCAUAAGUAUCAAACCAAAUCCCAUUAAACGAAUCACUUUUUCUAAAAAUACGAGACAUCUAAGUCAUACAAAUAAAGAGAUCUAUUCAUUGAUAAAAAAAAAAAAAGGGAACGGUGAUUAGAUUGAUGAUAAGAUAAAAUCUUGGGUUGCGAAUAGUGAUUUAAUGGAUAAUAAAGAAAGAGAAUUCUUGGUUCAAUUCUCCACCUCAACCUUAAUGACGGAAAAAAAAUUGAUCAAAUUCUAUCAAGUCUGACUGAUAGUGAUCAUUCAUCAGAUAAUGACUCUGGUUAUUAAAUGAUUGAACAAUCGAGCAAUCUACUUAUGAUACUUAAUUGACAUUCAUAAAAAGCAUUUCAUGAAUUAUGAGUUCAAUAUUUACUGUUUAGCAGAAUGACAGAUAUUCCUUGUUCAUUUCCAAACAAUCACUUAUUCACAAACUUCGUGUGGGGCUAAUAGUUUUCAUUUCCCAUCUCAUGGAAAACCCUUUUUUGCUCCACCUAGCCCUAUCCCCCUUUAGGGGUAUUUUAGUGAUAGGUUUUAUAGGAACC